UUUUUUUAAAAAUGUAAACUUAAAUGACUAAUAUAGCCUUUUAAAUACUAUAAAUAUGAGUGUACAUAUUUUAUAUUGCAGUUUCACUGAAUAUUAGCUAAAAACAAUAUAAUAAAAUACAUUAUAUGAUAACUUUAAACUUUGAGGUCGUGUUUGAAAAUUGCAGGUUUACUGUUCAUAAAGAAAAUGGCAACACAAAAAAUAAUUUAUACGAGAAUUGAAGAUAUUAUAAGACGUAGGGUAAAUCAGUUCUGGAGGAAGUUCGGUGAAGUUGAAAAAUAAUAAUAUGGGCUGGGAUAAAGUGAGAUGGGCCCACUUGUGGGCCCAUUCCUUGUGUUGGAACAGCAUUGGUAGGCCCAUGACUUUACCCGAAGAAUUUUUGGGGGUUACUCCCUGUACCUCCCCAAUUCUAAUCCCCACCUCCAUUCCAUUUUUAAGAUUUGUUUUAUUAGUUUACUUUUUAUAUUAAUUUUCAGAUAUUUUAAUAAUGAAAUUUAUAUGUUUUGAUGUAUUAUUUUUAAAUAUAUUUUUAACGUAUAAAUGGGAGAGUGAGAGUUGCAGAGAGCGUUUGGAGGAGGAGCGUUUCAAAAGUUUUGGUGGAGGUGGGGGUGGGAAUACGAAGGAGAGGAAUUUGAGUCUGUGUGUUUUGACUGAGGCAGACUGUAAAAGAGUAGGUUAACUUUAGUAAAUAGGUGUAAAACGGUAAAAAUAAAAAAAACAUAAAGAUUAAUUUUGUAUUUAAAAAAAAAUCCAAAAAAAUUGGGGGGUGGGGGUUAGAACUGGGGAGGUACAGGAAGUAACUCCCAGAAUUUUUUGUUUACUAGAAUAAUCAAGUUGUUAAAGAAUUAUUAUAGCUAGUGGGCCAAUAGGCCCACAAUGACCCCCUUGUCAUUUGUGAAGAGUGGGUAGCAUUGUGUCACCCCUGGCCUAGUUGAUGGGCUUUUUAUAUAAAUGGGUACAGAGAGCCCAUAUAUCACCCUCUAUUCAUUACUUAAUGAGUCAUGUGAAGUCAAAAUUCUGCAGUGCUGGCCAACUAAUCAAGUACCCAAUAACUUAGUUGACCAGAACUCCCAAAAGGGGAAACAUAAAACAAAAAAAUAAUUGUAUGACACUUUCAUAGUAUUUCUCUUUCACACAAUAAUAAUAAUUGUGCAGCAGAAAAAACAAUUUUGCUAUUUCUAUAUAAAUUGUUAAAACGAAAAUUACUGCUGAUUAAUUCUGUGAGGUAUUUUUUAAUAUCAUAAAAGAAUGUAAAUUUUACACUUUUAUAAAAUAACGCUAAAAGAGUAACAUAAAAAAAUUAGGAUUUUAAAAAGUUUACUUGUUUUCUCAAUUCAUAAAGGAAAAGACAUUAUGCUAAGUAACUAAACUAGCAAUAAAAAUAGCAAAAAUACUAAACAACCUUUUUAGGGGCUUUAAAGCAAAUAUUUAAAGUGUUAUAUCUAGAUUGGUCCUUGAAUGAUAUUGAGACACGUGUUGUCGUUACGUAGGUAAUAUCCAAAAAGAAGAAAAAAAAAACAUAACACUGCCUUGCAAAAGUUUUUCUAAUAAAAUUAUUUUUUUAGCUAAACUUAAUUUUGUGUAUAAAUUAUGUGAUAAAUAUUCUCCUAUAUAGUUUAUAUAAUUUUUAAUCUACGCAUAAAUUGAUUUUGUUAUAAAAAAUAUUUAUUUUUUUAUCUUUUAGAAAUAUUUCUUAAUGAACCUGUUAUAUGAUCGUUUUGGAUGGGACUUGUAUCGGUAAAAUAGUUCCAGAACGAAAAAAAGAGAAAAAAAAAAUCAAGUAAAUCAACAAGGGUAAAAAUGAAAAAAAUAAAUAGCUUCGGAGCUAAUUAAUUGUGGUAGUUUGCUAAAAUAAGUUAAGAAAACCUUAAAAAACUCACAAUGCUAUAAUAGCUAAACUAACUUAUAAAUUUGUGAAUUAUAUUUUGAGUCACUAGUGUAAAUUUCUCCCCAUUGUUACAUUUAACUAAAGAAUUAAGAACCAUUAGGAUUUAAUGAACAGAAUAAAAAAAAGCUACCUAGAUUUACAACCACUAUAUUAAUUUUAUUAAUGAAAAUCAUAUAAAACUUCAAUUGCGUGGGUCCGACAAAAUCACUUGUACAAAUUAUUCAAUAAUAAAGAGUGUAAAAAUACAGUUUUUAACAGAAAAAAAAAAAGAGUGCAAGUCUAUUAUUUUGACAGUUUGCAUUUGCAUGAUGAACAUAGACAGAGUUUAUGUUUAUGGCAAUUACCCGAUAUGCAAAGUUAUAAUUCUGUAUGAAAUAAUGGAUUUGGUGAUGCAAAGAUAGAAAUGUGGUAAGUAGUUGGUAGUAAAUAAGAGUAGUAAUAAAUAAAAGUUGGCACAGAUUCAUUCGAUUGCACAGUAUAAUCCAUUUAUCGGAAAUAACAACAAUAAAUUCAUGUAAAAGUAGGUAGGAUAAUCCUAGCUACCAAAAAUUGUUCGUCAUUAGAUGGUUUGCUUACAUCACUCUUUGAAUCUCCUCUCCUGUGUCUGGCCACCACAAAACCAAGAAAGGACACUGCCAUGAGACUAAAAGAACAGUGUUUCACUUUCCCUGUCCCUCUCUUUUCAUUUGCCUUGUGCGCUUAGUUGUUACAUUCUGACGGAAAAGCUUGCAACCCCAUUUCUUUAUUUACUCUCCUUUCUCCUCACAUUAGCCUUCUCCUAUUAAAAUAGCUAAAAAGCAAAGGGCUUUCUCUGAAAAUGUUUCUGAGGUUACCUGCCAUGAACAGGAGUUUGAACAGAGAGAAUCCAUAUAUUUUGAUUAUGAUGAUUGCAGGGAAACAGAUAAUAAGGGGUGUUGAGGAGGACAAAAGAGAUCAGAGAGAGAGCCAAGACAUGGGCCCAGUAAAGCCUGCAACACAAAUGAGUGCCACUGCACCAAACACUGAUCUCUUCACCCUUCUCCUCCAUCUUCCCCUCUUUUCUGCCUCUUUACCUUUCCCUCUUAAUUUAUGGCUUUUUUUGUAUUUCCAUUCGUCUCCAACAUCCCCACUUCCUUUUUCAUUCUCUUUUCGACUUUGACUCACUUUUUUCCUUUCCAUGCUCUUCUUCUUCUUCAACUUCUUGUCUUUAAUGUGCAAGGCUAGAGGAAAGCUUGAUGGGGUCUAAGGAAACCACACUCUUGUUUUGGGGUUUCGACGCUUGAAGAAAAAGAUUUUUCUGUUCAUGCAAAAGAAACCAACACAACUUUCGUGUAGCCUUCUUUUUCAUUUUCCUUUCACAUUCUUGUAGGUUCUCCAAAGACAACAUAUAUUGGCAAGGAGUUGUUAAGUGAAGGUCGGUUGUGCUAGCUCUUCACGUCUAUUGUCUGUCAGUUGAUAUUUAUAUAACUAAUCUAAAAGCACUCUUUGAUUAUCUUUUAUUUAUCCAUUUGCUUAUUUUAUCAUUUCAGUUUUGUUUUCUAGUUUAUCAAAGUAAACCUUUUCAGGAAGACAACUUCUAAAUCAAUAGCCUCAUUUAUUAAUUACUUGUUAUCUGAUGGAGAGAGAGAUGUAUAUCGCUCCACUGGAGAUUUCUGGUCGAGGUGAUACAGUAAUAGAUGAAAUAUCCCAACAUCCCACCUCAAAUCCUCUCAUUCAGUGCUAUUCACUUGACCUUAACAACCAAUCCCACAUCAUAAAUGGAAUUUCAAUGCUUUCUGGAGAGCAAGGUGAACCUACAAGUAAUGUCCAUACUGAUGCUUGCUUCAUUACUCCAUCAACUAUUGCUGACUCCUGUCCAUUAGUUACAUCACGGAGAAAGAUUAUUGUGGGAGAUGCCUCAAAUCCCAUGGAGAACUCUGAUUUUCAAGAGCAUUUAGUUGGAGGAGUGCCCCUCACUCCUGCUUCGCUAGCUGCCAUUCUUGCUGAUAGAAUUGGACUUGAAGAAAAUUUGGAGAAUUCAGCCGCCGCCCUAGCUCCCUCAAUCUUCUCCACGGGGGCACUAGAGGUAUUCUUCAACAAUUUGCAUGGUACUUCAAACCCUUUGUCUGGAAUUUUUGAGGAGUGUGGGUACAAUGAAGGUCCUAGUAAGUGGAAUGCUAACAAAUUUCCUAAAGCUCCAGAGAAUGAUGGAACUUGUCAGCCUUAUUCUUCUGUGGCAAACUUGGAUCCAAAUGAAUGGGCAACAUCAAACGUUGCAAACAUGGCCAAUUAUGCUCACUAUUCCUCUACUUUUAGUAAAGAACUUUCUCUGAGUCUUGCAACAUCUACAGCCGCAGGACAGUGCUCAAACGUGACUUGCUCUAAUAUGACCCCGUGCAUGAAUGGAACCAUUUCCUGCAGCAGUAGUAGGGAAAUUUCUAUGAAUUUGGGUGGUAAUAAAUAUGCACAAAUUUCACCGGAAGUACUGGAAUCGAGAUACCUUCUUGGGAUUCAAGAGAUACUUGCUCAAGUUGCAAGAUAUUCAUUUCAAAAUCCUGAACAGUUAAACUAUUCAGCCACUGGUAAUAGAGCAGGUGGACACAAGUCAACUUCAGCGUUUCCACCCAAGAGAAACAUCUUGACAGAUCACAAUGCAAGUUCUGUUUACGAAUCUCAUGCAGAGUCUCCAUUGCAAAGGCAGGCUUCUGAAUCUAAGAAAGCUCAACUGCUGGCACUUCUACAACUGGUAUGACACUGCAUCAUAAAUUAAUUCUUUUGAUGUUCAUAUUAAUUAUGGUCAUGAACAGAAUCAUGUUAGUAAUACAUUGCACUUGUCCACGUUCAGAUUCAUGGAUGGUAUAUAAAUUGCUAAAGUUGGUUCAUAAUAAUGGUCUAAAAAACGGAUAAGUAGAGGUGUUUAAGAGUAGAACAUGUAAGUAUUCAUCAUGAAAUAUUGUCAUACUACUAACUAGCAAGCUCUUUCUUAAACAGGUGGACAGUCGAUACAGCCAGUGUUUGGAUGAGAUACAUACUGUUGUAUCUGCAUUCCAUGCAGCUACCGAGCUGGACCCACAGAUACAUGCACAUUUUGCUCUUCAAACCAUCUCUGUCCUUUACAAGGACUUACGGGAGAGGAUUAGCAACUACAUUCUUGCCAUGGGAUCAAGCUUCAAAAAAUCGUGCACGGAAGACAGUGAAUGGUCCAUUGAAACUUCAUUCCUUCAAAAGCAAUGGGCUCUCCAGCAGUUGAAAAGAAAAGAUCAGCUGUGGAGGCCCCAGAGAGGCUUGCCGGAAAGAUCUGUCUCGGUUCUACGGGCAUGGAUGUUUCAGAAUUUCCUACACCCGUGAGUUUCAAAUAUGCAAUAUGCCUUCUUGGACUGGCUCUAUACUUCAAUCAUCAGAGUUUUAUCCAUGAAACGAAUUUAAAGAAUAUAUGUAAAGCAAGUAUUUAUUUAUUAUUUGAUGGAUUUCAGGUAUCCCAAAGAUGCAGAGAAGCAUUUACUUGCAGUGAAAAGUGGGUUGACUAGAAGUCAGGUAUUUAUCUACUUGUUUGUUUGUUAUUUUGUUCAAAGAUGAACAAUCUGAUAUGCUUGCUUGGUUGUGUCUUGAAACUCAGGUAUCCAACUGGUUUAUAAAUGCUCGUGUGCGGCUGUGGAAACCUAUGAUUGAAGAGAUGUAUGCUGAAAUGAACAAAAGAAAGGCCUGUCGAAAUGAAGAAGAAAUCCAGAAUAACCAUGGAAACAGGAUAAGCAUGAGUAAUCAAAGGUUUAAUGUUAACUAAAGGUGUACGAAGUCGCAUAACGAUAUAAAUCACCUUUUUUCUUUAUUCAAAUAGAAAACAGAACUGAGGCCAAAAUCUGAGCUUAUUGUUUUGCAUGGUAGGUAGGGUAUAUUAUUUAUGAGGAUGUCCUGUCCAUGAAGAAAAUAGAAUCUUAGAAAAUUUCACGACAUUUAUUUGUCCAUCCGUUCUAGAACUCGUCUUAUUUUUGCUUAUUUUUUAUUCCAUGGCGAUGCACCAGUAAAUGGGUGAAGCUGUAAAAGCGGAUAAGGUUCUUAAGAAGGUAAAGUCCAACAUUGAAAGAGGCUCGUGUUAAGGCAAAGUACCAGGUUGACGCCAUUAGUCAUGCCAUGGAGGUUUGGGCAUACCUGCAAGAACUAUCAAGUUCGUCAUUGUAGAAAAAAACUAUUACAUAUACUAUCUAUGAUUUUACAAAUUAAUUUCUUAACUCCUUUAACAGGAAAACAAAAUCCCAUGAUGCUUUUAUUAUUUCACUUCAGCCUUUCAGGGUCAGGAAUCUCUUGACGAUAAAUAAACUAUUAAGUAUCAGCAGGUAAAAAGAUACCGACAUGAAAAGGAAUUGAGUGUAAGAUUAAAUGGUGUGCCCACCGUUUUAGCUUUACAGUUGUAACAAAAACUCAUUUUUUAUUUAUCUGUCCAAAAAUAACACUUUUGAAGCUUUAGCAACUAUGUAGACUCGCUAACUUAAGUCUAUGACUACACAAAUAAAAGAAUGACUAUAGCUGCUUUCAAGUAAACUCUUCCCCCUUUUUCUUUCCUCUGUCGAUUCUCUGUUCAUCUCCAUCUAUCUACAAUGACAUGUCCCCCUUCACCAGAAUUUUGACAAAACAAAGAACUAUAAACUUGUGCAACAAUCAAAAUACAAAAUAGGUGCUAAUCUUUAUUCAUCUACGACUACUAACGUACUACAUCUCCACUGAAAUUCGUGUCUUGAUUGGUUUCAAUUUCAAACCCAUGCUCUCCGGGGAAUAAAGCUCAGGAGAAAUGCAAGAGGGACUCAAGGGACUUCUUGGGCUGACACUCAACUUAGAUGGUCUGUACAAGCCAUAUCCCAUGAGAAAGUACUCCAACGGUGUUAACAUGGCAUGAGGUUGCUCCUCUGUUACCAUUGACCCACACGCUUGAACCUGCACAUCCACCCACAAUAGCUAUUAAAUCUAGUUCAUUGUUUAUUGAUAAACACAUUCUUCCACAAAUUAAAAUGAAUAUGAAUUCUCUUACGCACUUCAACUAAGGCACUGAAUCGUCUAUCCAACUUAGAUACCAUGUGGAGAGCCUCAGAGUGAAAAGGAGACAUAUCCCCAACAAAAAUUAGUGAACGACAAUGUAAUUUUCUCAAUCCUUCACUGAUGUCAUGUCUCCUGAAAAAUGCCAAUACAAAGUUAUGGCUGUGUUGCUGUUUCAUAAUAUGUGGAACUAGAGCGUCACCAAAUGCAUUUAUGCAUGAAAAGUGGUAAAUUAACAACGAGUGCAUGUGUAAUUAAAUUCUGAAUCUCCGACUGACGUCUAGCAAUAAUUGGUACCAUGCUGAGAGCAAUGCCACUCCUACCCCCACCACCACCCAACUCAUACAUAUGUAUAAUAAAAUAGAUAGUCACUUUCGAGUUGGAUGAAAACCACUAUUUUGAAGUUUUAUCUUACCCAUUAAUCGCUUCAAGGAACCGCCACACAUUCAAACUCUGCCUCUCAUCCAAUGACUGUCAAGAAAUAUUUAAAAGAGAGUCAGACAAGGGCCCAGUUUCAAAUGCCAACAAACCCAGUCCAUACAUGGAAGCGUAAGAUAAAUUGGGCUAACCCUUUGGCAUGCUUGAACAAUAUCAGACACUGGCAAAUAGUCACUGCCUCGAACUUCCUAUCAUCACCAAUAAAGUUAACGAUUCAACCUAACACUGAAGGAAGGGGAAAUUUUCUUUUCAGGAAUAGGCAUACCUUGCUAAAGUAUCGGUUUAGCAAUAUUUCUUUAACCACCCCACACAUGCCGUAAAAGUAGAGUAAAUUUGACAUGACCUGCAAUUAUUAGUCUUUAGCAAAAGGUGGUAUCUCAUAAAGAGACAAAGGUUCUCAUGUUUAGAAAAAGAACCUUAUUGUACAGCCAUUCAGUCCAAGAUGGUGCUUUACAUAAUGGGGAAACAAGUAUCAAACCAAGAACACGAUGUCUAUAUUUCACCUGUUGUUAAAGUAAGAAAUAUCUGUGAGAUCCCAUUCAGCCAUUUAAGAAUGGUAAAAAGAAAGGAGACAGUGCGACAUAUACAAAGACUCACAGCAAAUAAGGCAAGAAUGUAAGCCCCAGCAGUUACUCCCAUACACAUCACUGCACUCUGACUGCAAAGGAGAGAAGGGAAAUAUAUUAGAUUGCCUUCUCAAGAUCAAGGAGACGCGAUCAGUUGCACAAGUUAUAAACCCGUCACUUUUAAUGCAAAACGGAAGGAUAUUUCAGUUGCAAAUAUAGUAAAUUAAAAGAAAAAAAGCAAAUAUUUCAAAUUGAAGUCAAAUUGAAAUUGAUCUAACAUUUAUCUUCAUGCUACAUAAUGGGAGUGGAGCUGGAAAGGAUGGUUUUAGGGAAUAAGACCCUUGUUUAGGAGUUAAAGGUUUCCAGAGAGUAAGAGAUUGCGAAGGAAACGGCAUAGUUUCUAUACUGGAUAAUUUACAUUCACUAUAGCAACUCAUAACUGGGUUACUUGGAAAUAAAGGUUUUACUGAAAUUAUAAAUUUUCAACAAUAGGGAACGAAUCUGUUUCUAUUUCAUAUUUAGUUCCAUACCCUAUCUUUCCAUUUGAUUUCACUCCAUUAGCUCUAAAACUUUAUACAAUGAACUAAAUGGAAAGAAAUAGUCAGUGAGCUGAAACAUACCCAAAAUAAUUAAGAACUUCGGCUAUUUGAUCAGCUAAGUCGUCAGCAGAAAGAAUUGGACCGUCUGGAUCAAUGGCAGCAGCUCCCAACUGCAAUAAUUCACGAAAAGGUAUAAAAUGAUAAGAAGCUAAAUUAAAAAUAUUUAAAAAUCAGUGGGGAUAAGUAGCAAGAAACAGCCUAUUACAGUUUCAAGAAAUAAAGUUAGAGACCUCAUGCCCAGGUGGACUAAUAUGAUAGAUGCAGAAAUUGUGAAGCAGUAACGAACAGGCUUCUGGACAAAAUAACAACCCUUGAAAGCAGGAAACAUCUGAUGAAAUCACAUGCAAGAAAAUGGUUAGAUUGUUGAUUUGUCAACUAGACAAACAUGGACAAACUUCAUGAGCAUUUCUAAGAGAAAAAAAUAAGAAAAAUUAAAAAAAGUUAUUGUAUAAAUUAAAAUUAGUUUACUGGCAUUCUUUAAUUUGUAAAAACCCUUUUAUAUAGCUUCUAUGAUUUUUUACUUUAUUUUUAACUGGUGCAAAAGUUAAUUUUAGCUUAUAAAGAAGUUUUUUUUUCUUAUUUUUCUUUUUUAGAAGUGUUUAAGAAAAAACUAGAGGCUCAAUGUUAGCAAAGACAUAAAACAUCACUUUAUAUUACAACAUUUUGUGUAUAAAACUUUAUUUUUUUAUUUUUUUUAUAACUAUUAUAUUGGUAAAUCACAGGGCCCCUUCCUUGCUUACUGAACACAAACCACUGUAAUUUAUGAGAUUGCAUGUGAGCUUCUAAGAGAAAACUAGUAACACCAUAAUUUAAUUACACAAACUACCAUUAUUCCAAUACCACAUCAUUGAAUCUCUACUUAAAUGUAAAGAGACAUAUCUCAACCUAUUGAUUAAAACAAAUAUAUGAAUGAGAAUAAUUUUUUUGGUUAUAUAUAUAUAUAUAUAUAUAUAUAUAUAUAUAUAUAUAUAUAUAUUACUUUUGGGAAUAUAUGCAUAACCACACCAAUUAAGAAAUAAAAAAGAUUUUGUAAAUCACGUGGGAAUUCAUUAAAAAAUAAUAAAGAAAUGUACUUUAAUGCAUAUUAAUGAAUAAAAAUUAAUUUUUUAGUCAAUGCCUCACAUAGUAAGAGGAAUUAAGUUAUUAUAAGAGUACAGUCAUUACCUUUUAUUUUCUUUAAUAUGAUAUUUCUAAUAAAUUAUAUGAAAUAAUUAAAUUAAGAAAAGAAAAAGGGGUUGAGAAUAGUAGUAACUCUUUCAAAGCUACUCAUAACUUAACCCCUUUCAUAUACACACAUACACAGGUUUUAAAAAAAACUAAAAAGUAAUAUUAAAUAAAGCAUGUUUCAUGAAAUAAAGUAAAAUUAAAUAAAAAAACAAAAUCAUGUAAUAGAUGUUUUUUUUUUUGGUAAAUAUAACCAUGCAAUAAAGUAUAUUGGAACGGCCUUAAUCACGCCCCACGAGUACUCAUUAGCUAAAAUCAUCCUAUGGAAAAAGUUUUAUGAUACCUACAAUUUAAAGCUAAAUCAGGAUACGUGAUCAGCGCUGGUUUGUCCUGGUCCCCAUACACAGCAACAGAGACGCAACCAGAGCGAGUUCUUACAACAUGUUCCUGCAAAAAAGACUAGCUCAUUAAUCUGGAACAGCGCAUAAAAAUACCCAGAACCACAUAAGAAUAUGAUAAAACACCUCCUUCGUGUUUUAACAGCAAGAGGAAGGGUCAAAAACCACACAGGCAACAGAAGUAUGUAAAUCUUCUGGUUUUUCAGGGGUGCCCAUUCACUUUGAAAAAAAAAAAAAAACAAAACAAAACCAACAAAAAUGUGCAAAUCUUUGCAGACUGACACUGCAAGUUUAAAAAAAAAAAAAGUAUAUCAAUCUGCACCUGCCAGAAUCCUAUCGGUGAUAGCUAUUAAGACAAUUAAAAAAAUUAAAAUCAAAUCCAAUUUGUUUAAUUCAUGGAAAUCAUGCAGCAAAAGAAAAAAAUCUUCAUUCACUAUCUGGAAAGCUUUAAAAAUUCCAUUAUGGCAUAAUAGAAUUCAAGUGAGUUUCUGAAGCAAUGCAACAACAUUAUGAAACUCAGAGGAAGAAGUUUUUAAUUAAUCAAGCUAUGAAGAAACAAAAAUGAGUUAAAAAAGCCAGAAUGAAAACAAGAAUUGAGUUAAAGUGCGUGCCAUGAAAUGAAAUGGUUGUUUGUGAGUGUUAAUAUGAGCGUAAGUUAGUUACCUCGGGUGGAAGAGAAAUGGCUUCCAUGUCCACCGACACCGAAUCUGCCAUUUCACUCUCAAUAGCGUCGUGAAUGUGUAACCACUCACACUCCAUUUGUUUUUCUCUCCUAAUUCUUGCUUUUAUAGGUAGUUCUCAGCACUAGCAUGCGUCAAUUUCUCUCUCUUUCUCUCUCCAUUUUCUGCUGGUCUCGCACGAGUCACCGACGCUCAUCCCCGUGCCAAAUUCAAUUCAAGCCACACCAGCUCUCUGCAUUAAUACUCCUUUACUUAACCCACAUUCUGCUUCGCUUAACCAUGGUUCCCAAGCCGACACUUUUUCCUUCACAUUUUUUAUCACUCUCUUUUUAAAUAUUAAUGACUAACAUAUUUCUUUUUCAUUAAAAUUGCCACUGUCAAGUGCAAACGGAUCAGUUUUAGAUUUUUAAUUUCCUUUUUCUUGUAUCUCAGCCUCUAAAUUACUUUUCUUUUCAACAUCUUCCAUUAAAUGAAUAUUUUCAAAUAUAAAAAUACAUAUAACCACUUGUUUCAUAAAAUUUCGGUAAACAUUUUUAUAAAACAAUAUAUAGGUAUAAUUUAACGAUUAACUUUAUAAAAAUCGUGUUAUAUAUAUGUGAAAUUAUUGACAUAAAGUCCGUUGUCUGCAGUUAUUGGUAAAAAUCAGGUGCAUUUUUUUAAUAACAGAAUGAUAUACAUUAUGAACAUAUUAUUACAUUCCAUACAGAGCAUAGGACAUGAGGCUUGGGUUGGUUAUUAUAAGUCUAAAUAAAUAUAACUUAGUACACAUACAUAGAAAUGUGUUAAUUAAAAUUUAUUGUUAAUAUUAUAUUAUUUUAGAGCAUAAAUUAAUUCCAUUUAUUAUAAAAUGUAUCUUACACUGUUAUACCCUGUAUAAUGCAUGAAAUUAAAUUAAUUACACUGAAAUUAGCGCCUCCAUCCUUCAUGGGAAAAAACAAGCUAAUUUUUACAUUAGGAUAAAAGUAACAAAAAAUAUAUAUUGAAAUAAGUAUUUACGGUAUGAAAAUAUAAAACUUUUACAAUUUCAGAACAUUAAAGAUAACUCUUAAUUGAGGUUUUAAACUCGUUAUUCUGUAAAUAUUUCUUUUACAAAUUGAGUAUAUAAAAUUGUUAAAAUGAUAGCGAGUAUCCAUAAAAGUUAUAUCACUGGUUAAAAAAUAAUAUAAACAAAAUUUAAGAUGAAUAUAAUAUUUUAACGAGGAGAAUUUGAUCAAUCUCUCUUAUUUAUCCUUGUGAACUUAAGUAUAUACAUAAAGUAAAUCAGAAGUUUAUAACUUAAAUUUCAUUUUGAAGUUCUUAUAAUUUAUUUUUCCUCUUUGUUGAAAUUUUUAAACUGUUUGAAUUCUAGUUUAUGUAAAAUCGGUUAUAAUGUUGAUAAAUUUAUUCCGUGUGUAUUUCGAAUAAUUUAUGUGGAUUUUUUUUUAUAUAUUUUACAAUUAACGUAUUAGUUUAGAGAUUAAUUUAUCCAAUUAUUAUACUAAUAUAACCAAAACAUUACAUUAAUUUAACUAACGUGUCGUGUUCUUGAAAGAAAAAAAAAAGGUCUUGUGUCUCAUAUUUUUAGCAUGUGAUACAAUUAGUACAAUGUCUCAGUCGAGACCUAACCAAAAGUUUAAAUUAUUUAAUCAAUUAUUUUAACUUGCUUAAACAAACAGUUUGGGUACACAUGCACAAGUAUGUUUAUAAUUGUUUUUUUACAUUAUUAUAAGAUUAAUGAUAAUUAAGAAAUUUAGAAACUUCUAAUUGGUUAUGUAGUGUUUUGAUCUAUUGCCAUGAAUAUAUUAAUUGAUUCAAAUGAAUUUAAUAGUUAUCCUAAUUUAAUCAAAAUAUUACAUCAGUUAAAUAAAUGUAUUGUGUUUUAAAAAAUAAAUAAAAGCUAAGUGAAGUUUUAGAAUGGGUUCACACCACUUUAAUACAUUCCUUUAUCAUUUGAGAUAAGUACAUAAUGUCAGUAUUUUGAAACUCUUAGCAUUGUUCUUCUUUUCAAUUUCAUUUUCUUUUAGGAUGAAAAGAAUACAGAUUAAGGAUUCUGUUAACAAUGUUUUUAAGGUAUUAGUCAAGAAGUUUAAAAAAAUGAUUAAAAGUUACAGAAUAGUUCAUUAAAAUAAUAUAAAAUAAAUAUUUUUACAUGUCUCAGUAAAAUCUUAUAACUUAUUUAUUGUGUUUUAUUUUAUAUAUUGUAGUGAAAAUAUAUUUGUCUAUGUAUGGGUAUACAUUUUGUUUUAUAAUAACAAAAUAUAGGAAAUGUAAAAAAUUAUUUUAAUCAUAAUUUUGUUUCUGGCGUAAUGUUUAUGGUGAACAUUAACCAUAUAGCUAGUACCAUAGAAUUGAAAGGUGUAAUGUUUUUGGUGUAGUUCACCAGGGAUUUUUUUUUAUUUUAUUUUUAUGAAUAAGCAGUGUCUUUAUAACAGAAUGACAAGUGUGAUUUAUUUGUCCGAAGAAGAGGAAGCACAAGUCAUCAUCAGUACCUUCAAACAUUUCCAGUGCAAAAGGAGAAAGCAGUAACAGAAGAAAACAAAAACAGUGUUGCAUGGGAUUUGUCUACAAAAUAUAUAAAAUCUUCCAAAAAACAAAACACCAUUCAUAAUUGAGAAAGAAGUGAUUAAUAACUAUAGAGAAUUCCAAGAGCGUGGUGCCGAUCUCGGAGCAAGGAGAUUCAGAGAUUGCAAAUUUCAAUGCCAUUUAUUAAAACUCAAUCCCGAGAUGUCACUGCCCCAUCUACACCUGCUUCUUGAAGACCACUUGUUACUAAUAAUUCUCACAAAUUUUCCUAGCUUAAUUGCAUUCAUUCUUUAAUUCCUUUUCUCUCAUAAUUGCAAUUUUGAACUUAGGGUUCGUGUGAUCGGAGAUAAAUUUUGAACUUGGAGAAGAUAAGAAAGAUAGAAGAGUUCAUCAUUAAUAAAGGAAUAUCUUUAUUUUGCAUAAUCAGAAACUGUUAUCCUAAACCAAAAUUCAAGUAAGUUAGAAGUGAACUUACUUGUGUACCGGCACAUGGUUGAAAAGAAAAUAAAAUAAAAAUGUGGGAGAGAAAGAACCAAAGAACAUUGUGCAGACUUUGGUAUAUAAAACAUAUAAUUGGGCUGGGCUCACUCGAAAGAAAAGACCUUAAUGACCUCGUUUGAUUUUGUUCAAUGGGUGUUGUUCCCUCCACUUUUACUUUGUUCCUCUACCUCCUCAAUUUUUGUUCUUUUUCAAAAUUACCUUAGGUUAAAAUUUUGUUACUUUUACAUUUACUUUUAUAUAAAAUUUUAUUUCUUACCCCUUUUACCCAAUUGCGCAGCACACCUCAUCCCAUUCCCACUAUCUCAUUUCUUUUCUCUUUCUCAUUUCUCUCUUCUCAUUCCUCUUCUUUCAUUUCAUCUUUUCUCCUUCCAUUUCCGUUUCUUCCAUUACUUCCAUUUUCUUGCUUACUUGGUUUUAAGUUCCAUUUCAUUGCUUCCAUUGAGUUAGGUAUUUGGUUUGUGUUGUGGAAGAAUGUGCUUGGUAGUUUGCAGAUGGAGUAGGUCACGACGCGUGAUGCAUAUUCGAACUGUGAAACUUCCCGUUAAGUUAUUCAUGGCCACAGAGUAACUGGAUAGAGAAGGGAAUAUCAAAAGCAAAUCCUUAUGUUUAUUUGCUUGAGAAAGGCUUUACUUAAUUGUGCAAAUUAUACAGGUAAUACAAGAUAUUUGUUUAGCCAUAACAGUCACUGGGUUGCCAUCAUUUCCUCCAAGGGAACUGGUCAUAUUUUUGUUCUUGCUUCAUUUGGUGGAUAGACAAUUCUUAAGAUGCACGAUCAAGACACAGAUGAGCCUGCUCUUUUGCCAGUUUUUCCUCUACCAUGGUGGUUCACUCCACAUUUCAUAGUAAAUCAGCAGCAAUUGAGCUUGACACCCCCACCUCCUGUUGUUCUUUUAGUGGUUAGCAGAAUAAAGAAUAGUAAUGUCGGAUGGCUCAAUACAAUUAGUAGCGCGACAUCUUUUGCAACAAGGAAAGUUCCAAUUCCAUCUAGUGUUGAGGAGGUGGUGGGAGCAAAUGGGGAGGUGGAGGGAGCAAGUUACAUGUUGCAAGUUAUAGGUUUCUCUCAGCACCCCCAACUUUUUCAACCUUCAACCUGUAAUCUGGAACCUGUAACCUGCAACGACUAACAUCUUAGAUUUUACCUGUAACCUGUAAAUUGUAACUUCUAACCUAUAACUUGUAUCCUAUAACCUGUAACCUGUAACCUGUAACAUGUUACAUGUUACCUGUAACCUAUAACCUGUAACAUGUAACAUGUAACCUCCAACCUGUAACUUGUAACAUAUAACCUAUAACCUAUAACUUGCAACCUGUAACUUGUAACAUGUAACAUGUAACUUGUAACCUCCAACUUGCAACCUAUAAUCUCUAACAUGUAACUUGAAACCUCCAACCAAUAACUUGCAACCUAUAACAUGUAAUAUGUAACCUGCAAUCUGCAACCUGCAACCUGUAGACUGUAACCUGCAACCUGCAACCUGUAACCUGUGACCAGUAACAUGUAACCUGUAACAUGAAAUAUGUAACCUGAAACCUGUACCUACAACCUGGAACCUGUUACUUAUAACCUGUAACCUGCAACCUACAACCUACAACUUGGAACCUGGAACCUGGAACCUGGAACCUAGAACCUACAACCCGCAACCACCAACCUCCAACCUGGAAUCUGGAACCUGUAACGUGUAACAUGUAACCUGCAACUUGUAACCUCCAACAUGUAUCGUGCAAACUGUAACCUGCAACCUGUAACCUACAACCGAUAACCUGUAAUCUGCAACCUGUAACCUGUAACCUGUAACCUGCAACCUGUAACUUACAACCUGCAACAAAUAACAUCUUAGCUUUUACCUGUAACCUGUAACAUGAAACCUAUAACUUGUAACUUCUAACCUGUAACCUGUAACUUGUAACAUGUAACUUUUAACCUGUAACCUAUAACAUCUAACCUCCAACCUAGAACCUGCAACUUGGACUGCAUCCUGCAACUUGGAACUAGUAACCUGCAACCAACAACCUGUAACCUGCAACCUGUAACCUGUAACCUAGAGCCUGUAACCUGCAAUCUGUAACCUCCAACUUGUAACCUCCAACAUGUAACAUGUAACUUGUCAUCUUCAACUUGUAAUGUGAACUAUAACCUAUAACCUAUAACAGGUAACUUGACUCUUGUAACUUCUAACAUGUAACCUAUAACCUUUAACUCGAACCAAUAACCUGCAACCUGUAAUCCGUAACAUGUAACCUGCAACCUGUAACCUGUAACCUAGAGCCUGUAACCUGCAAUCUGUAACCUCCAACUUGUAACCUCCAACAUGUAACAUGUAACUUGUCAUCUUCAACUUGUAAUGUGAACUAUAACCUAUAACCUAUAACAGGUAACUUGACUCUUGUAACUUCUAACAUGUAACCUAUAACCUUUAACUCGAACCAAUAACCUGCAACCUGUAAUCCGUAACAUGUAACCUGCAACCUGUAACCUGUAAUCUUUAAUCUGUAACCUGUAACCCGUAACCCGUAACCUGAAACCUGGAACUAGGAACCUGGAGCCUACAACCUGCAACCUGUAACAGGCAACCUGUAACCUACAACAUACAACCUACAACCUAGAACCUGGAACCUGAAACCUGCAACAUACAACCUGGAACCUGGAAGUUGUAACCUAUAACCUGUAACCUGCAACCUGCAACCUGUAACCUGUAACCUGUAACCUGUAACCUGUAACCCGCAACCUGUAACCUGUAACUUAUAACCUGCAACCUGUAACCUGCAACGAGUAACAUCUUUGAUUUUACCUGUAAUCUGUAACCUGUAACCUGUAACACGUAACUUGUAACCUAUAACCUGCAACCUGCAACCUGCAAUCUGCAACAUGUAACUAGCAACUUCCAACCUGUAACCUGCAACCUGUAACCUGUGACCUAUAACCUGCAACCUGCAACCUGUAACCUGUACCCAUUAACAUGUUAGCUUUUACCUAUGACCUGUAACCUGUAACGUGUGACCUUUAACCUGUAACAUGUAAAUUGUAACCUAUAACCUGUAACCUGUAACCUGUAACAUGUAAACUGAAACCUGGAACCUACAAUGUGUAACUUGUAACAUGUAACCUGUAACUUGCAACCUCUAAGUUGCAACCUGUAACUUGUAACAUGUAACAUGUAAUUUGUAACUUGCAACUUGAAACCUAUAAUCUGCAACGUGUAACUUGCAACCUCCAACCAAUAAAAUGCAACCUGUAACAUGUAACCUGCAACCUGCAACCUAUAACCUGUAACAUGUAAUUUGCAACCUGCAACCUGUAACCUGCAACUUGCAACCUAUAACCUGCAACCUGCAACCUGCAACCUGCAACCUGCAACCUGUAACCUGUAACUUGUAACCUGUAACCUGUAACCUGUAACCUGUAACUUGUAGGCUAUAACCUGUUACCUGUAACCUAGAACCAGAAACCUAUAACUUGGAACCUGGAUCCUGAAACCUGCAACCUGAAACCUUCAACCUGCAAUCUGUAAACUGUAAACUAUAACCUACAACGUACAACCUAAAACCUGGAACUUGGAACCUGCAACCUGGAAUCUGCAACCUGCAUCCUGCAACCUACAACCUGCAACCAACAACCUAUAUCCUGCAACCUAUAACCUGUAACUUGUAACCUGUAACCUAUAACCUGCAACAUGUAACUUACAACCUGCAACCUGUAACCUACAACGAGUAACAUGUUAGCUUUUACCUGUAACCUGUAACCUCUAACUUGUAACCUGUAACCUAUAAGAUGGAACCUGUAACUUGUAACUUGUAACAUGUAACCUCCAACCUGUAACAUGUAACUUGUAAUCUUCAGCCUGUAAUGUGAACUAUAAACUAUAACCUAUAACAGGUAAUCUGCAACUCGUAACCUGCAACCUAUAACUUCUAAUCUGUAACCUGUAACAUAUAAUUUGUAACCUAUAACUUUUAACCUGUAACCUGUAGCUUGUAACUUGUAACUUUUAACCUGUAACCUAUAACAUCUAACCUGCAACCUAGAACUUGUAACCUGGAACCUACAACCUGCAACCUGCAUACAACCUGCAACCAGCAACUUGUAACCUGCAACCUAUAACCUGUAACCUAUAACCUGUAACCUGUAACCUGCAGCCUGUAACCUCCAACCUCUAACAUGUAACUUGUAAUCUUCAACCUGUAAUGUGAAUUGUAACCUAUAACCUAUAACAAGUAACCUGCAACUUGUAACCUGAAACCUGUAACUUCUAACAUAUAACCUAUAACCUGUAACUUGCAACCUGUAACAUGUAAUAUGUAACUUGUAACCUGCAAUUUGCAACCUAUAAUCUGCAACAUGUAACUUGCAACCUCCAACCAAUAACCUGCAACCUGUAACAUGUAACCUGCAACCUAUAACCUGCAACCUGUAACCUGCAACCUGCAACCUUUAACCUAUAACCCGUAACCUCAAACUUGGAACCCGAAACCUGGAACUAGGAACCUGGAGGAUGGAACCUGCAACCUGUAACCUGUAACAUGUAACUUGUAACCUACAACAUACAACUUAGAACCUGGAACCUGGAACCUAGAACUUGGAACCUGGAACCUGGAACCUGCAACCUUGAACUUGGAAGUUGUAACUUGUAACCUUAAACCUGAAACUUGCAACCUGUAACAUGUAACAUCUAACCUGCAACUGUAACCUGUAACCUGUAACCUGUAAUCUGCAACCUGUAACUUACAACCUGCAACCUGCAACCUGCAACCUGCAACCUGCAACCUGUAACCUUUUCCGUGACCUACAACGAGUAACAUAUUAGAUUUUACCUGUAACCUGUAUACUGUAACCUGUAACAUGUUACGUGUAACAUGUAACAUGUAACCUGUAACCUGUAACGUGUAACAUGUAACAUGUAACCUCCAACCUGUAACUUGUAACACGUAACAUGUAACCUCAAACUUGCAACCUAUAAUCUGCAACAUGUAACUUGAAACCUCCAACCAAUAACCUGCAACCUAUAACAUGUAAUCUGGAACCUGCAACCUGUAACCUGCAAACUGUAACUUGCAACCUGUAACCUGUAACCUAUAACAUGUAACCUGUAACCUGUAACCUCAACCUGUAACCUGCAACAUACAACGUACAACUUACAACCUGAAACUUGGAACCUGGAAACUGCAACCUGUAACCUGGAACCUGCAACCCGCAACCACCAACCUCCAACCUCCAACCUGGAACCUGGAACCUGUAACGUGUAAUGUGUAACCUGCAACUUGUAUCCUCCAACAUGUGUCGUGUAACCUGUAACCUGUAACCUGCAACCUGCAACCUGUAACCUGCAACCUACAACCUGCAACCUAUAACCUGCAACCUUAACCUGUAACUUGCAACCUGUAACUUACAACAUGCAACAAGUAACAUCUUAGUUUUUACCGGUAACCUGUAACAUAUAACCUCUAACUUGUAACCUGUAACAUGUAACCUGUAACCUGUAACAUGUAACCUGUAACCUGUAACCUGUAACUUCUAACCUGUAACCUGUAACUUCUAACCUGUAACCUGUAACUUGUAAUAUGUAACUUUUAACCUGUAACCUAUAACAUCUAACCUGGAACCUACAACCUGCAUCCUGCAACAUGCAACCAGCAACCUACAACCAACAACCUGUAACCUGUAACCUAUAACCUGUAACCUGUAACCUCAACUUAUAACCUCCAACCCGUAACAUGUAACUUGUAAUCUUCAACCUGUAAUGUGAACUGUAACCUAUAACCUAUAACCUAUAACAGGUAACCUGCAACUUGUAACCUGCAACUUGUAACUUCUAACAUGUAACCUAUAACCUUUAACUUGCAACCUGUAACAUGUAACAUGAAACUUGUAAUCUACAACUUGUAACCUAUAAUCUGCAACAUGUAACUUGCAACCUCCAACCAAUAACCUGCAACCUGUAACCCGUAACAUGUAACCUGCAACUGUAAUCUGUAACUCGUAACCCGUAACUUGGAACCUGGAACCUGAAACCUGGAACUAGGAACCUGAAGUCUGGAACCUGCAACCUGCAACCUGCAACAUGCAACCUACAACAUACAACCUACAACCUGGAACCUGGAACUUGGAACCUGGAACCCGAAACCUACAACCUGUAACCUGGAACCUGGAAGUUGUAACAUGUAACCUAUAACCUGCAACCUGUAACCUACAACGAGUAACAUCUUAGAUUUUACCUGUAACCUGUAAAUUGUAACCUGUAACCUAUAACUGUAACCUGUAACUUGUAACCUGUAACAUGUACCCUGUAACCUGUAACAUGUAACCUGUAACUUGUAACAUGUAACAUGUAACCUCAAAUCUGUAACCUCCAACCUGUAACUUGUAACAUGUAAUCUAUAACCUAUAACUUGCAACCNAACCUGUAACUUGUAACAUGUAACAUGUAACCUCAAAUCUGUAACCUCCAACCUGUAACUUGUAACAUGUAAUCUAUAACCUAUAACUUGCAACCUGUAACUUGUAACAUGUAACAUGUAACUUGUAACCUCAAACUUAUAACCUAUAAUCUGUAACAUAUAACUUGCAACCUCCAAUCAAUAACCUGCAUCCAUAACUUGCUCCCUCUACAAAUUUCUCUCAGCACCCCAACUUUUUCAUAUCCCUAAAUUACUCCUAACAACUUUUAGGUUUUGACUUUUACUAUGAUCUAAACUCCUAUGUAGAGUGUUACAAAAUGAAACUCUCUUUUUGGCUCAACCUUCACCUACAUUCUUUCUUUUGUACUUACAAACAUAAGAUUUUGAAAUCUAGUAAAAAAAAACUCAACACAUAAUUGAAUUUUCAAAUUCAAUAAACAAAAAUAGUUAUAUGAACAAAAGAAUUUAAAAUUAGAUUUUCUGAUUUUUAAAAAUUCAAAAUCAUAUUUCAUUUGAGAAAAUUAAAAAUCAGAUUUCAGAUAUAAUUUCUCAAAAUCCAUAUCCAGAUUUAGAAAAGUAAUAAAAUCUACGACUGAAUUUUGAAAUUCAAAAAUAUUUCCAACCAUAUUUCAAAAAUUAAUUUAAAAACAAAUUAAGAAUUAGAUUUCGAAAUGUAAUUUUCAAAAAUCUACAAUCGAAUUUAGAAAUGCGAAAAAAAUCUAAAAAUAAAUUUUAAAAUCCAAAAAAAUCCACUGGUAAAUAUUGAAAUACAGUAAAAUUCAAAAUUAGAUUUCAAAAUCUAGAAAAAUAAUAAUUUUAAAAUACCAAAUUUCAAAAUAUAAUAAAAUCGAAAAUCACAUUUCCAAAUUCGAGAAAAUAAAUUUCAAAAUUUAUAUUUUAAAAAUCAAGAACUAAAUUAUGAAAUUCAAAUAAAAUUUUAGAAUUGGAUUUUAAAAUGUGAAAAAAAUCAAGAAAUAAAUUUUAAAAUAAAAUUUUGAAAUGUGGAAAAUUCAGAACCAAAUGUCUAAAUCUUAUUUUUGAAAAUCUAAAAUCAGAUUUCAAAAUCUGAAAAAAAUCAAAUUAGAUUUUAAAAUUAAAAAAAAAUCCAAAACUCAUCAAUAUCUUUUUUAUAUGCCUCAACUCAAUGUGAUAAAAAUGUUAAAAAAUUCAUCUUAAUUAAUUAUAAAACUAAUUCAUAGUGUAUAACAAACUUCAAAAUUCCAAAUUCCUAGCUAAACUUUCAUUACUCUAAGUAAUGACUACUUAUUUUUCUUACAAAAAGUAUUUAUAUACACUUUUCAUACAAAAUGCAUGUAAAUUGAGGAUAAGUAAGAGUCGUCCUAGAAUAAACCAGGUUUAGUACUUUUACUUUUUUAUGUGAUUUUUUUUAGUUUUCUAUAUCAAUAUUUUUGUUUUAUUUUAAUUUUGAAAAUGCAGUAAAUAGUUAUUAAAUUACAUUUUGUAGCAAGUUCGUGACUGUAAUUAUUAUUUUAUGAGUAUAAUAUGUUUUCUUUAAUCUCCCAUGUUGAAAGUGACGAAAAACUUCAAAUAAUUGAGCUUAAACAAAAUUAAAAAGAAUCAGGUUUAAUACGGUCCUCGUAUUUGUGUGAAAAUCUCAGUUCGGUCCUAAAGUUUUGAACUGUCUCAAUUAGGUCAUAAUUUUUGUAAAAAUACACACAUUUUACCCCAACUAUUAACUUAUCUCAAACAACGUUAAGUUUAGCUGUUGUGAUUUUCAUACAAAUACGAAGACCAAGAAGGGAUUAAGCCAACACGUCAGCAUAUCACAACAGCUAAACUUAACGCCGUAUGAGAUCAGUUAACGGUUGGGGUAAAAUAUGUGCAUUUUUACAAAAAUUAUGACCCAAUUGAGACAGUUCAAACGAACUGAGAUUUUCACACAAAUACGAGGACCAAGAGAGGUAUUAAGCCAAAAAAUUAGAAUGAUAUAAAUAAAUUACGAGACAGAAAUAAAGAAAAUAAAAAGUAAGAAUUAAAAAAUAGUUUAAAAAGGCAAUUAACCAAGUAAAUCACAUUUAUUUGUACGAAUGAAGUAGUAAGAAGUAAAAUUAUUGAAUUUCUCUUAAGAAGUAGUGAAUUUGAAUGGUUAUUUAAUAAUUUAAUAAAUGAAAUAAUAGUAAUUUGGAAGAAAAAGGUAAGGAAUGAAGCUGAAAUGGGCCACGUAGUAGCCUUGGUAGGCAGUUUCGUCAACGAUGUCUCUACCGUUUUCUAAAAAAUAGAAAAAGGUUUGGCUGGAGCGUGGUCAGGGAUAAAUAGAGAGAGUCGUGAAGGCUGGGUGAGAUUCAUUCGCUCGUAGCAACAUCACUAUGGCUCUUCUCAGUCGAGCCUCCUCACGCAUCUAUCAAGUGCACUCCUAUCAACGGGCGUUAUCCCUCCACACGACGCUCCCAGCUCUCAACGCAUCCACAUCUACACACACGCCCACACCAUAUGCUCCGCCACCGCCUCCGUCCGCUUCAUCUCCCGUCGGCGUUUCCAAGGCGGCGGAGUUCGUCAUCUCCAAGGUCGAUGAUCUGAUGAACUGGGCUCGCCGUGGCUCCAUCUGGCCUAUGACCUUCGGACUCGCCUGCUGCGCCGUCGAAAUGAUGCACACCGGCGCCGCCCGCUAUGAUCUCGAUCGCUUCGGCAUCAUUUUCAGGCCCAGUCCUCGCCAGUCUGACUGUAUGAUCGUCGCUGGCACUCUCACCAACAAGAUGGCUCCCGCUCUUCGCAAGUAAAUCCUCUAUCCCUUUUUUUAGGGUUUUUACUUCCCUAAUCUCUUUUCCUCUUUGUUCCUUCUCACAGUUGAUUACAAAUCAUAUUCCUCACCCGAUGCACUGAUUUGCUCUGUGCGUGACAUAUGUGCGUGGUUGAGUAUUCAAUUUGACUUGAUAUGGCGUCGAUGCCGUCGCGUCUUUGUUUGAAUGCUGUUAUAUAUACGUUGGAGAAUUUUAAAGAUAAAUUGUGUUCGGUGUUCAAGAAGGCAGAUGCCUGUUAUUUGAGAAUUUCUGUGACUAAAUUGCAUUUCGGGGAUAUUUAAUCUGGUCAAUGAUUAUGUGUUUUGUCUUUGUUAUGACGUAAGUGUACAUGGGUUAGGACUGACUGUGAAGCAGUCAGUACAGUAGAUAUAUAAAUCAUAGUUAGCUAUUGUAAAAAUAUUCAUACUGAACAAUAACAAACAUACAUGUAUUCUGCCACUUCUUCUAUCAGUUCCGGAAUCCCUUCAUUCUGGGGUUUCCUGAUUUCUUGUUUGGCUUUCUCUCUAUUGCCCUAGAACUAUGUUUUCUCGUAACAGGCUGUUUUAAUUGACUCUUGUUUUGGUGUUGUAGCCUUGUUUUUUUUUUUUUUGAUUCAGUGUUGAUAGGAAACUGCUACGAGGACACUGUUUUAACGAAAUUUUUUUGUUGAGUUAGAGACAGUAUAGGGAAAUGACACACUAGCUGCAGUUUGUAAACUCUUUAAGGGGCUUGCUUUCUACCGUCCCAUUCCUCACUACAAUCCUGCCUCCACCUGGCAUGUGCACAGGUUGUUGGUUGUUUCAAACUUAUAAUCCAUAUCCUCAGACUGAUUUCCUAUUUACAUUUCUUUGCCUCAUUGCUUCCACUUGCUUCUAAUUCCUUGCCACCCUUGCCUUUCCUCGUAACGACACCUAACUAAUAGGUCAUGGCUAAUACAGUUCUCUUCGUGAUUAAAUGUUGUUAUAGAAAUCACUUUGAUUGAAUGAUACGGCAUGUGAAAAGAGGUUCUUAUGGGGAUAAUAGUUGUCUUGCAUUGGAUGAGAGGUGUGAACAGUUAUGUCAUUUAACUACAAAGUAUAGCAAUGGUUUUAAGUUGCUUUAGUUUUAGAAAAGGUGUAGAAGAGUAUGCCAGUUUCACUUGUUAAAUUUUCUACUAUGUUAUAGUACAUAUUGUUGGUUGCUCAUCAUUAUCUAUUACUAUGUCAUGAUGAGAUUCGGUAAGCUACUUAAUUGAGCGCUAAUUCUAUAAGAUUUUAUCAUCGAGGACUUAAUUUUGUUUUUCAGAAGCUGGGAAUUUUUUUAGGGAGUACAAACCUAAGCUAGAUCAUAAGAAUCCAAAAUAGGCAUCAUUUGGGCUAGAGCCUCUUCCAGCUAACAUAUUCUAUGCAAUCGAGAAGCAAGAGAUACUAAUUUGCCUGUUACUCUAUCGGCACAUCUUCUGACCAGAAUGAGUGUAUUUGGGAGUCUGUCUGCAUGAGAUUAUUGCAAUCCUGAUCAGACAACCAAAGUAAGAAUCAUGAAACAUUUUCUCAAUGCAUGAAAAACAUCAUGCAUGACUGCCUGUUUCAAACACUACACGAGAACUUAUGUCAGAUUUUUUCAUUAAGUUAUUAGAAUAAGCUAAAAAAGGUUUGUGGGAGUUAUAAAUUGUUUUUAUAUGCUCAAGUAAACUCUGGAUAGGUUUUUCCGAAUAUCUCCCCACGUAAGUCUGUCUAGGAACAUUAGCCAGCUUGUUGUGCCACUUGUAAGACAACUGCUUUGUUUAUUUCAAUUGUCAAAAUCUUUUCUUUUGAGGUCUAAUUAUUCUCUACAAUCUUGAAGAACAUAAAUCAUAAUGUUGGCUGUUACGUCUGUUGUAAUGCCGCAUGCGCACUUGGUUGGGAUUUUUCUGUCAUUGAUCUUCAUGAAACAUUAUCAAUUUGAUUUUUGGGUCAUUUUUCUGUCUCCCCUUCCCUGUGAAAUUCCAUGUUCCGACAUUAUUAUUGCCUUGGAACUUUAUUGGUAUAUGACGCGGAAAAAUUCUGGCAGGGUUUAUGACCAAAUGCCUGAACCUAGAUGGGUCAUUUCAAUGGGAAGUUGUGCUAACGGUGGAGGAUAUUACCACUACUCUUACUCAGUGGUUCGGGGGUGUGACAGGAUUGUUCCUGUUGACAUAUAUGUUCCAGGCUGUCCUCCAACUGCUGAGGCUUUGCUGUAUGGACUCCUCCAGCUGCAGAAAAAGAUCAAUAGGCGCAAAGAUUUCCUCCAUUGGUGGACAAAGUAAGGUCGACUAAGCUUAUUUCUUGGCAGCCAAACUAUUUUACAAUAAGCAAAUUCAUGGUAUUGUAUUACCUUGCUAAGAAGUGCCCAUGUUAGAUGGAGAUUGUGUCGAUACAUUACCUUAUCACAGUUUCUGAAUGUUCUAUCUGCUCUUUUUAUAGGGGCUUCAUUCCCCUUAAGUUUUUUUAUCUGUUAAUGCUUCAUUUGUGUACCCGGGAGUAAACUAUAUGUGAAAAACUCAUGUUUGGUUUGUAAGUUACGGUUUUUACGUUGGACCAAUUCCCCUCUCCAAUGGUUCCUCAUGGUGUUCCUAUAAAUAACUUUCAUCCCUAACUUGUAUCUGCCACACUCUCUUUCCUCAAAGCUUUGACUUGUAGUUCUCAUUUCUAUUUUUCUCUAUAAUUUUCAAAGAAUGGAUAUGCUUUUUUAUAUAGGAUUUGUCAGAGGAAACUUCUUUCUAAAUCAACAAUGAUUUAUUUAAUGGAUUAUUUGUGGCUUAUAGUCGAUUUAGCAUAAAUGUUAAGGGUUUUUUCAGAGACAUAAUCAUUGUAAAAUAUUUAAGAUAAAAUUGAUCAUAUAAAAAUAUUUCAUUAAUAUUUGUAAUUAUUUAUGUUUUAAAAAUUAUAUUUUUAGUAUUUACGUCAAUUUAUAAUUAUUUAUGUUUUAACAUAAACAAAGACAUGGUAUAUUGUAUUGCUUAUUUUUAUUAAUAUUUAUAUUUAUAUACUAAAAUGACUCGUUAAAAUAAAAAAAAAUAAAACAAAUAAUUGAUAAUACAUAAUACACUUCCUUUUUCAUUUUUUUUUUACAUUUGUCUUUAAUCCAACAUAAUUUUGCUUUCAUUUUUUUUAAUACAAUCAUUUAAAUGUUAAUAAAAUACAUGUUUUUGUGAUGCCACCAUUACUUAUUUGGUUCAGUGAAGGAAAAUGAAACUAGAAAUGGCACGAUAAAAGAUAGGUAGAAUAAGAAAAAAGAAUGUUAAAAUAAAUCCUUCUUUCUUAAUUUUUUUAAAAAUUAUUUAUUUAAAAUCACCAUUUUUAAGUUUAAAUACUUUCGCUUAUAAAUUAACCAAACUUUGAAAGAAAAAUAGUGAAAUAAAUCAAAUAAACGUGCAUAAUUUAACUUAUUUUUAAUCCUUUAUUAUAUAUUUUAAGUUUUAUUUAUUAUUUUAAAAAAUAAUAUCAAUCGAAACCAUUUUUUUAUUGGAGUGUUUUGUUUAAAAUUUAAAAGUAUUUAACAGUAUAUCAUUCCUUCUCAACAUAAUAAACUCUAAAAAUUAGAAAAUACGCGUGAGCCUCGUUAUUAUUCACACUGUCCUGAGCUUUUUUUCAACAAACUUUAAACUACAAUAAAUAGUUUUUUUAAGCGUGUUAUAGUUUCUGUUUUACACUUCCAACUAAAUUAGUAUUUUACCGCGCGAAUUCCAUAAAAUAAAUAUUUUUAAAACUAUAUAAAAUAAUAUUAAUUUACAAUACAUUAAAGCUAAACAUUAUAAUAAAUAAUUAUUUUCGAAUAUUUGAAUUAUAUUUUACAUUUACAAUUAACUCCUGAAGUUAUAAUAUAAACUUAUUUUAUGUUUAUGAUAAAAACUGCUGAAUCUCAUAACACAAACAUAUUUUUAUAAAAAAGAAACCAUACUUUGAGUAAAUUGAUUUUUUAAAAUAGUUUUGAAAGUAAAGUGUAAAGUGAAAUUAUAUAUAAAAAAGAAAGAAAAUGUUAAAAAUGCCUAAUCGAAGGAGCGAAAUAAUGAAUAAUAAAUAUACUAAAAUUACGUGAAAAUAAAAUUUUUCUUUAAAUAUAGUUUCUUCUUAAAAGCAUGACGUAAAAAGACAUCUUGUGAUUUUGGUUGCAUAAACGAAGCAAAAUAUCUCGCUCUCUCCUACAGAGGUAACGCGAGUGACUAGGGUUUGUGCCAAUGGCGGAAGAAGCACAGUAUUCAUCGGGAACGGAGUCGGCAUCCCUCAAGCGCAAGUACGAAGACCAAUCCUCCGACAGACCCACCGGAUUCUCUGCGGGUCCCGCCACCGGCAUCGAGCUCGCCAAGCAGCGUGCUCAAGAAGUCGCCGCUCGCCUCCUCAGUGUCACUCCUCCUCCUCCGCUCGACGCCAAGCGUCCCAAACCCGAUAACGGUGCUCCUUCCUCCGGUUUCGAUUCUUACGGUAACUAACGAUUCCUCUCUGCUCCGCUCUUCUCGUUUAUGUUAGGGUUUUAUGAACUAUGAUUUCCGGGAACGUAGAUGCGAAGCCUCAGUACUCGGCCGUUCCCCCCGUCUCCUACAGUCACCAAGGAACGAGCAAGAAGAUUGAUAUCCCUAACGGCAGGGUUGGUGUGAUAAUUGGCAAAGGUGGAGAGACCAUUAAGUAUCUCCAGUUGCAGUCUGGUGCCAAAAUUCAAGUUACUCGCGAUAUGGACGCCGACCCUAAUUCUACUACCAGGACCGUUGAGCUUAUGGGCACUCCCGAGGCAAUCGCUUCUGCAGAGAAACUCAUUAAUGAAGUUCUUGCCGAGGUUAAACACAUUUUAUGCUUCUCAUUUUUUUUUUUCUGUCAAUCAUGGAUGGAUUAGAUUUCGUUUAUCACCGAUUUUGAUGUUACGAUAAUCUUACCAAGGAGAACUGUUUCCUAGUGAACUGCUUAAAUGUUUAAUUAUUGCAAUAUAUAUGGUUAUAACUAUUUUUGUACCAGGCUGAAUCUGGAGGUUCUGGCAUUGUUGCUCGAAGACUGACCGGACAAGCUGGGUCGGAUGAAUUUGUCAUGAGAAUUCCGAAUAAUAAGGUGUGAAAGGGAGAUUUAAGUGUAUGCUUUGUACAAUGUCAUGAGUGUUUCCCUUGUUCAGACUUGCGGUUUUUUUUUUUUUGUCUGUUUGGGUUGAUAUGUUUAUUGUGUGCAUCGUCAGGUUGGCCUUAUAAUUGGCAAAGGUGGAGAAACCAUAAAGAAUAUGCAAGCUUCUACUGGUGCACGGAUUCAGGUUUUUACUUAUAAGUGAUAUAUAGAACAAUGUUCUCUUAUUUGUGCAUUGGAUAUCCGUGAUUUGCUGUUAUGGUAUUUUUACCGUUGCUUUGUCGUUGAUAAUAAUUUGAAAAGAGAUUGUAUUAACUGCCAACUCCCAUGACUAGGAAAUUUCUAUCUGGAGUUCUUUGUGACUAAUGUUCAUAAUUAUUUUUUCAGGUGAUACCUCUGCAUCUUCCUCCAGGUGACACAUCAACUGAAAGAACAUUGAAAAUUGAUGGGACACCUGAGCAAAUUGAGUCUGCAAAGGAGUUGGUUAAUCAAAUCAUCAGUGGCGAGGUAUGUUUAUGGUGCUUCUUUUUGCCACAUUUGGCCUAGGCAUAUCUGUCUGGUUAUGCCAAGUCUCGUCUAGUGUUUAAAAUUGUUGUUUUUCUACUUGGUUUUUCACUCUGUAUGUUGCACAGUCUACUUAUCUUAUAGACCGAUUGAUAAAAAUAGGUUAAUGUACGUAGCUUUAUGCGAUUGUUAGAUGAAUACUCCGUGCUUCUGAUUGCCUGUUGGAUCUUUCUAUAUUUAUGGUAUUAAAAUAUAAAACUAGAUCUGAUUCACCCUGUAACAUGAUACAUGAUUUUGCAGUACUCUUUGAUUUGUUCCUUUGCAGGGAAAAAUUGUUUUGGUAAAUCAUGUGAUGCUUUUUACUAUAGUUUGCAUAAAUGAGUUUUAUUUUUUUCAUAUUAAUUAAUUCAUUGAUCUUAUUAAUGAUAUAUUAUAACACUGAUCAUUAUUACUUAGCAUUGUAUAUCAUUGAUGGUUUUGAUCUCGACUGAAGCAGCUUUUAGCUGUAUGGCAAUUAUUAGUUAACUUGAUGCGUAUUCUGGACGCUUUGAUAUCUCUUCUAAAGCAGCUUAGUUCAUAGUGUAUGUUUUUAGAAGUAGUAUGUUUCGAGAGCCUAAUGUGCCUUUCACAAGUGAUUUUUAUUAUAUGGUACUUAAACAUUGAUACGACCUCUGUUACCUAUUGUAUUGUUCUCAAAAGAAAAUCAGUAUAUAAUUUCAUAUUGUGCAACUGUUUCAAGACUUUUACAAAGUAAUACUCAAAGGUAGAAAAUAAACUAAACCUCUAGUGGCUGUUACGAUGUUCUUUCUUUUAAUCUCCAACUCUCAUCAAUGUAAUUUAUUCAGCUCGCCAGGUGGAAAUAUGGUUAGGGAGACCGUUCACUGCUAUAGCCAUAGUUUAUUAGCUGUAAUGUUAACGACUGUAUGGUAUCCUGUUCUAUGAACAGUCUUUAUAUACUGGCAAUAUGCACCUUUCUUUAUGUUUAGUCUCGGAUUAGGUGAUGGUCAUUAACUUUCAGGAUCUUCUAAUUCUGGCUUGUCAACUGGUUUUUACGUUUGUGUAUGUGCACUCUGCUCUGUAUAAUUAGCUAACACUUCUUGGCCAUUAUCUUUUAUCCAUCCACAAACUAAGCAAUAAUUGAGAUUUGGACUUUCAGUUUUCUUGACCAAGAUACCAUACUUUUUUACAUAGACCGUUUUUUAACUGUGGUGAAGUUUUUCACCUAGCCCUGUGCUUUCGUCUUACAUUGUUUUUGUUGGUUUAGAUUCCUGGGGGUGGUGAAGGCUACUGUUAUUAUGAAUAUUUUUGGGUCCUGAUGGAUACUCAUUGAGAUUAUAGCCUUCCGACAUUGGAAUAUGAUUAUUAAUUGUGUAUCCUAUGACUGAUAAUGUUAUUGGGACUGUUGUAGGGUUAGUGUCUAUUGGACUAUUGGUGACACCAACAUGAAUCCCUUUGUUGGUGUUCCCUCAGCGUGCCCUGGUAUGGUUCUAAAUCUCAGAUAUUUAUUAUCAAGGGCAGUAAGUCUCCUACUAUAUUAUUUGACUAUGGUGUCAUUAUUAGACUGAAUAUUGGAUUGUGUUGAAAAGGUUUCAACUUGGUCACUUGUGCUUUUCAGUUCAUAUCUCAACAAGAACCUUUAUGUACUUGGAAUAGUAUUUUAUCCUCGGAUCUUAUACAUGACUUUCAUUUGGCAUCAGUAACCUGAAAGUUGCCUACCGUGCAACUCUUUAAUUAUUUUCCCCUACUAUUAUUCUUCUCCAGCUUUAAAUAGUAGUUUUCUGAACUAACCAGUUAUCUUCAAGAUUUCUGUUAAGAUUUAUCUGUUGUACAUUUUGUACCACUUCUAUUCAGCCUCAUCGUUCCAUUAUUUUUCUUUUUCUUAUUCGUUUUCCAUGAAAAUAAUAUUUAAUUUUAACUUUUAAUUCCCUAGGUUGAACUAUUAGAUUGGGUUGUACAAAGGUUGAGAGUAUGUAUAUGGGAGCGCAGAAAGUUGUCUCAACAGUCUAUAUAUUUGAAUUUAGAGUUACGCCUUCAUCUUAAUAUACAGUGAAAUACUCUUUCAAUUAACCUGAAUACGAAUGAUAUAUUCUAUAUUGUAUGUGUAACAAUUGGAUUAAGAUCUUGCAUAUUUUGAGAUACUAUAUGAUGGAUUGCCCUUUCGAGGCAAUAAAUAUUGAAUGCUUGUUUGCUUCUAUGGUCUGUGCUUUCUUUUGUACCCAUCCAACUCGAAUAGGGAAAGGGUGUGCUUCUGCUGGAGUAACUCAGUUUUAUCACGAACCAGUACGGUAUGUAGGUAUUCAUAUCCCUUUCUGAUCAUGUAUGCAACCUGUUAAUGCAAGAUAAAAAACCCUUUAUAUCGUAUUUAUUAUAUGUUGAUUUUUGCAUUUGUAAGUUUAACCUGUGUACGUGUGCAUAUGUUGCUUUCUGUACUUGUCCGAUGUGGAAACUUGGGUGAAUUCACUUUUCAUAUUUGGUUUCAAUUUGUCUGCACAGAAUCGUCUUAGAAAUCCUGCAAUGUCUGGUGGUUAUCCUCAGCAAGGUUACCAAUCUCGUCCACCCUCUAACUGGGCUCCCCCUGCUCCAAUGCAGCAGCCUGGUUAUGGUUAUAUGCAGCCUGGUGGAUAUUCUGGUCCAUCACCUCAGUAUAAUAUGCCUCAACCACCAUAUGCGGGCUAUCCUCCUCAACAACCAGGUGGAUAUUCCACUAGCUGGGACCAGUCUUCUGCACCACCUCACCAACAGUCUACUCAUGCUGGCGGCUAUGAUUACUAUAGUCAACAGCCACAGCAACCGCAAAAUCCUGGAGGGCCAGCACCUCCAGGGGAUAGCUCUGCAUACAGUUACAGUCAACCACCUUCAUCUGGUUAUAGCCAACCGGGACAGGGUUAUUCUCAGGACAGCUAUAAUGCAUACAAUGCACAGUCUCAAUCAGGGUAUGGACAGCCACAAACAUAUGAUCAGCAGCAAGGCUAUGGCUCAGCUACUACUGGCUAUGGUAGUGGGAAUAACCAAGCGCAAGAGGGCCACACUGCAAGCUAUGCAUCGCAGGGAGAUUCAGGCCCAGCUCCAUCUACCCAACCGACCACACAACAAGGUUAUCCUACCAGCCAACAGCCCAGCUCAAACACUGCCAACUACCCAGCUCAGGGAACUCCUCAGUCAGGUUAUGGGGUUCCCCCGACCUCCCAAGCUGCUUAUGGAAGUCAACCACAGCCAGGUUACGGACCUGGUUAUGGAGCCCCUCAAUCUCAGAAACCAAGUGGCAAUCCUCCUGUUUAUGGACAGUCGCAGUCACCCGGUGCGGUGGGAGGCUAUGGUCAGUCAGCAUAUCCUGCUCAGCCUCCACCUUCCGGUUAUACUCAACCCCAAGCAGAAACGGGUGCUCAGAGAGCACCUCCAUCGGGCUAUGGUGCAGGGCAACCAGGUUAUGGUUCUCAAACAUAUGGUGCAGCUCAGGGUGGCCAGCCUGCUUAUGGUCAGGUACCACCUCCUUACAGCAACAGUUCUUAUGGUGCUGGUUAUACUCAGGCUCCCGCAUAUACUGGCGAUGGUAAUGGCAGUGGAAAUACGCAGCCUCCUCAGACUGCUGUUGCUAAAGCAUCGCCUCAGACUUGAUAUUUUUGUCUCCCUUCUCUCAUGGACUAUCGUUUUUAGUUGUGUUUUACUGAUCCUUAUUUUUCUAGUGACACUAUGUAGCGUUGCAUUGUUUAGAUGGAAAAAAUCGUGUAUUGAUAUUUUCUACAUUAUCCGGUUCUGUAUGGUUGAAUAGGAGCUCAUUUUUAUGUUGUUUGAAGUUGAGAUGAAAAUAACUUCCCAUUUUUAUGCUAGUUUCAGUUGUAAAUAAGGCUUUAAGGUUUCGUUUGGAAUAGAGAUUUUUUAAGAAUUAUCUUAUUAUGAAUUUAGUGAUUUUUGUAAGUGUUUUGAGAAAAAUUUAAAAUAAAAUUAUAUCCAAACGUAACUUUUUAAUAAAUUAUGAAAACAAUAAUAUUUUUUAUGAAAGUAUCUGUUAACACGGGUAACAGAUUUUUGAAUCCGAUUCUGUAGAAAUACAUACAAACGAAGAAAGAGAGUAUAAUAGAAUUUGAAAACUUAUAAAAAAAAUUGACCGUUUUUAUACUUGUAAAAGUUAAUACUUUUAUUUUUCAUUUUGGUAUUUUAUUGCCCAAGAAUAGCAUGUUUUAUUUUCAUCUCUUAGUGGAUUUUGCAUAAAAAUUGAAUAAUACUUGAUGAUGCUUGUUUGGUUUAGAGUGUUAGAUGGAUGUGAAAAAUGAAAAUUGUUUAAACCAAUUCCAACUCAUAUAAUAUUGAGCUAACAUACACUAAAAUCAUAUUCUAAAAAGAGGUAAGUCUGUCAAAAUUUUCUAAAAACUUGCAACUAUGGUUUAGAUAAUUGGACAUGACACUUUUUUCAAAAUCGACCAAUUCAAUCUAUAAAUAAAACUAUUGUAAUGUCGAAAAUUCAAAUCUUUUCCCAUAAAACCCAAUGUUAAAAAUAUUAGUGACUCUUGGAAUAUUAUUGGUGAGCAAAACAGAAAUGGGAAUUGGAUUUUCUCUUUUGCCAAGGCUAUUUGAAACUGUGGAUCAUAACUUCUGAUAAUUUCAUUCAAAAAAUAUAUUUUAAUAUAAAGUGAAAGUUAUAUAUUUAUCGAAAAUAAAAAAUAAAUAUUAAAAAAGAUAACAAAGAGAAAGAGUAAUAGGAAUGCCGUUAUCUAAAUUAUAAGUCAGUUGUUAAUAUACUAACUCAUUAUAAAGUUUCUCUUAAGUCAUAUAUAUUUAUUUUUUUUCUUAUAAGAUUCUUAGAUAUUUUUAAGAAUUUAUUAAAGAACCUCAUUAAUUAAUAUUUUUUAAUUCAACCCUUAUUGUUGGAAGAAAAAAAAAGAUUGGUUAUAUUCUGAAAAAAGAAAACUUAGUUGAAUCCCUAUUAAAGUACACGAUUAUACAUUUAUUUAUAAAUACAUCCAAUAUUAUCGUUAGUGGAAAAAUCAUUUUUUAUGAGGAGUAAAAAUGAUUUAUUAUGAUGGGUAACCUGACAUAAUAGUUUUGGGCAUCAUAAUAGGUCUGCACAUUUUAUGACGGACAGAAAAGUCCAUAAUAAUAGGUCCUAUUAUGACGGACUUUCUGUCAUCUAUUAUAAUAGGUCCAGUGUAUUAUGACGAAUUUUCACUUAUCAAUCAUAAUAUAGCGAAUUUAUUAUGAUGCAACUAAAUUUACCUAUGAUAAUAUGUAGUGUUUUAUGACUAAGAUUUUUUCACCUGUCAUAAUAUGUAGAACAUAUAAGUAAUUGUUCACCUAUCAUAAUAUAUAUUUUUCAGAAAUAAGUUUUUAUUACAAACAUUGUUCACCACCUAUAAUAAAAACUUGUUUUGUAAAAAUAAAUCAUUAUUACAUUUGACAUAUCCAUUCAAUUUACAAUUAAUUUCCUGUAUUAUAAUCCCAUCAAUCAAUUUAUAAUCAAUAUAACAUGAAAUGAACAUAUUCAAUUAAACUAACAUAAUGAAAUUCAUUUUAAACAUAAUAAUAUUUAAUACAUAAUUUGUACAUCAAACCAUAUAUUAAUUCCAAAUAUAACAUUAACCUAUACUAUUACAUUGUAGUCAAGUUUCUACAAUUUACUAACAAUUAAAAUAAAAGAAAUCCACUUGUUUCUAGUGUCUUCAAUGUCUAGAGUCCAUUAGAGAUGAAUAAGUAAAGAUUUAUAAAUAAAAUAAUUAAGUUAGAAAAAUUUUAUAAUGAAGAAAUUAUUUUAUCAUACUAAGGUAUAGAAUAACAAAAGAUAAGACAUAACCAUGAAGGUCAUUUUACAGAUUGUUACAUCUUGAACAAUGGUCUGGAUAAAGCCAGAGACUUGACCAUUACUCCAAUGAUAAAAUAAUCACCAUUAUCAUAUAGCACAAAUACUACAACAAGCAAUAUGAGUACGUACCAACUUACUUUUUAAAAAUGACAUCAGGUUCACAAGCAAGAUCAAGUAAACAAAAGCUUUUUAAAAGACAACAGAGACAUGGAGCACCAAAAUGUGAUAUACCUAGGUUGCAUUUAUGCUAUCACGGUGAAACUGACAUAUCUUUCCAAGAAGUGAAACAACAUUGUCAUAUGCCAUUACGUUAUCAAGGAAGUUGUGCAUUUGGAUGUCUUAUCACAGUAUCUAACCUUGAGAGUGUCUCUACAGUAGAGCAGAUAAAAAAUAAAAUAAAAAAGAUAUAUAAUUGGCCGCGGAAAAACAGUUAAAUGGUGGUAUUGGGCAACUAACCUCCAACAAGGGGUUUGAAAACAAAUCCACCAAACUCAUCACACACACCAACACUAUAAACAACAGCCUGCAAAGACAUUUAAUUAUUUUGAGAAUAUUAUUAUCCCAGAUUAUAUUCUAAAAAUGGAAAGCAACACUAAUAUAUAGAAAACCAAGAAGGGGAAGUUAACUUUUCGAACAUCUGGAUAUUCAUCAUUGCAAGCUUCUAGUAAGAAUGGAAGGAAAGAAUCAUACUAUUUGUGCAACAAAAAGAAACAUGUAAAAAUAUAGAACAAAAUCAUUCAGGGUAAAGGGGAUAAAUUUUUUUUUUGCAAGGAAAUGUAGAAAAUCCACACAAGAACGAAAGACAUGGGACUCCCACAAGGAGGAAGCACUUACUUGAGAGCAGUUUCACGACAGUGCUCAAAAACAUCAUCAAAUAUACAAAUGGCAAUUCUCCUUUCCUAUGAGGUUUUAUCUUAGCCCUGAUAUUGAUUAUCAAUGGCGGAGGGACGAAAUGGGAUCAGAAAACAAAAUGGAAAAAAUUUCUAAGCUCAUAAUUUGUACAAAUAUAAAAAUGUCCACAUUCACAAAUAUAGACAAGUAGUUCAGUAGUAAAUUAGUAAUUGACAUAAUCCAAGUUAUUUUCGUGUGCUCUGGGAAGGGGCAUAAGAACAUUAGCAUAAAACCCAAAUUUCAUAUAGCAUUUCAGGAGGUUGCAUCGUCAUGAUAGAGGCUAGUUCACGUGAUAUUAUCCACUUUUUUCACUGGCUACAUCGCCUUUUCCCUAAUAAAAAAUGGCAUAUAUAACAAUCAAGAAAAAUGAAUAUCAACUUAGGAAAGAAAGAUAAUAGCUAGACAAGUUUUUUUUUUUUUCAUUCAAAUUAAUUGCCUUACAGAAAAACAUUUCACAAAAAACAAAAGGAAAUGCCAUGAGAGGAAAGAUAGACAACUUCAAAGCAAGAACGCCAAAAACUUAAGACUAAUUCUAGCAUCAAAUAUGUAUUAUUAGACAGACAGAAAGAAGCUUUUAUAUAUAUAUAUAUAUAUAUAUAUAUAUAUAUAUAUAUAUAUAUAUAUAUAUAUAUAUUAGUCUAAGCUUAACCUGACAAAGAGUUUUAGAUAAACGUGUUCUGUUAAGAUCAAUAAUAAUACAAAAAAAGGUACUCAAAUGUUUCCGUUGAAAGAGAAGUGUAUAAAUGUGGAAGAAAUUCACUCUUAAAGGAGGGUUGUUAGAAUUUAAAGUGUGAGUCUAAAUCUCACAUUCGAUAGAAAUGAUUAGAGAAUCUUGGAUUUUAAUGGUUUCUCUUUCAUGUUCAUCCAUUCCUUCUUCCACCGUCAUCUUUUUUUACCUCCCUUUUAUCGGCAUUACAUUUGACUCGUCCAUAUAUGUUUUUUUUCCCAUGAAAAAGAUGAAUUUUGUUAGUUUGUUUAUAGUCGUGGUGACUCUCCAAUAAUGAUCUCUUUAUCCACUAGAUGACAACAAUGCAUUCCUCAACCUUAAUUUGAAAAAAGAGAUUUACAUGGAGCAACUUUCCAAAUUUGUUGCUCAGGAGAGUCUUUUGGGUUGGUAUUUCAUCUUCUAUGUUGUCUUGAAAAUCAUUAGCAAUUUAGUGUCACUCAAGUGUAGAAGUUGAUAUUUUCACUAAAUCUCUAUAGAUUAUAUUAGUAAAAAGCUCGAUACAUACAAUUUGUAUGCAUUAACUAAAGGGGAAGUGUUAGAUAUAUUAUACAAGUGAGAUUAAUCCCAUACAUAAUUUUUUUCAUUAUAUUCAACAAAACCUAUGACAACUUAUCAAGUUUUAGUUUCUUCAAUCCUCAACAAGCAACAAUGCAUUAAGUUUAAUAGUCUUAAGAUUACUAAUGAACUAUAUUUUAUCCCUAAAUAUAAGCUCUAUUAAAUACUUAAUUUUAGUUUUAGGUUCAAAAGUCAUUUUGCAAUAUCUUAGUAACCAAUUAAGUCACAACAAGAAUUAAACAUAAAAAUCAAAUACCAAUAUAAGAAUGUAAAAGCAUGCGCGCGUACACACACACACACACACACACACACAUAUAUAUAUAUAUAUAUAUAUAUAUAUAUAUUAAUAACAAAAUAUACACAAAAAAUUAGUUUAGGGUUAAAUAUGUUUUUAUUCCCUAUACUAUCAAGCGGUUUUGGUUUUAGUCUCUCUUUCAAAGUAAGGUACAUUUUAGUCCUCCUUCCUAAGGAAACUUUAAUUUUAGUCCUCCAAAACUAACACCAUUAAAAACUAGCUGAUGUGGCUAACACUGUAAUGGCACGUCAUUUUUUUUUCUAACAUUAGUCAAUCUCCUUCAUUCGAAACCCAUGGACCACCACCAAGCCGCCAUCUGCACAUGGUUGUUGUUUCUCUGAUUGCAGGUGGCUUUUCACGGCAGCAAUUUAGGGCAUUUGGAGGUCGCGAUUUUUUGGUGUAUUUUCUGCAUUUUAGGUUACGAAGAUGGUGUCGCUGGUCAUGGGAGAUACUCGUUGAUGAAGACCGCGAGUGAAGGUGACUCUACUUCACGAUGGUGCUUAAUGGCGAAGGCAUGGUGGCGAGUCUGGAUUUGAGUUUUGUUGUAAGUGAUGGUGGAACAUGGAGCAGUUUUGUUGAGUCACGAUUUGCGACUUCUGUUUUGAAAUCUCUAUGCGAAGAAGAUGGAGGUCGAGGGUGAUGAACCCAUUGUGCUCUGGUGACAGCGGCCCAUGUUGAGGAUGCGAUUUUGGGUUCCCUUUUAUUCUGGGCUUCUGUGUUUUCUCUGACAGGUGCGAGAUCGAUGAUGACGCGAAGGUGGCAAGCUUCCUGGUGGCUGCCAUGGAGGAGAUUGAAUCUUGCGAUCUAGCGAAGAGAAACACGAUACUGGUUGCGCUCUGCGACAACUUAGUGGUGGUCCGAUGAAGAGUUUUUUGUUCGAAGGAUUUGGUGAAAACGAUGGAGGGAGCGGAAGAUGGAAGGAAGGAAACAGAAGGGAGAGAGGGGAGGGAGAAAAGCUGGGAAAAAUUAAGGUUUAAUACAUCUUUUGGUCCCAUCUUUUGGGACUUUUGUUCAAAAUGAUCCUACCUUCGGAAAAAAAUCACUUUGGUCCCAUAUUUCAUUAAAUGUUGUUCAAAAUGGUCCCUAUGGCAGACGACGUUAAAUUUUUAAUGGUGAAGUUGCUAGCGUGGCAAACGUCUAUCCACCUAUUUAAAAUUUAUAUCACGUGGCUUUUUGAAAACAUUUAAGGGUAAUUAAAAAACCCCUAAUUAAAAUCAAAUUAGAAAAUUAGGGUAGGUAAAAAACCCCUAACCCUAAUUGUUUUUCAAUUGUCGUGGAGAGAAGGCUCUGGGUUGUUCAUCUGCUGUUCAUUUGUCGCGAUUGGAGAUCACGUCAGUGGUGAUUGCUUGAAGGUGGUAGUUCAACAUUGACAGUUUUGACAAUUUUCUUACUGUCACUUUUCAUCAUCUUGUUUUUCUUCUUCUUAAUGUUGUAUUGCAGAGUUAAUUAAGCCCUGAAAUGAAAUUAACUCUAGUGGAGGGAAUCCACGAGUUUCCAGCAAUAAAAUUAGCAACAGUGAAUUUGGAAGCAUCUUCAACCUUAAGAACGUGAAAACCCUGCCACUGCACCCUCCCUGCGGUUCCAGCACCACCUCCUUCAUUGCCGUACUCCGCGAAAUACAAACUCUUCAAAACGGAGCUUCCAUACCCAGGCCACGCCACCCACCCUUUCGCCGCAAUCACUUCGUCGAUUCUACUCUGCAUCACCACCGAUCUCGAAUACUCCUUCCAGGGUCUCCCCAGAAACGAACUGUGCGACUGCUUAAAGUCCGAGGUCGGCGAUAUACUGCUCUUGUGAACGGAGAACCCAGUGUUCUGCCCGGGGUUAGAUCUAAAAACAAUUAGGGUUGGGGGUUUUUAAUUACCCUAAUUUUCUAAUUUGAUUUUAAUUAGGGGUUUUUUAAUUACCCUUAAAUGUUUUCAAAAAGUCACGUCAUAUAAAUUUUAAACAGGUGGAUAGACGUUUGCCACGCUAGCAACUUCACCGUUAAAAAUUUAACGUCGUCUGCCAUAGGGACCAUUUUGAACAACAUUUAAUGAAAUAUGAGACCAAAAGAUGUAUUAAACCAAAAAUUAACUAGUGUUAGAAAAAAAUGAUGUGCCAUUACACUGUUAGCUACAUCAGCUGGUUUUUAAUAACAUUAGUUUUGGAAGACUAAAAUUAAAAUUUAUUAAGAAAGAGGACUAAAAUAUACCUUACUUUAAAAUAUGAACUAAAACCAAAACCGCUGAUAAUAAAAUUGAAAUAAAUAAAUAAAUGUAAAAUAAAGUUUAUUUAUAACAAUGUAUCUUUAUUUUUUUGAUAGUUUAUUUAUACAAAGAAACACCCAUAAAAAUUGAAAUAAAGUUGGAAGUCCAUGGAUGACGUAAAAAGGCCUCAUUAUUUUAUUUUGGUUGUACAAGGGAAGCAAUGUAAAAUAUCUCUUCUUUUUUUUUCUCCACUACCCCACCCAAGGGAUCACACUAGCCACCACUAUAAAUUAUAAAUAUUAGCACAGCCUCUCUUACACACCUAACAUCUCUAGGGUUUGUGUCAAUGGCGGACGAAACUCACUAUUCAUCUCCCAAAGACUCUGCGCCCCUCAAACGCAAGUACGAAGACCAAUCCUCCGACAGGCCCACUGGCUUCUCGGCAGGUCCCGCCACCGGCAUCGAGCUCGCCAAGCAGCGUGCUCAAGAAGUUGCCGCCCGCCUCCUCAGCGUUGCUCCUCCUCCCCCGCUCGACGCCAAGCGUCCCAAAUCCGAUAACGGUGCUCCUACCUCCGGCUUCGAUUCUUAUGGUAACUAUCUGUCCCUCUCUGCUCCACACUUCUGCUCGUUUAGGUUAGGGUUUAUAAACUCUGAUUUCCGUGAACGUAGAUGCGAAGCCUCAGUACUCUGCUGUUCCUCCAGUCUCCUACAGUCACCAAGGAACGAGCAAGAAGAUUGAUAUCCCUAACGGCCGGGUUGGUGUGAUUAUUGGCAAAAGUGGAGAGACCAUUAAAUAUCUUCAGUUGCAGUCUGGUGCCAAAAUUCAAGUUACUCGCGAUAUGGACGCCGACCCUAAUUCUGCUACCAGGACCGUUGAGCUUAUGGGCACUCCCGAGGCAAUUGCCUCUGCAGAGAAACUCAUUAAUGAAGUUCUUGCCGAGGUUAAACUCAUUUUAUACUUCUCGUUUUCUUUUUCUGUCAAUCACAAAUGGACUAGAUUUCGUUUAUCUACCAAGGAGGAGUGUUUCCUGAUGAACUUCUCAAAUGUUUAAUUAUUGCAAUAUGUAUGAUGAUAACCUCUUCUAUACCAGGCUGAAUCUGGAGGCUCUGGCAUUGUUGCUCGAAGACUAACCGGACAAGCUGGGUCAGAUGAAUUUGUUAUGAGAAUCCCAAAUAAUAAGGUGUGAAAGGCAGAUUUGUUGAAGUGUAUGCUUUGUACAAUAUCAUAAGUGAUUCUCGAGUUCAGGUAUGUGGUUCUUCUGUCUGUUUGGAUUAAUAUGUUCAUUGUGGGCAUCUUCAGGUUGGCCUUAUUAUUGGAAAAGGUGGAGAAACCAUAAAGAAUAUGCAAGCUUCUACUGGCGCACGGAUUCAGGUUUUUACUUAUAAUUGAUACGACCGUAAUCUUAUUUGUGUAUUAGACAUAGGUGAUUUGCCGAUAUGGUGUUCUUUCUGUAGCCUUGAGAUUGCUACUAAUUUGAUAAGAGAUUGUGAUAACUGCCAACGCUCGGGACUUGGAAAUUUCUAUCGGAGUUCCUUGUGAUUAAUGUUCAUACGAUUAUUUCAGGUCAUACCUCUGCAUCUUCCUCCGGGUGACACAUCAACUGAAAGAACUUUAAAGAUUGAUGGGACACCUGAGCAAAUUGAGUCUGCAAAGGAGUUGGUUAAUCAAAUCAUCAGCGGCGAGGUAUGUUAAUGGUGCUUCCUUUUGCCACAGUUGGCUUAGGCAUAUCUACCUGGUUAAGCCAAGUCUAGUUCAGUGUUUACAAUUGUUGUUUUUCUACUUGAUUAUUCUACUUGAUUUUGUACCUGGUUAAGCCAAGUCUAGGUUAACUUACUUGCAAGCUUUAUGUGAUUGUUGUAUGAAUACUUUGUGCUUGUCAUUGCCUGUUGGACCUUUUUAUUUUUUUAUGAUAUUGAAAUAUAAAAUUAGAUCUGAUUGAUCCCUGUUGCUUGAUACAUGUUUUCUGUACUUUCUCCGAUUUGUUUCUUUACAGGUAAAAAGUUCGUUUGGUAAAUCAUGAGAUGGUUUUUACUUUAGUUUGCAUAAAUGAUUUUUAUUCUGUUCAUAUUAAUUAAUUUAUUGAUCUUAUUAAUGAUAUAUCAUAGCACUAUGACCAUUAUUACUUAACAGUGUAUAUUAUUGAUGUUUUCAUCUGGAAUGAAGAAGCUUAGCUGUAUGGCAAUUUUGAUGCGUAUUCUGGAUGCAUUGAUAUCUCUUCCAAAGCAGCUUAGCUGAUAGUGUCUGUUUAUGGAAGUAGUGAUUUCUUCAGAGUGUAAUGUGCCUUUGGCAAGUGGUUUCUAUAAUAUGAUACUUAAAUAUUGAUAUGACCUGUUACCUAUUGUGUUGUUCUCAAAAGAAAAUUAGUACAUUUAAUUUCAUAUUGUGCAAGUGUUUCAAGACUUUUACAAAGUAAUUCACUACGGUAGAAAAGAAACUAAGUCACUAGUGGCUGUUAUGAUGUUCUUGCUUGUAAUCUCCAACUCUCUUCAGUGUAACCUCAUCAGCUCGCCUUUUGGAAAUAUGUUUAGUGAGACCGUUCACUGCUAUAGCCGUCAUUUAUUAGUUGUAUUGUGGUGUGAACAACUGUAUAGUAUCUUGUUUUAUUAACAGUCUUGACAUACUAGCAAUAUGUGCCUUUCUUUAUGUUUAGCCUCGGAUUAGGUGAUGGUCAUUAACUUUCAGGGUCUUUCUAAUUAUGACUUGUAAACUGCGUACUUAUUUUGUGCAUGAGUAUUGUGCUCUGUAUAAUUAGCUAAUACGUCUUAUCCAUUAUCUCUUUUAUCCAUCCACAAACCAAUGACUUUGGUAGCAAUAUUUGAGAAUAGGCUCAGUUUUCUUGACUAAGAUACCAUACUUUUACAAAGACCUUAUUUUAACUGUGGUGUAGUUUUGCACCUGGCCCAGUGCUUUGGAGAGUUUCCUUUUUCGUUUUUAUUGGUUUAAAUCAGUGGGGGCUGCGAAGGCUACUGUUAUUAUGAAAUCUUUUGGUCCAGAUGGAUACUCAUUGAGAUUAUAGUCUCUCGACAUUGGAAUAUGCUUAUUAAUUGUGUAUCCUAUGACUGAUGUUGUUAUUGGGACUGUUGUAGGGUUAGUGUCUAUUGGACCAUUGGUGACACCAACAUGAAUCCAUUUGUUGGUGUUCCCUCAGCAUGCCCUGGUAUGGUUCUAAAUCUCAGUUUUGAUAUUUAUUAUCAAGGGCAGUAAGUCUCCUACUAUAUUUUUUGACUAUGGUGUCAUUAUUAGAUUGAAUAUUGAAUUAUAUUGAAAUAGUUUUCAACUACCAAGUGGUUUUCAGUUCAUUUCUCAAAAGAACCUUUAUGUACUUGGAAUAGUAUUUAUCCUCGUAUGUUAUACUGGACUUACAUUUGGCAUAGGUAAUCUGAGACGUGCCCAUUGUGCUGCACUUUAAUUAUUUUCUCUAUUCUAUUAUUUUUGUCCAGUUUUAAGUAGUAGUUUUCUUAACUAACCAGUUAUCUACAAGAUUUCUGCUAAGAUUUGUCUGUUGUACAUUUUGUGCUACUUCUAUUCUGCUUCAUCAUUCCUCUAUUUUCUUUUUCUUAUUAGUUAUCAACUUAAAUAAUAUUUAAUUUGAACUUUGAAUUCGUGAUCCUGAGGUUGAAUUAUUAGAUUGGGUUGUACAGAGGUUGAGAGAGGAUGUACAUGGGAGCACAAAAUAAUUGCCUCGACAGUCUGUAUAUUUGUAUUUAGAGUUGAGCCUUCAUCUUAAUACAUUGUUAAAUAUCUGUAGUUCCAGUCAGACUUGUUGAAUUAAUAUGAAUACAAGUAUUAUAUUGUAUAUUGAAUAGCGUAACAAUUGGAGUAAGAUCUUGCAUAUUUUGAGAUACUAUAUGACGGAUUGCCUUUUCAAGGCAAUAAAUAUUGAAUGCUUGUUUGCUUCUAUGGUCUGUGCUUUCUCUUGUACCCAUCCAAUUCGAAUAGGGAAAGGGUGUGCUUCUGCUGGAGUAACUCAGUUUUAUCACGAACCAGUACGGUAUGUAGGUAUUCAUAUCCCUUUCUGAUCUUGUAUGCAACCUGUUAAUGCAAGAUAACAUACCCUUUAUAUCGUGUUCAUUAUAUGUUGAUUUCUGCAUUUGUAGGUUUAACCUGUGUACGUGUGCAUAUGUUGCUUUCUGUACUUGUCUGAUGUAGAAACUUGGGUGAAUUCACUCCCUUUAUUUUUGUUUUCUAUUUGUCUGCACAGAAUCGACUUAGAAAUCCUUCAAUGUCUGGUGGGUAUCCUCAGCAAGGCUACCAAUCUCGACCACCCUCUAACUGGGGUCCCCCCGCACCAAUGCAGCAACCUGGUUAUGGCUAUGUUCAACCUGGAGCAUAUUCUGGUCCAUCACCUCAAUAUAACAUGCCUCAGCCACCAUAUUCAGGCUAUCCUCCCCAACAACCAGGUGGAUAUUCCACCAAUUGGGACCAGUCUUCUGCACCACCUCACCAACAGUCUACUCAUGCUGGUGGCUAUGAUUACUAUAGUCAACAACCACAACCGCAAAAUCCUGGAGGUCCUGCACCUCCAGCUGACGGCUCUGCAUACAAUUAUAGUCAACCACCUUCAUCUGCUUAUAGCCAACCGGGACAGGGUUAUGCUCAGGACAGCUAUAAUGCAUAUAAUGCACAAUCUCAUUCGGGGUAUGGACAACCACCAACGUAUGAUCAGCAACAAGGCUAUGGCUCCGUUACUGGCUAUGGUAGUGGGAAUAACCAAGCACAAGAGGGCCACACUUCGGGCUAUGCAUCGCAGGGAGAUUCAGCCCCAGCUCCAUCAACCCAACCGACCACCAUUGCACAGCAAGGUUAUCCUACCAGCCAACAGCCCAGCUCAAACACUUCCAACUACCCACCUCAGGGAACUCCUCAGUCGGGUUAUGGCGUCCCCCCUACAUCCCAAGCUGCUUAUGGAAGUCAACCACAACCAGGUUAUGGUCCUGGUUAUGGAGCCCCUCAAUCUCAGAAACCAAGUGGCAAUCCUUCUGUUUAUGGACAGUCGCAGUCACCUAGUGCAGUAGGAGGCUAUGGUCAGUCAGCAUAUCCUGCGCAGCCUCCACCUUCUGGUUAUACUCAACCCCAAGCAGAAACUGGUGCUCAGAGAGCACCUCCGUCGGGCUAUGGUGCAGGGCAACCAGGUUAUGGUUCUCAAGCAUAUGGUGCACCUCAGGGAGGCCAGCCUGCUUAUGGACAGGCGCCGCCUCCAUACACCAACAGUUCUUAUGGUGCUGGUUAUACUCAGGCUCCGGCCUAUACUGGCGAUGGUAAUGGCAGUGGGAAUACUCAGCCUCCCCAAACAACUGCUGCUAAAACUUCGCCCCAGACUUGAUAUUUUCCCCCCUCCCUCUUUUUCAUGGACUUCUUUUUAGUCGUGUUUUGUAGUUGUUUAUUCUACUAGCGAUACCCACCUAUGUAGCGUUGCAAUGUUUAGAUGUAAGGGUUCGUGUACUGAAAUUUCCUACAUGUUGAAUAUUUUUGUAUGGUUAAAUUGGAUCUCAUGGUGAUGGCAUUUGAAAAAAAUGGGGAACUUAAUUUAAGUUGCCAAACUAUGUGUCGAUUUUCAUCUAAUUUUUAGUGAGUUCAACUGACUUCUUCGUAGAAUUUACGGUAUUAAAUAUUUUUUUGGACGAAUUAUUUACUACUUUUGAAGUUAUUAAUUGUGCAAGUGUUUUUCUUUUUGAAUUAUUGUGGUCAUAAAUUGUUUUUUAAUAAUUGUUGAGAAUAACUAUGUCUUUAAUAAUGAAUGUGUGAAAGUCUUUCACUCUGUCUUUCAUUUCCAUUACUUUUUUUUUUUUUUCAUUUAUUUCACUCGAAGUGUGCACGAGAAUUAAACAGUUUAUGACCGCGUUAAACUGUAAAGAAGUUUCAAAUAAGUAAUAUACACUAAUAUAGAAUUUUUUAGGGGGUUUAAUAUCCGAUAUGGGGUGAUGAAUUCAUGGCUCUUGAAAUGAUCCCUGGUAAAUUAUUCUUUGAAUAGUUCUUUAAGAGGUGAGUUUCCCAUAUGAGAAAUUUUGCUUCUUCAUAGCCGUGUGAUGUUUGCUAUCAAUAGCUUCAUCUAUAAAAGGAGACGGGAGUACUUUUACUCUCAGGUGCUGUGACGAGUAACAUACUACUUGCCGUUUUCAAUUUAAAUCAACAUUUAAAUAUGAAAUCUCUAUUUAACAAGCGAAACUGUGCUUAUUACUAAUUCCACUUUAUUUCAACUCGUUCGAUUUCGAUAAGGAUCCCCACCAUCCUCAAUGUGAUUGACAGGUAUACCAUGGGCAUUGAAAAAUAUCACUGCCUGCCUAAUACAUAGAUACAUCUAAUGGAAGAAACCAUGUUGAAAGCAGUCAAUAAAAUAAUAAUCUACCUCUUCUGGUCAGCGAUUGACUUAAUAUAGCCUCGUUUAUAACGGAAACAGGAGCCAUAGACAAAUACUCAUCUUGUCUGAAUUAAAUGAUAUAGUAAACAAAGCCGUAACCAACUCACAGUUUCUAUAUUUUUAAAUAAUAAUAAUAAUUACUACGUAAAAUACAGUAAAUGGUUUGGAUGAAAUUAUUAUUUUUUCAAUUUUAAAUAUAAUGUUUGUGAUUAUAGUUGAGGAUAAAAGCAAAAAAAAAAAAUAAGAAUAGAAGAAGCAAUUGAAAAUGAGAUGAAAAUUUGAAAUUGGGAUUAUAUAAGAGAGGGUAAGAAGAAAUAAUGAAAAUUCAGAAGAUUAGGAAGCAGAGAGAGAUGGAGGGAAUUGAAGGAGAUGGCAGUGGAAGGGGUGAGGGAAGCAGCAAAAGAUACAAUCUGAAACCCUCGCGAGUUUCGAACGAAGAUAUUCUGAUUUGCCUGGACGUAGAUCCUCAGUGCCUCGUCGAGAUGAAAGGGGCCACCGGACCCAACGGCAGACCCCUCACCCGAUUGGACUCCGUCAAGCAAGCCAUCAUUCUAUUCGUCAAUGCCAAGCUCACCAUCAACCCCCAACACCGUUUCGCCUUCGCCACUCUCUCCAACACCAUUUCCUGGGUUUCUUUCCACCAUAACCUAUUUAUUUAUUCCCCUUCAAUUUAAUCCUUUUUAGGGUUUUUAAUUUUAAUUCUUAUUACAGGUGCGCAAAGACUUCACCUCUGACAUCGACUCAACAAUCGCUGCAAUGCGGAGCAUUUCAGCUUCUUCUUCCGCCGGCCCACCCGAUCUCACCCUUUUGUUCCGAUUGGCCGCUCAUGAAGCCAAGAAAUCCCGUGUGCAGGGUCGCAUCUUUAGAGUUGUAAGUGUUUUCCAUGGCUACGAUUAACAUCACUCAAUCGUAUUUAUGCUUGUGAAUCCUAACACGCAAUCUCUACGUUCCACUCCAUUGUAGCUUCUGUUCUACUGCAGAUCAUCAGAGCGACCACAGCAUCAGUGGCCGGUGAACCAGAAGGUGUUCACAUUGGAUGUGAUGUACCUUCAUGACAAGCCUGGUCCUGAUAAUUGCCCCCAGGAGGUUUAUGAUACACUGGUGGAGGCACUUGAACAUGUUAGUGAAUAUGAGGGGUUUAUCUUGGAGAGUGGACAGGGUUUGGCACGUGUUCUAUUCCGUCACGUCCUCAUUCUUCUGUCCCAUCCUCAGCAGCGUUGUAUCCAGGAGUAUCUUGACAUUCCAAAGUCAAUUGCAAAGAAGGUUCCUCAGGUGGAGCCUAUGGCCACCGAAGAUACCGCUCCGAUAGCCACCCAAUAAAACAAUGUAAUUCCCUAAUCUCUUUUUACUUCUUUUUUUCAUGUGAAUGUUGAUGUGAUCACAUACCAAAGUUGGAGUCUUUUGUUACUGGGAUUGUUACUAGCAUGAACAAUUUCUGAUUUUGGAUUCAAUUCCCACAACCCACUUUCUUGUUCUCAAAUCUAUCACAAGUGUACUAUAGUUUAGGCAUAGGCCUGGUAAUAUGUAGAGAAGUGUUUUCUAUUUCAUGGCAACACCCAUUAUAAAAUGCCACAUUCAUAGAAGAUUGACAGGGUAAUAAUGCGAUGCAAAAGAAUCUCUAAACAGAACAUAAAUAAAAGAUUGCAAGAUUUAUAAAACUCGUGAUUUCCUGAAUAUAAAGAAAAAAUGUUCUGGCGGCAACAAUACUAAUUAUUAUUCACAUAGAAUUUUGAUAAUAAGAUUUAAUAAUAAGGUUUAAUAUACUUUAUUAUUAAACAUAUAUUCGUUUUUCUUAACACGUUGUACCAAAAGUACUCAAGUUCAAAAAAAAAUUAAGAAUUGAAUAUAUUUCUAAAAUUAUUAUAUAGAAUAAAAUUGCAUGGACAAAAAUGAAUUUAAACUUCAAAAAGCAAUAACCCUCUGCAUUUGUAAGUUCGUGAAAUGGAAAUCACACUUAAGUCUUCCACGUUUUGUGAUUCUAAUGUGUCAUUAAAUAUUUUAUUUGAAAAAUUGUAUUUAUUUAGUUGCGUUCAUUAUACAGGAUUCAUAAUUAAUUACUGCUCUGAAAAUGUAUCAGCUAAUAAUUUGUCUAACUAAAACUAACACACGAAAUGAUUUUUUUGAAUACAUUACUUAUUUAUCAGUCAAUUUAUGAAAAUUAAUCCAAAAAAUUAGAUAAAAGUAAACCAAAAAUAAGUGAAUAUUUCUCUUACUUUUGAAAUUCGUCCAGUUAUCACUUCACCCAUUUUAACCCACAAUUCAAGAGAGCUACAUCAGAGAUAUAUAAUUUCACCAAAUACAGUAAAAAAAAUCAAUAUAAAAACACUUGUUUUACUUUUAAAUUUCUUUCUUGAAGUAAAAUAACAUUAACAUGAAUCUCCCAAUUAGAUUCUUUCAAUAGCCUCCUAAUAUUAAGAACACAUCAUUUUUCAAAUCAUCGCUUCUUAAUCUCAUUAAUUAGUAAUUGCAUGCAAAAGAAGAGAAUCUUACUCUCUUAAAUGACCACUACUCAUAUCAAUAGAUUUAACAGACAAACUGAGAACUUUUUUUAUCAACAAAAUGAGAAAAUGGGAUUUGGUAUGGCUACAAAAUGCAACAAUUUCAAUUUCAAAUAAGAAAAAACUUAAAUUCUUUUGUCACUGUGAUGAUGCAAUGAAUAUUUCAUUGCAGUAUAGCCGACUGCAUGCACUUAUGUACUAUUCUUGUUCCACCAUAAAAAGAAAUCUACUGAAAGUGAAACCACUGAAGCAAGGGAUAAAAAAUUUGAAAAAGGUAACUAUAGGUAGAUUGUAAGAAAUACAACCUAAUUUGGUACUAAUUUUAUCAGUAAGUUUGUCUGUUUUUACCUUAGCUUUGGUGUAAGAUAAAACAUGAGAACUGCAUAUAAAGUCUAAGACUCUUCACACAUAUUAUAUGCAGCAAAAGAUACACAAACACAAUUACAUAAUCAUAUGAAUUCUGAAAAACAUUUGGGGAGGGAAAUCAUACUCUUGCAAUGAAAAGAAAAAGGGAAAAAUAAAGGAAAAAAAAGAAAAAAAAAUUUGGACCAUUUCUCGAUUUGUGCGUGUCAUCCUUGCGCAGGGGCCAUGCUAAUCUUCUCUGUAUCGUUCCAAUUUUAUCGGAUGUCCCCGAAGGGACAAGCCUCCUGGGCCGAAUUUGGUUUAUAAACUUUAAAAGUUAAGCAGUUUUAAACGAUGUGGGACUUAAAUGGGAAUGAGACCACUUACCUUCUAAGAAAUGGAAGAAGAAACAAAAGGCGCAAUCUGAAGAAAAAAAAAUGUUGAAGCAAUGUUGAGGAUCCAUGGUAGAAGAUCUGUCUGAAUGCAAACGCAGACAGCUGAGUCCAGAAAUGAAGAAUGAAAGAAUAUCCAAGUAUUUUAAUUCGUAGCCAUGAUGACUCUGCUCUACACACUGCACACCCUACACUACAUUUUUGAAAUUUGUGUUUAGUUGUUCCUUCCACCUCUAUCACACUAUUAAAUAUAUUUUAUUUAUUUAUAAAUAUGAGAUUGAGGAAGAAUGAGAAGGCACCCCCGCUUAUUGUUUUAAUUAUAAAAAUACUUUAUUGUUCACUUUGAAGAUAAAAAUACUAUUUAUUAUAAUUAUAAUAAUAAUUAUCUUUUAUUAAAAUAAUAAUAAUUAUUAGCAUUUUAUUUUUAUUAUUUAUUAUUAUUAUUAUUUUUAAUAUAUUAUUAUUUAUUAUAUAUGAUUUUUCAUCUUUAAUACAAGAUAAUCGAUUUCUUUUUAAAAAUUAAUACUCAUUUACUUAUUUCAUCAAUCAAUUUCAUCUUCAACACAAAGGAAUCGAUUUUUUUUCAAUCCAGAAUCGAUUCGCAUCUACUUGUUUCACCACAAUCGGUGGCUUUCUCUGCAGAAAAUGAACUUCCGUGCUUAGGCUUACAGGAUUACAAAACUCUCAUCGACACUGUUCGUUUCCAUACUGAUUUCAGAAUCAAUUCUCAACCAAGUUAAAUAGUGGCAAAGAUGUUUUUUCUCUUUCAAAUCUUUCGAUAAAAGUACAAAAAUCAGAUUGGAAUCAUAAAAUCUUUAAAAACAUGAGAUAAAAAAGGAAAUAAUUAUUAUUUUUAAAUGAGAAAAGUAUUUUAUUAUUUCAAAUUACUUAUAUAUACUCUCAAGUUUAAUACUGAAAAAGAGAUAUGUCAAAAUGUCGUAUCAAAAGUCAGGUGCAGAAUUUGCAGAGCAGAGUUAUUUAUGAAUAGGACUACCUAUAGAUAGAUGAUGAUAGUGCUUAGAUAUUCAUUUUUUUAUCUUCAUUAAUUAUACAUACCUAUUUUUAUUCAUACAGAUCUUUUAUAUUUUUCCUUCUAGAGUCUCAGCAAUAAUUAUUUUAUGAGAAUGAUUAUUUUUUUUAUUACAUAAAAAAAAAUAUGAACACACGAAAUUACGUUUUGGUUUACACUGGUUAUUAAUAUUAAAAAUUAUGUAAUAUCAUCUUUAUUAUAUACUAGUUAUUAACAAUGAAAAUACAUAAAAAUUAUCUUUAUAUAAUUUAAAAUGCCCGUCUUAAACACGUACAAGUAUUCUGAAUCUUUGCUUUCAUUAUUAAUACAUUCUGAAAGUCAAAUAGUAAUUCAAUAUAUUAAACUAUUGUUCCAUUCAAAUAAGAAUUUUCUAAUUAUGGCAUCCUUUCGUUCUUCAAACCAUGCUUACAAAAUAAAAUAAAAAUAUUAGCUGAACAUGUGUUUUAAUUUAUUAUAUUAAAAGUUAAGUUAAUGAAUGAUUAAGAAACAAGAUGCAUUCAUGCACAAUUGUAAGAAGAAGCCGAUUGCAGGAAUACAGGAAACUUGAUCCUUAUUUCACAAAAGUCCAUAACUCAAACAUAAGCAGAAAAUGUUAAUGUAGCAUAGUAGUUGAAGGAGACAAUACUUUUGCAGAAGUGUUAGAUUAGAUCUCCGAUGGUGUUGUUAGAUAUAUUAUUUUCAACUAUAGAAAGUCAGAAGCAUUUGUAAUGUCCCUUAAAGCCAGUGUUGGGACAUUCCAGUUCAAUAAAUAACCAUUAAAAAACCGUCCAUUAUUGAGUUUAUAUUAGCUUAAGCUUUCCCACAUAAGCAACUACUUCGCUUAUUAAAUUGUAAAUGAUUGCUAUAUAUUGGGUCCUAUAAUUCAUGAGAGUUAGACUUUAAUAGAAUAAAAUAACAGAAGAAAAAGUCUCCAUGGGUAUCUGCAUAUCCUCUGAAUCUUCAGCGAUUCAUGGAGCGCCUGAAGAAGCUCGUGACGAAAAUGUGUUUGUGUUUGAAGCAACCAAGCUUCUCAGGGGACUUUCCUCUGCUUACUCUAAACAAGGUACCAAAGGGCUCAACCAAGAUGCUGCAACACUUUGUCAGGUACAUGUUUCUUAUAAAGAAGCUAUCUUUUUUUUUUUUUUUUUCUUCUGAAUCAUAGUAGAAUAAUCUCUUAAGAUUCUAUGUAAGAUGCUAAUAUUGACAAAGUUUAAGAUUGAAAACUUGGUCCUUUAAGCAAGCUGCAUAGUAUAUAUGCAUAUAUAUUAUAUAUAGGCACUGGGAAGCACAUGAAAUUUAUUGUAACUUCUCUUCCUCUGCUUCCUUUAUUAGGUUUAUGGGACGGCAAACGCAGCAUUCUGUGGAGUUUUUGAUGGGCAUGGAAGGAAUGGUCACAUAGUGAGCAAAAUAGUGAACAGCCGUUUGUGUUCACUCAUAGUGGACCAUAAAAAAGUGCAUGCAAAGAUUGAUAAGAAGAACAUCACAAGGCAUGUGGAGACAGUUGAAGAGGACUCACAAGCUCUACUAAACAAGAAUUUUGAAGAAUGGAAAGAAGCCAUUCUUGAUGGUUUCAGGGUGAUGGACAAGGAAGUGAAGCUACAAGAGAAUCUGGACUGCUCUUGCAGUGGAACUACGGCUGUAGUUGUCAUAAGACAGGUAAACCAAGAAACCAACCAACCGUGAAAGUGAAAUUAUCAUUGACGGUAUCUUUGAUCAUAUAUAUGUGCCUCAGUUUUUGCUAUUUGGAAUAGAAAAUAUAUAGUAAGUGAUAACAAUGCAAAAGGAUAAAUUAACAGGGUGAAGAUGUUGUCAUAGCUAACCUUGGUGACUCUAGAGCAAUCUUGGGGACAAUCUCUGACGGUGAAAUCAUGCCCAUUCAAUUGACGACGGAUAUGAAACCUGGAUUACCUUGUAAGGCUAAUAUGAUCGUCCUUGUUGAAGCUAAGUAAAUUAAUGUGAGCCCAAUUUAUGAAUCUAUAUUGAAAUGCAGGCGAAGCGGAACGAAUAAAAAGUUGCAAUGGCCGUGUAUUUGCCCUGAAGGAAGAACCACACAUCCAGCGAGUGUGGUUACCCGAUGAGAACUCUCCAGGUCUGGCCAUGUCUCGGGCUUUUGGAGAUUUCAUGCUCAAAGACCACGGCAUCAUUGCCAUCCCUGAAAUUUCGCAUCGCACUCUAACAUCUACCGACCAAUUUAUUGUUCUUGCAAGUGAUGGGGUAAGUGUUUUAUUUUGCAUGUUAAUUUGCUUAUUUUGGAUUUUCCUUUAUUGACUUUUUGAUUUUCUGAUUUAGGUGUGGGAUGUGCUAAGCAACGAGGAGGUUUCCUCAAUAGUGUGGGCAGCAGACACUGAAAAUGAAGCAGCAAGGGCUGUUGUGGAAGCAGCAGCGUUAGCAUGGAAAAGCAAGUAUCCUUCUUCUAAGUUAGAUGACUGCACAGCCGUUUGCCUCUUCCUACAGAAGAAACCCUCAUAAGUUCCUUUUUUCUUGGUAACAAAGUUGCCAUGUGAACGUGAAAUUAUAGCUCCUUACAUUACAUACAUAGCGCCUCGCAUGUCAUGUUGGGAAUUUACAUAGAAAACUGAUAAGAAGAUGUACUGCUUGUGUUAUUCUCAGUUAGCAUCCUCUAGUUUCUCUUUUUUACUUUAUAAAUCUCUAUGUAUCUCCUAUAAUAUAAUCUUCUACUCCACUUCACACCAAGUUAAUGUCGUCGUACCUAUUAAAUUUUGAUGAGUAGUGUAAUCGGAUGAUAAUUAACAAGGCUAAUUUCAGGCCGUGAUAGUCUGGUCAAUUAUCAGGAGUAUUAGCUUUGCACGGCCAGAUUAUACAGAAAAUUAAAAACAAGCGAUGUAAUUGAGAGAAAUGAAAUGAAAAAGAAGAAUAUUAAAAAAGUGUAAUAAGAUACUUUACGAAUAAUACAACUCAUCCCUAUAAAAAAAACUAUAUGCCACCAUAUCACUAACAUGAGAUCCAUACCCUGUAUAUCCAAUAAUUUCACUUCUCUAGAAAAUACAGAACUCCCCAAGUGUGACCAAUGCAAAAUAUGCUGUAAUAACUUUUGUUAUUGAAUACGAGAUUAAAUUUUAAUAUUUACUUAAAAAGAUAAUAAAUAAAUAAAAUAAUUUUAAGUUCAUCAAUGAAUUAAGAGAUAUAUAGAAAAAUAAAGUACGUGAAAAAAAUAUUUUUUAACUUGUGUAUGUGUUUAUAAUUUUGUGUAAAUAAUUAAAAAAAAAAAUAAUACUCAACUUUGUCCUUAGUUUGGUUGACAAAUCUCAAUUUAGUCCAUCUUUAGAAAAGUGUUUGAAAUUGGUUCUUAUUUUUAAAUUUUUGAAUCAAAACAGUCCCUUCUGUUAAAUAAUGACAAACGACAUUAAAGUUUUUUUUUCUCUCCUCAUCUUCUAUGCAUUGCAAGUUUUUGUCAGCAUUUGCAGUAUUUAAUGAUUAUUGUACUUUUCCCAAUAAAAUUUAAUAUCCUUAUUGAGUAAUAAAGUCAGAAAAAUUUAGUUAUAAAUAAAAAUUAUGCUCACUUGUUACCUCUACUACCAAAUGGAAGUAGUACUAUCUUUACGUUUCUUUAUAAGUAGAGCUGUUAAAACGGGUAACCCGACUCGACCCGGCCCGACCCACCACAGGUUGGUCACUUAAUGAGUCAAGCCAACCCGGCUCAUUUAUUAGCGAACCAGAAAAACUUGAACCCGGCCUGACCACCACGGGUUUGUGGGUAAACGGGUUGGCUCACUAGCCCACUUAAUUACAUUUUUUUUAAAAUAAAAAAAAAAUACAAACUUUCUGUAAUUUAAAUUUAAACAAUUUUCACUCCCAAAAAAUUAUAUUAAAGAGAAUUCAAAAUAAUAAUAAAAAGUACAAUAUAAUCCAAAUGUCAUUCAAAAACAAACACAACAAACAAACAUACAAAUAAGUUUCUUAUAUUCAUCAUUUUGUGUUCUUGUUGUAAUCCUUGACCCUUGUUCCUGUUGUCUCCAAAUUCACUAAUAAAGAUUUUCCUAAUAUCAGAACAAUUCCGACAACAAUAAAAAAAUAUUAGUAAAAAAAAAGAGAAUCAAUACUCAACAACAUCAACAAAAAAAUUAAUAGUUUAAUCUGUAACAUAAUUUCCCAAAUUCAAAUAUAUCAAAAAGAGCUUGUUCAAAUAAUGUAUAUUCAAAUUAUUUAAAUAAAAUGAACAAAAUCUAAUACAAGCAUGUCAGAACAUGAAAAAAUCAUUCCAUGUCUUCAAAUCUCCCAGAACAAAAAACAAAUUCGCAAACCACUAUUUUUGUCAUUAUAGGGUUUUUGAAAAAAAAAAGUAAGAAAACAAAAAUGUGGAAAAAAAAAAAGAAAAAAGGAAGGGUGUUUUACCUGCUCCUUGAAUAAUUUCAGUGAAGUGAGGGUGAGAGCACCAUCAAUCAAAUGAGAGCAAGUAUCCCGAGAGUGAUUUGGGAGAGCAGAGGUUACUUUUUUUGUAUACACAGUGACUGAGUGAAUAAAGUAUUUUAUUUUUUAGCGUUUCAUAAAUAAAAUAAUAAAUUAAAAAAAAAAUUAGGUAGGUGGGUUGGUGGGCCAACCCAGCUCACCACGGGUUCAACCCGCAUGAGCCGGGUUGAAAUUUGACCCGCAUAUAAGUGGGUUGUAUUUUUCAAACCCAACCCGGCUCGAACGCAUGACGGGCCGGGUUGGCUCGAGGGUUGUGAUCCAUUUUGAUGGCUCUAUUUAUAAGUGUGAUUCUCUUUAAAAAAAAGUACUUUUAUUUAGUUAUUACUUUUACCAUACAUUUUUCUAAAUUUUGAAAAAUUGAUUAAAAAUAAAUCUAAAUAUAUAUUUUUAAUUCGAGUUUAUAAUUUUUUUAAAAGGAUUUAUUUCUCAAUUACUCUAAAAUUAAAAAUAAAAAAUUUAAUUUUUUAAUGAUUUUUUUGUUUUUGUUUAAAUUUUAUUUUUUAUUUAAUCAAAAACAAAAUUAUUAACAAAUUAAAUUUUUUAUUUUUAAUUUUAGAGUAAUUAAGAAAUAAAUACCUUUUAAAAAAAUUAUAAACCCACUUAUUUUACAGGAAUUAAAAAUAUAUAUUUAGAUUUAUUUUUAAUCAAUAUUUCAAAAUUUAAAAAAAGUACUGUAAAAGUAAUAACUAAAUAAAAAUAUUUUUUUAAAGAGAGUAGUAGAGUUCUUUAUUACUUAAAGAAUAUUAAAUUUUAGGAUAAUGAUAUUUAGACAACAUUUUUUUGACAACAUUUGAACAUUGAUUACUUGUCAAUAUGUGAUUGGUCAAAAAUUACUUCACAGUAGUGUUUAUGAUUAUUAUUAUUUAUUGUGGAGUAAUUUUUGAUCAAUCACAGAUAGACACAUAAUCAAUGUUCAAAUAUUGUCAAAAAAAUGUUUUUCUAAAUAUCAUUAUCCUAAAUUUUAUUAAGAAAAGUACAAAUCAUUAAAUACUAUAAAUACUGACAAAAACCUACAAUGCACAGAAAAUGAGAAGAGAAAAUAAAUUUUUUUACCAUUUGUCAUUAUUUAAGGGAAGGAACUAUUUUGACUCAAAAAUUUAAAAAUAAAGACCAAUUUCAAACAAUUUUUUAAAGAGGGAUUAAAUUGAAAUUUGCAAACUAAACUAGAGACAAAGUUAGAUAUUAAACCAAAAAAAAAAAAAUAAUCGCUUUUCGAACUUAAAGAAAGAGGCGCUGACAAACCAAAAUUUUUGCGAAAACGUUGGCCAACUGGAAGAUCAAUACGUCCAGCAGUGAUAUCUUUUCUCUUUCCAUUUUGUGGCUUUUAUUUACUUUUGCCCGCGUAACUAUAUAUUAGAUAGCAGUAAGGCAAAAUGAAUAAAGCCCUAUUUUUACCAUAAACAUAAUUUAUCCUUAACACAAAUCGUUGCACAAGCAAAAAAGAGAAAAAAAAAAAACGGGGAGCCGCGGGGAGAGCAAAAGGAGACAGAAGGAGAAUGAAGUAUAGCUCAAGUCCUAAAGGAAAAUGAGGGAUGUAGAUUUCCAUCUGACAGGGAAUAAAUCUACUUCCAGAUUCAGGUUGCAUCAUUGACUGGAUUCUCUCCCAGCAGAUCAUCAUCAUAUGAUACUGGUAUCCUUAACCUAUCAUGCACAGAUAUAGGUUUUUCUUCAGAAGGUGCCGGUUCAUGUUUAUUUUGCAGCUGGGAAACAUGAAAAUCACUACCCAAAACAUUGCCCUGAUCCCUGCCAGAAAAUGAAACGGGCACUCCUUGAGAAGAAUCGUCUUUCUUUGGCACAGGUCGUUGCGUCACAUUAGGCUGCUUGAACUGUUUCUGCAUUACGAUAAACAUGAAGCCCAAAGGCAAAACAGUUAGUAAACAACAACUUACAAUUUGAAGAUGCACUCCUUCGUCAUAAUUAGUUAAGAUGGAGUGAAAGAGAUAAUCCCAAACAAUUCUAAUCUUGGUCAGAGGUUUGAACACGGAUUUAAACAGAUAUCUGGCUCACAAAUUCGGCCCAAAUUUUUUGCUGUGUCAAAAAUCUCACCACAAAUUAUACCCAAAAACAGAAUACCAGUAAGCGCAAACAAAUUUCAGCAAUGACUUCCUCUCAGAACCAUAGAGGCAUCGGAGAUGAUAACCAAAUUUUCUUUGAAAAGUGGGGAUUUCAUCUGUUCCAUCAAGGUUUUUGCCUACAACUAACAAUCUAAUAUUCAGAUUUCGGAGGUAGAAAUGAAGUUGCUGGAGCAGAAAACCUGUCCAUAUUACAGAAUCUGAGCAUAUAAUUGAACAGAGUAUGCCUCUAACAUCCACGGGUUCAUAUUUCAAGGAGAAAUAUCACAAGCAUUCAUCCUUGUGGGAUCUCGGUAAAUCAGUGUAGUCAAGUCUGAGUGUCAGCUCAAUUUUCUCACCAAUUACCAUUUCACACAGUAAACAACAAAUUACAGUUUUAAGAGAUCCAAGUCAAAAAAUGUUUACCAUGACUUUCUUAACCUUACAUUUUUAACGUCAUACCAAUACCAUACACACUUCAGAAAUCAAAGGCGACCUUACUUAAUUUAGUUGGAUGGAAAAAGAACCCCCUCUUACAAAAAACUUUCGGUGUUUAAAUAAAAGAAAUUUUAUUGUAGUGAGAAACCACACUUAGGCAAAUUGUCAGUUGAUACUCCCCCCGUCAAAUAAAAACACCUCCAUUGUCGCUGAGUAAACGGGAACAAUACUUUUUAUCUUUUAAAAAGAAUGUAUCAACUAGACAACUUGCCCAGAUUAGAAAUUAACAAAAGAAUAACAAAAUUAUGAAGGUUAAAAAGUCACACACCUCAAACUCCUUUGUUUUUUUCAUUAUCUCUUUAAAGACCUUCGGUUCCCUAACUUUUAAGAUGCUCCACAAUAUGCCACCCCCUGUCCGGAAUCGUCUACCAUCAGCCGUUUUCUGGCCUCCACAAGCCUGUAUUGCAUCCACCUGUAACUUCCCCACAUCAUUAUACUAGUUUACAACGUAUCAACUAGAAAACUGGCACAGAUAAUAAAUUAACAGAAAAAGAACAAAAAUGUUCCUCUCGGUAUAAAUUGAAGUGUAUAAGUGUUUUUAAUACACAAUAUGAAUAUAGUCGAUAUUAUCCACUGUGAUUCCAUACAAAGCACAAAACACGUGUAAUAAAAUAUAAGGUUUAAUUGUACUUUUGCUCUUUUUACCGAGUAAUUUCCUUAGUAACAUUUUUUUUAAUUUAGUCCCACAAUUUUAUUGUUCCAACAAGUCCUUCCAUAUGUUGGUUUAAGGUGAAUUUAAGAUAUUGAAGUCAUUUGAAAGGUUCAAAAGUCAUUAAAAAAAGAGAACUCGAGUGGUAUAGGUAGAGGGAAACCAAUAGAUACCUAUCAGCAGGUUAGGUGUCCUAGUGAAGGAAUUAGUUAGUUGGGCUGGCUGAGAUAGUACAAAACAAACAGCAUAUAUUGCAAAAAAGAGGAGAUUGAGAUUUGAGAGAGAAAUCAUCUAAAUAUUUCAUUGAGGAUUAGACUUCUAGACAGAGUGAAGAGUCCUGAUCUUGAAUAUCCAAGAAAAUGUUUGGUUUUGCAUCCUCUAACCGUAGCCACAUUAUAGAUUAUGCUAAACCAGUUCUACCAACUGCAAUAAGAGCUUUGAUUGUGGGGCUGUGUUUAUUAAAUCUUAGAGAUGAUUCCAACAUCUGAUGGAGAAAAGGCUUACUAGUUGCUGACCUAGACAAAACAGUAAUUUAAAGCCACUGGAACAUGCAAUAGAAGAGAAGCUAUCAAAGUGCAGCAGUGAUGCUCUCAACUGGUAGCUAACAGAGAAAUUGCACACACUGAAUGCAGCCUGGUGGAUGACUUAAAGGUGCCAAACAAAAGGUUCCAACCGAACUGUGAUUAUAAUCAAUUGCAUGGUUAUGCCAGAACUGCAAAAACACAGGGAGCUAAGUAAAACAAAAGUGAGGAUGACUAACCUUGGGUGCAAGAAAAGGUAACAGAAAAGGUCUGGAGAACAAAACAAGGAUCAAGGAAAAGUGAAUUUCCUGAGAUCAAGAAUCACAAUGGUAAGGAUUGAACCCAUGGAAAGUUGAAAAUCGCUUUUUAGAUUACAAAGAGGCAAAAAUUUAGGGAAAUCCUAUCUUUGGCAUGGAAGAGAGGUGAGGACUGAAACAGAGGCAGUUAUUCUUUAUUCUUAAAGAGCGGAUUGAGUCCAGUUUCUCAAAUAUCCCAGGAAAUCAUUCAUUUGUAUCUUCUAAUCCUAGCCUACAGCAGCUACCUCACAUUGGCACAGCAACUGGGAUUUCAGGCUAUUGUGAAAAAUCCUUAUGUCCUUUAUAUUCUGAACCAGUUCGUUCAGAAACUGAUAACAAAACUUAAUGAUAUAGCAAUUAAAAAUUAAGGGGAUAAAAUUAAUUAGCUGACCAAAAUUAACCAUCCUAGAGGAAUAAAAUUUGCAAGUAAACCAAAAUACAACACUGAAGUCAUUACAUCAAAUAGAAAACGAAGAAAUAGAGAGUAACUGAUACAAUGAUUGGUUAUAAUAUUAAAAAAUUACAAUAAAGAAGCCCCUAGUCCCAUUACUUGAUAGUGCUAUCCUAGCAGCGUAAAGCUACAGAUUUCAGGAAGCAGAUGCUUAAGUGUUAAAGGAUUUUCCAACAAAAAAUAGUAGAUCAGCAGUUAAAUGCAACUUUCAGCACAAUUAAUCCACAAUUAGGUGUUAUGGUGAAUCCGUUUAAAAUAUAAACUAAAUGCUGCCUGUCUAGACAUAAUAAAAAAUUCCUUACAGUACCUGCCAUAUUUAACCUUAAAUCUUAAGUUUACCAUCAAAACUUCCUGAUCUGUUAGCUAUUCGGCCAUACAAUUUAAUUGAGCACAUAAUAAUCUGUUAGCUACUUAUGCCAAAAUCAAAUAAUAGUCACGAUAAUAAGCAGUACAUUGAAAAAGAGAUUCAAUUUUGGCUUUGAAAUUGUAGGUUGCCACAAUGAAGUGGACUUAUGCCCAGUUUGUUUGUGCUUUUUCUUUAAAGAAAAAUGUUUAUAAUGUGAACACUUCUUUAGUCAUUUUUUAGCCUUUUUCUUCCAGAAGCCUAAUAACUUCUACAAAAAAAAAAAUUGUAUAGUAGAAUCAAUAUUUUUAAGCUUAACAAAUGAGCCCUGGAGAAACAUUAGCUUCCUUUUCACCAGCACAUGCUUAAUAAAUUAUUUAUGGGACCAAAAGGAGAAAACGUUCUCCAUAUAUGCACAACAGACAAUAUGAAGCAACAAAAAUUUUGACAUCAACCUUCACAAUUAGUAAAUAAUGAAGUGGUUCAGCCAGGAACAUCGAAGCUCAAGUAGAGAGUUGGAAGGAGCAAACUAGCAUCUGGAAGAAAAAUCUGCAAGGUUAGGGACAAAAUUUCACAUCAGAGAAUAUGAAUAGCCAUAUUAUGCUUGAAAGAGUGGAUAAGAAUAACCAGCGGAAGGCUCACCCAAAUCUUUUAGGACCUUAGCCCCCAAAACAGGUGACCAAAUUAUGUCCCCUCCCAACCAUAUCCACAUUCUCGUUGAAGAAAUGAAUUCACAUAAAUACAAAUUUAUUUCAAAGAAAUGCAAAGUGCAAUCCAAUGGGAAAUCAAGAGAGAAGGCCGUUAAGGUAGUGACUGAAGCCAAAAUGGAGGUAUUCAGAAAGUAGCCAUUGGACCAUAUGAACCCAACCACAUUUGUAAAAUUAGUACCAGAAGUUGCGAAAACCAUAAGAUGAGGAGUUAAAGUAGCCGGUAUAAUACGACAAACUGUAAAAGACAAUCACUUUUGUGCAGCUGUACCUCGAAGUAAUCCCAGCAAACUAACACCACCAUAGACAAUCAAUCUUAACAACAAAAACACACACACACACACACACACACACACACACACACACACACACACACACACACAUAUAUAUAUAUAUAUAUAUGUAUGUAUAUAUAAUUAACCAAAAUAAGAAUUCAGACAUGUGAAAUCAUUGUCCAAAUGACAGAAACAACUAGUAGGAACUAAGACAAGAAACAAGGGUAAGAAAUUAUAGAACAGACAGCAAACUCCAGCGCAGGAAUUGAGUCGGGAGUAAACUAUUGGGAUGAUACAGAACCUGUACAAUAACUAUCAUGGCAGUUAUUAAACACUAUUGUCAAAUAUCAAUGUUAUUCAAGUCAUUAAAAUGCAUUGUUGCUAGGUGGUCUUAAACUAUUUCUAAUUUCCAAUUGGCCAUGGUAUUUCACACAAUACUAACAAACACGUAAGCUGGCUUAUUAAACCAAAAUUGAGUAUAUAACAGGGUUUCAAUACCUCACUGACAAGAUCACUUAAUGCAGAGAUCCCAAGGCAGCCCACAGCAGUGUAUACCAUGUAUGACUUUUUCUCUUUCAGUCGCCGACAUGUAUCUAACACAAAUCUGAAAAACAGACAAUUUGUUUGAAAUUCAAUGACAGGCCAGAAAGGCUAGUAAAAAAAUUCAAAGAGACAAACAGAAAAACAACUUUAUAUAUUAGAUCCAUACAGGGUUGACGAUUCAAAUGCCAUAUAGGUUAAGGUUAAGAUAACCAGUGAGCAGUGAACAAUACUACAUUUUACAACCAUAUAUAAAGGAAGAAGCAUAUGCAUAAUUCUUGAAUACUUAGUGUUAGAAUUCAAAAUUUCAAUUAAUGAAAUCUACAGUUGUAAUCCAAGUGAAAAUGAUAAUGCAGCACUCUUGGAUUUAGAAGAUGUUGAUCUGAAAAAAGAUGUUUUGUGAUUCCCAUAUUGGAAACUUGUAUUUGACUCUUGUUGGAAUUUACUUAUAUAGCUUGUUUUAAGACACCGAUGACUUUUAAUUGUUAAUUAUGAAUGUCAUUAGUUUAGAGUAACUUUUAUAACUUUUUAGAAAUUAUAGUGUAUAUAGUAUGUAGAUUAUAUGAACCUAACCAUCCUAUACAAUUAGCGUACUGAAGCACGUAAACUAGUAAAAUAACUAUUAAGUGCAUGUAAAAUGUCAAGUCUAAUCUAAACUGCAGUUACUACUCAUCAAGCAUCAAGCACUGGGUGGUGCUCCACCUCUUCCCAAACCAUGCCUUUUUGUUUGCCUUACCAUCACGUAUUCUUCCAUAUGAACUAUACUCAUAACACAAUACAUGAAAGAGAAAAAACAGAACUGAUGGCCAAGGUGUUAGGAAACAAAGAAAUACUGCAAAAAGUGCAAGGCUAAAGGGAUCAGAACUGCAUGUCCCAAUUGUUGUUGAGCUGAUGAUUUGAAGCUUUAUGUAAAGAACUUGGAGCAAAUGUUGGAUAUGGAACUAUGGGGUGAAUUGAAAGAGUUUUUUUUUUUUUUUUUCUGUUUCUGCUGUAAUUUAUUCAGGACAGUUGUGAAUAAGGGACGCAGGUUCAGUAAUAUAUUAAACGAGACUCUCGUACACCUUAAAAAGUUAUGAGGUAAAACAUAGAUGAACUAAAUUUUAGUGCGUGAAUCAUAUUUUAGCCAACAUGACAAUGCCUUUCAAAACUCAAAUCGGGCAGAGAGUUGGACCUGUCUAUGUCCGUGGCAUUAGAUCCUGAACCCUUCCUUUUCUUCUUAUUCUUUUUCUUAUUGGCUCUGCGCCUGCGGUUCUUAAUGAGAGGUUCUUGAUUUGCUUCAUUGACAUCUCCGGCACUGCUUUGUCCCAAAACGUUUUUGGAAUCUGGCUCCACCAACUCCCCUUCUUCAAGAUCAGCCAUUUCAACAUCGCCAUCUAUGUAAUCUAAAUCACCCUCCUCGUAUAUGACAUCCAGAAUGUUAUCCCCGUUCUCCAUAGCAAACAGCUAACCUGUAUUUACAAACAUUAUCAAUUGCCAAUUAUCAUGAAAGCACAAAAACAUUAUCAUGACAACUCUAAUCUCGAAUACAAAAACCAGAUAAAAAUAUUUUUUAAAAAAAAAAAAAAGACAAGGAGAUAAACGCAGGUGGUAUGUUAACAGAGGAUUGGAGAGAAAAAAAAUGAUAAACAGUCUACGAACAUUCGAGUCCAAUUUUGAUUAAACAUAGACAAGCAAUACUCAUACAAACCCUAACGGUGCGUACAUUUGUUUCAAAUAGAGAGACUGAGAAAACUAAUUGAAGUUAAACCACAUGUAACCACGAUUGUACUACGGGUAGGCAACACAGUGAACAGAUAAAAUCGAAAAGAUUGGAGGUUACCUUAGCACUGCAGUGCAGUGGAAAAACAAACCCGAGAGAACGCUGCGUAAUGCUUCUAUAUGGGCCGGCGUAGUAGAAACUGCCGCAGUCGAGUGAGAACUACCGCUCUUGAAAUUCAGAGUUUCGAAGAAAAAGAGAGGGUCUCCAUUUUAAUACUUGUACGUGAUGUGAAAAUGGUGAAAUUUUGUUUACCUUUAUACAGAGAACCUACGUAUUAAUAGGGAUUUCAAAAAAUAUAUUAUUUUACAUGUUUUUAAUAUUUUAAAUUUUGUAACAUUAAAAUUAUUAAAAAAUUGAGUUCAUAAUUAAUGAAUCACGUCUUACCGUUAUGCUCCUCUCAUUUAUGUAACAACAAUCGAAAUAAAAAAUAUAUAAUAUUAAUUUAAGAUGAACUGAAUUUAAUUAAAUAAUAAUACUAAAAGGACUUCAAUUUUUUACCUAAAUUUCAUCUUACUCGUGAUUAUUGAUGAAUAAAUCUUUUAUUAAAAAUAAGCCCAUGCAAAUUAAUCAUGUUUCACCACCAUUUAGGCAUUCAUCCUCUUAUGUAAAAGACAGAGAAAGGGAUAAAAACAACGAGAUCGAUUGUUGACCAUAGAUGCUUGAUGUGAAAUAAUGUUUAUGCACAGUAAAUUUUUGUAAUUUUAUCUUUUUUUGACUUAAUUUUAAUAUGAAAUUAGAUUUACUUUUUAUAGAUGAUAACGAUUAUAAUCGAUAAAGGUGACAUUUUUUUGGUGAAAACAUUUUUCUUCGAAUUUAAAAAAAAAAAGUAUAAACUUAAAUAACAUUUAUAGAAUAACUUAUAUUUAGCUAUAGAAGAAAUAUGUGUCCGAUCAAUGUUUUCGAAAAAUGUUGGAAAAUCGUUUUCAAUCCUAGAUCUAUAUAAAUUAGACAGAAAACAAAUAAAACACUCUCACUCACUCUAGAAAACUUAUAAGAUAAAAGUUUAGGUAAUUAUAUAUGAAUAGAAGAUUUUACUAUGACAAAUUAUAUAUUUAAUAGAUUGAAGAUUAUAAUUAUUGUAAGGAGUUAGCAAAAGCAAUAAUAAAAUACAGUGGAGAAUAAGAACAUAAGAAGAAGGAAAUGUAAUUUAUCAUGUAGAGUUAGAAACUAUACAAGAAUAGAAUGUACAACUAAAGACCGAACGGUCAAAGGUUCAAAUAAUACCGAGUGAUCUAAUACAAAAGCUACACCGAACGGUUUUACAAAAUGAUAAACAACCGAACGGUUAUCUAUUCAAAACAUUAAAUAGAAACUUAACUAAGGAUUGGACGUUCAACACUGUCUUUAGACUGCUCCAUCUGUAAGGCUUCCUUCAAUGAUUCUUCAAUAACACCUUCUGCUCACAUCCAUUGGAUGAUCGUUGCAGUGAAGAGAAUGACCAAACGGCCAAAACCGAACGGCAAUACAGACAUGACAGAAAGUAAGGGUAAGCUUAUGUAAUUUAAUUAAUUCAACCUCACACAUAUUUAAAACAUAACAAUAGUAUGAUCAAAACAACAUUUCAAUCACACAAUCCUCAUACAAUUGUAACACUAAAAACUGAACAUUUAAAUAUUAUAACCGACCACUUUAGACUCUGUCCGGACUGUAUGAACAAUGUAGCUCGACGUUCCUAGCACCCGGUGUGGUGUAAUAACUGGCAUUCACACAUCAGCUGCCACCCGAGGUUAGUCCUAAAAACGACCAUUUGGUCUUAUGAUCGCGGACCUCCUGCCAUUCCCACACAUGAAUAACCCUUCUUUACAUGAGAAAGCGUCAUCACAGAAUAUCAAGAACAAAACGACAGCAGAGACUGACCAUGUUUAUACUUUACCAAUCAUCACCCAUUAUGAGACAUUCCUCCUUGGAAUUCUCUUACAUAAUCAUAUGCACAAAUUCAACCGAAUACACACUAUCACAUUCUGAAGCAAUAUAAAAUUUUAAGGAGAUGACCGAACGGUCACGUAUUCAGGAGAAAACCGAAUAUAUAAAGGUACUUUAGAGAGUGACCGAACGGUCAAACAUUGAAGGGAAAUGAAUACUAUAUAAGACCGAACGUAUAGAACUUAAUUUGAGAAUAAGGUCUAAAAUUUCAUAAUAAUACCUUAGACUGAAUAUGAGUGCUUAGACCGAACACUUUAGAGCUUAAACUGAGUACUUUACACUUUGGCUGAAUGAUUUAACAUAAAAGAAAUUCUCCUCAAGAAAUCGAGUGUCCGUACAAGACCGAACACUCUCUAGAAAUCAAGUGUCAGUAUAAGAUUGAGCACUCUCUCAAAGACAUAAUGUUAAUAUAAAAUUGAGUACUUCAAAGAUUAAGUGCAAGUCUAAGACCGAACACUUAAUUGACCGAAAUACUAGUCUAUGACCGAACACUUCAAAACCGAGUACUUAAGUGACUGAACGCUCUUUAAAGAAAUAAUAUCAAUAUGAAACCGAAUACUUUAGAAGUUAAGUGCUAGUCUAAGACCUAGCACAUGUAUGACCGAAAUACUAGUCUAUGACGAGUAUCUCCUAAGACCGAACGCUCAGUGUAUGACUGAGCACUUCAAAGACCGAGUCCUUAAAUAACUAAACGUUCGGUUGAUGACCGAACGUUUUAAACAAUUGAUGAUAUAUGUUAAAACUGAGAAUAAAGCUUUCUUAACUUGUUGAAAUGGUUAAACUAGGCAAAGUAAUAAGAAAAUCAACAUAGGCUCUUAUAAGACCGACCGAUCAUCAACUGAUUCCCUAUAGAGGGAAUUCAGUCAAAACCGAACGUACCAAGGAAAAACCGAACGAUCCUAAUGACCCAGUUACAGAAAUUCACUAAUUUAUCAACUUAACCCUAUAUCUAUUUUUCAAUCAUCAACACGUUCAAACAGACAUGCAGUAUCACAAAAUCAACCAAUUCACACCUAUCAAAAUCAUUCCAGCAUACCACAUUCAAAGUGCAGAAAUCAUAAUUAAAUUAUAAGCUUCUCUUACCUCUAAUUUCAGCUAGACUUCUAAGUUCUUGGCAGCAACUAAUUCUAUGGUUUCCAAAAUCCAAAGUCCGAUUGGUGAAAGGCAUCCAUCAUUGCAUCAAAUACACAAAAUGGAUUCAGAGAAUGAAUUGACUAACACAUGCAAGCAUGAAACGUUUCUUGCAUGCAAGGAAAAUAAGGGACUUCAAAAGACAAAAUUUCUUACCCGUUCAAAUGAAAAUCUGAUCGGUGCAAAUGGAAGCUCUUGUCACCGGGAAGACUUAAUCUGAAAGGGUUGAUGAUCGGAGAAGAAGAAAGGUUAGAAAUCUAGAGAGAAGUUUGAAGAGUUUAGAGAGAAGGAGGAGAAAAAUAGUGUUUCUUGAAGAUGAAGAGGAAAGGUUGUAUGCAGAAAGUGGUGCCAGAUUUAAAAUCCCACUUUAAAUACUACCCCUAAAAACUGAACGCCCACUCAUUGUCUGUCACCUGUUUUCCACUUUCUGGAAACCCACAUUCCCUCUAUUGCCACACAGUUACCAAGGAACGGAGAAUUAAAUGAACUGUAGUCUUUGCCCCCACUAACUUAGGGAAUUAAAUGGAAAGUAACACUUAUCAUCCACUAUCCUAGGAAAAAUAAAAGGACUAUUACAUUAAGUAUCUGACUAUCUAAGAUAAUGUUAAAAAAAUAACAUGAAAGUAUGAAUGAGUAGUUAUAGAUCCAAUUCAAGAUGUGUGAAGAUAUAUUACAUCAUAACAUCUAAAAGAUCUUUUUUUUUUAAUUCUCUCUUUUUAUUUUGUAAAGUUCUAGUUCUUCAUUGACAAAUUAGAUAUAUUUGAUGUAAUUUUAAUUUUUUCCUCAAUUAAAAACAAAAAACUUACAUUUAAUUACUUUAGAAGUGGUAACAACAAUUUAACCUAUUUAAUGGAAAUAUCAUAUCAAAUCAUUUUAAAUAAAACAAGACUAAAUGUUUAUAACAAAAUCAAGCACACAAAAAAAGGUAAAUAAUCAUAUUGAAUUAAGAGAAAAAAAUAUUAAUUAAGUAAAAAAAAUCCUAUUAUCAUCUUAUUUUUCAUUUCGUUACUUGUUUGUUAGAAAGUAUUUAUGGUUUUUUUAAACUCUUGUAUAAUAAUGGAUAGGAAUAUUUGUAUAAUUUAUUUUUUAUUUCAAAUAAAAUUAUUUAAAAAAUUCUUUAAAAUUUAAAUUUACAUAAAAAUAAUAAUUUCAAAAUACAAUUCAAAUAAAAUUACACACUAAAAUAUUAAUACAAAUAAAACUGGUCUUUCUAUGAACAUAAAUUCAAAUUAAUUACACCAAAAUAUAAAUUAAAAAAAUAUUUAAAAUCAAAUUCUAAACAUUUUUUAAUUAUUAUUAUUUCUUCCAUUAAUAAUUCUGUUUUGAUUCUUGAUCUUUAAAAGAAAAUACUUAAAUCGAAUUUAUGAAUAAUUAGUAAUCUAUAACGAGUAUUAACUGUAAUAAAAAAAAUACCAAUAAAACGCAUGGGUGUAUAUAAAUUAAUUAAUUUAAUUAAAAACACUUAUAGAAUUUAAAUAAAUAGUAAUUUAAGACAAUAGAAUGAUGAAAUAGUUUUUUCUUAAAAGAUAAAUAAAUUUAAAUUAAAGGUCAUUUAAAAUAUAAAAACUAAUUAUAACAUUAGUUUAAAAUAACGACUUAAAAGAUAAAAUGAAAAAUAAAAUGUAUAUAGAAAAGAAAUAUUCUCAUAAUUUUUUUAUAUAAAUAUAGAUAAUUUUUUUAUUAUUUUAUUUUACACAUCAAACACAUGGUAGGGACAAAGUAUGGAGACAAAACAAAGUGUGAGGACAAAUCAAACAGCAGAAUUUAUAAGAAAAAAAUGUACACUUUUUGUUUUCUAAAAAAAGUGGGCUGCAACUUUUACCUAGAAAUACUUUGUACAGUUGUCAAAAAUUAGUAAUUUGUAAUGUGUUACAUGCAAGUAAUUAAAAAAACGAAAGUAUAAAUUAAAAUAAAAUUGUUUUUAAAUAUAAAUUUAUAUCAAAUUUUAUAUAAUUAUUCUUUUAUUAAUAUUUUAAAAGCAUGUGGUUUCUAAUAAGAAGGUUAUAAUGUAUAUAUGGAAAAUAAGAUUUCUUAUUCUGAAAGUGUAAGUUAUAACCGGAAAGGGAGGGAAACCUCCAAAGCCACGCAACGCACCCGAAAGCAACCGGUCUUUGUCUUCCCUGAAUUAAAUUAAUCUGAAAUUAUAAUUUAAGGAAGGGUUGCUUGGUUUGCUUCGUCAUCAUUUUUUCUUUCCAACCUACUUUUCUUCGAUUCAACGCCCAUCAUGAAUCGUUUCCCGAUCAUUUUUGUCGUAGCCACCCUCAUCACCCUUGUCUCCGGUGGCCGUGACGAGAUUCUCCGAAUGCCCUCCGAAGCUUCCAGGUUCUUCCAAGCACCUGCUACCGAUGAGAAUGACGAGGGAACGAGGUGGGCCGUUUUAAUUGCCGGAUCCAAUGGCUACUGGAAUUACAGACACCAGGUCACUCAUUUUUCUUCUUUCCCACUUUUUACUGUUUAAUUAUUUCCCUGUCUUCUGUGUUUGUUUGGUAGGGCAGCAAAUUCAAUUAUUCAUUCCAUCUUAAUUUACUUUCUUUUUAAAUUCAGUCAUGAACUCUCUCAGCUAUGUAUGUGUAUAUUUUUUAAUUUGUCUGAUUGAUUCUAAGUAGUUCUUUACUGCACUUAGAUAUAUUACUUUUAGUCUCUGUUUUUCUAAAGAUCAGCUUAUUGGUAUAGGUGAAUGUGGAUUUAGUUGGAUCAGGUUUAUCAUCCUGAUCGUACCCAAAAUUUUUACUGGACAAUUUAAUUCAAAUAAUUUUCAGGUUAUAAGUUCAAAACCUCGGACUUAUAAGGUCUUCUCAUGUAUAUUCCGAUGACAUAAAAUUAACCUAAUAAAACAUAAAUAAAUGAAUUAGGUGUUAAUUCUAUAAAACCAUUCUAUGAGAGUAAAAGCUGUAAGGAAGUCUUAAAAGUGAUGCAACACACUGAAACUGACAAAAAGUAAAUUAACCAUGGCGUGUUUUGCCUCCCUAAUUCUUGGUUAUGACUCUUGAGUUUUGAUAUUUUAAAGAAACUAAUCAUGGUAUAAAAGUCUGGAACAAUUUAUCAUUUGUAGAGUAAAAAGUGCACGCACUUACAGUAUAAAGUGUCUCCACAGUGUCAUCUGAUGAUGGAUCAUCAUAUUUAAGUUUGUUGACUUUUAUAAUAACUUCCUUAAAAUCAUGUUUACACUGAUGUUUGAUUUACUGAAGUGUACAUUUUUUUGCACAAGAAUAGAGAGAAUUAAAACUCUUCUUUGUAUGGCUUAUCUAAUUUGGAGAUAACCGACGAAAUUUGUCAUUUCAUCAGUCUGAUGUUUGCCAUGCGUAUCAACUGCUGAGGAAAGGUGGUCUGAAAGAAGAAAAUAUUGUGGUAUUUAUGUAUGAUGACAUUGCUUUCAAUGAAGAGAACCCACGGCCUGGAGUCAUUAUUAACAGCCCUCAUGGAAAUGAUGUUUACAAGGGAGUCCCAAAGGUAUGUUAUCUUACUCUGGUAUCCCAUAUCCUGUUCCCAAUUAGAGUUUUAAAGAUUCCUAACAAGGACCUUGUUGUGGCAGGAUUACGUUGGUGAAGAUGUCACUGUUAACAAUUUUUUUGCUGCUAUACUUGGAAAUAAAUCAGCUCUUACCGGUGGUAGCGGGAAGGUUGUCGAUAGUGGUCCCAAUGAUCAUAUAUUUAUAUACUAUUCUGAUCAUGGCGGUCCAGGAGUGUUAGGUUGGUAGUUUUGAACCUUUCAUGGAAGCUUUAUUAUGAAAAUCAUGGUCUGUUUACGUUUUAAUACGAGCCUUCUUGUAUUGCGACUUAUUAAUGGAAAAUGUGUUUCCUGUGUUUUUUUGCUGGGUUGAUUAUGUGGCGUUGCUUGAUUUUGAAUUGAAUGUAACAGUCAAAGGAAAGUUUAGCACACCUAUAAUACCUCCCUUGCCAAAAGUCUCUAUAGCUGUCAAGCUAAGCACAAUAAACUGAAAACUUUGAACUCUAAAAUGUUGGUUUUUGUUAGAUGUAAUAUUUCAAAAUUCAUACCAGUUUUAUGGAUAUUUUCCGAUUCUUAAGAUUGUCUCAAGUGCUGAAUUUGAAUUUUUUUUUUUAAAGAGGAGACGUAGUAUUAUGCAGCAUAGAGGAACAGUGCAACAUGUAUGUGGGUUGAUUUCAGUAAGACAUAUACACUCAUCGUACAGCUAUACUAAACAAUUUAUCAUGUCUGAUGCAACUUUUUUCCCUUUUUUGAACAACAGUGGCAUUUCAAAAUGUUCUGAUUAAGUUCUACUUUCUGUUUUUUUCUUUUUGUUUUUUUUUUCUUCCUUGUUUGGGUAACUUGAAGGGUAAAAUAUGAAACCAGAGGAAGCUGCAUUCCCCGCCUGAAAAAAAAAGGCAAAAAAAAGAACUGGUCGGAAUUGUGAAGUGGAGGAGUAUAUGGUCUUCAGUGUCAAUGUCCUGUUAUCCAUUUUUGUCCGUGAUCAUUUUAUUACAUACUAUUGUUUAUUGGUCUUGAUUCUUCUAUUAUCAAUUUGUUUUGUGAUUCUUCUUUACACAUCGAAGUGUUUCUUCGCGCUAAAUACCUGCCCAUUUCUAUUUCUUAUAUGGUAUUUUUCCUUGGGGGCGGGGUACUGGGGAUGGAUUUCAGGGAUGCCUACUAAUCCAUACAUGUAUGCCUCCGAUUUGAUUGAAGUCUUAAAGAAAAAACAUGCUUCUGGAACGUAUAAAAGCCUAGUAAGUUGCCACUAGUUAUGUUUUACUUAAUAUUUGUAUCAAUCUUCACCUGGCUAUUUACUUACUAAUUCUUAGUAUUUAUGAUUUAUGCAAUGUUGCUGCAGGUAUUUUAUCUAGAGGCAUGUGAAUCUGGGAGUAUCUUUGAAGGUCUUCUUCCUGAAGGGCUGAAUAUCUAUGCAACAACAGCAGCUAAUGCAGAAGAAAGCAGUUGGGGAACAUAUUGUCCCGGGGAAUAUCCUAGUCCCCCCGCUGAAUAUGAAACCUGCCUGGGUGACCUGUACAGUGUUGCUUGGAUGGAAGAUAGGUAUGACUAUAAGAGCGUAUCAAAGAAGCAUAUAAACUAGUGUUAUUCAUUUCUCCAAAUCUUAAAUGAUUAUAAAAAUAUAUCGGAUGCAAUACCUUUUACGCGGGAAAUUUCCAAGACCUUGUUGAAGGCCGGUGACUGCUGUGAUAUAGACAUGCUACUGCAUAUGUGUAUUUGCCUCUUAUUUUGUACUCUAUCAAACCCUUUUUUAUAUGAAAUAAGUUUUGUUCCAUGCCCCUUGAUAACUUUUUUUUUUUUCUUUCUGGAAGAUUAUGUUUUCUAUUAACUAAUGUUGUAAGGUCUUUUAUUGACUGGUCUUUUUCCCUCUACCUUUUUGAACAGUGACAUUCACAAUUUGCGAACAGAAACUUUACAUCAACAAUUUGAAUUGGUAAGAUCCCGUUUCUUACUUAGUUCUGUCUGUAAUAAACUUAUACAAGCUGAAAGUUAUUUGAUAUCUUUGUUGUUUGAAUAUAUGACAAGAAAUGUCUAAAAAUUUGAUGGGUCGAAGAAGCUAGUAGACAUGUUUCAGUUGUCUGACAGCUAUGCUCACAGGUGAAACAAAGGACUAUCAAUGGAAAUUCAGCCUAUGGUUCCCACGUGAUGCAGUAUGGUGACAUAGGGCUUAGCAAGAACAAUCUCUCCUUAUAUUUGGGUACAAAUCCUGCUAAUGAUAAUUUUCCUUUUCUGGAGAAAAACUCGUUGGUGCCACCUUCAAAAGCAGUCAACCAACGUGAUGCAGAUCUUGUCCAUUUCUGGGAUAAGGUAUCAUACGUUUGAAAACAAGUUUAUUGUUAUAUAUAUUUCUUAACCAUAUCUUCAUGAUUUUUCCCCCAAAGUUUAAAUUUGAAGGGUUUUGAGAAUCAGCACUAUUAUGUUCACUACCGUCUACCACGUAAACAGUAUUUGAUGACAGAAUUAACCACAAUAGAAUUUCGUAGAAAGAGCUUGAAGGAGAUAAAAGAUCUCACAAGGAAGAUGAAGUAUUAGCGAACUUCAACUUAUAUCCACAAUAAAAUUAACCAUGAACACAUAAAUUACAACUUGAAAAUUUUUUCUUCUUGAACUCACUCUUUCGGUUAACAGUUUGUAACAACAUUAGGUAACUGACAGUAACAUGUUGCAAAUGAUGACACAAGGUCCCUGUUUAUAGAUAAAGUCAACCUAACUAACAUUACCACCCACGCCUGGUCACAAGCAUCAGCACACGACGCUCACAUCUGGUCACCAGUAUAAUAUGCUUCAGUCUUAGCAAAAUAUCACAGAUUACUAGACAUGCUAUUAAGACUGGAUGUUGUUAGACAAUAUAGGAAUCUUUGAACAGAUUUUAUUGAGUCAAUCCUCACACAGGGGUAUACAUAUAUUCAUACUUGGCAGAUAUUAUUAAAUGGAGUUGUGAUCCCAUUGAUUUCACUCCACAUUCAUUUCAUGUUCCAAACAAUUGAGUGACAUCCCAUUCGUGAUUGAAGCUGCCAAGCUUUACACUAGUACUGGCUAUUAUUAGGCCAAUGACUAUUAGCCCUUUCCUUGUACCAACUGUGCCGUAGGAGUGGAUAUAUUGAUUUCCACUAACAAAUAUGUAGAUGCACCAGAACUUUAACUAGCUAGAUGAGAAAUCUUUGAACUUGUUUUCUUGGAUAAAAUAUGGAAAAUUUGUGUGAAUCCCGUGCCUUUAUGUUAGACGAGUGAGUGGCUAGUAGUUUUCAUUCCUUGAAAUUUUGGUAAUUUGGCUUUAAUGAUAAAACUACAAGAAAAGAAGAUGCAAGAGGGAGGGGGAAUAUCUCUGAUGUCAUUUCCUAUGGUAAGCCUUUAUUUUUUCUAAUUAUAUUCUAUCUUCUUUACUUCCUUUCUGUUUUUCCAGUUCCGCAAAGCUCCUUUGGGUUCUUCUAGGAAAUCUGUAGCUCAGAAACAAAUUCUAGAAGCAAUGUCUCACAGAAUGCAUAUAGACGACAGCGUGACACUUAUUGGAAAGCUGUUAUUUGGCAUUGAAGAGGGUCCAGAACUGCUUAGCAGUGUUAGACCUGCUGGGCAACCACUUGUUGAUGACUGGGACUGCCUUAAAACACUGGUACCGUUUCCCUUGAUUAACUUUGUUGAGUUUGAAUGUAUUAGAUCUUUUCUAAUAACAUGCACCUUUAUUCUGUAGCCAUUGAUUUGGCAAAAAAAAAGGCAUCAACGAUGGGUGGUCCACCCCACCUACAAUAACAAGUACAAAAUCUAGGGGUAGGGGUGCUCCAAUUAAGAAGUGUGCAUGCUAGAAUCCAUCUAUGAUUGAAUCAUUGCUUUUCUGUUUGGUACUAAUUAUCCAGUUCACAUAGUUACAGUAUGAGAUGGCAGCAGGGCAUCCGGUAGUGUUUUGCCUUGGAAUAAUUGAUGUUGAAUUUGAAUUAUAAAGUAUAAAUCAUCAUUUGUUUGUUGAUUGAACUAAAGUUUUGGAUUUCUGACAAAGCCGUGCCUUAAUCUACUGUUGAUUCAGGUUAGGACUUUUGAGACACAUUGUGGAUCCCUGUCUCAGUAUGGGAUGAAACAUAUGAGGUCCUUUGCAAACCUCUGCAAUGCUGGAAUACGGAAAGAGCAAAUGGCCGAGGCCUCAGCACAAGCAUGCGUCAGUAUUCCUGCAAGUCCCUGGAGUUCUUUGAGCAGCGGUUUCAGUGCAUAAUUCAUACAAUGUAUCCCAUUGGAGACCGAGUAUAAUGGUUGUAGCUUUAUGAUUUAUCAUUGCAUCAUGUAUUGUACUUUGGUCAUGAUUUCUUAUUCCAACACUGUAAAUACACAUGGGACGCUGGGGAACCCUCUUCUUUACAUUGUAAUUUGGGGCAAAAUAGAUGCUGUAACCAAGCCAUUUUACUAUUAUUUUAGCAGAGACAGUGAAACCAUAAGGACCCUUGCAACUUCUUCUAAUGGCAUAAUGACAGUGCACGUUAUCGUGUUUGUAAACUUAUCCUUCAUUUUUAUUCUAUGGCAGUAACUAGUAACCCUAUCCUUAUCGUUCUUAACUUAAUAUAUUUGGUAAAUUAUUAAAAAAAAUCAAAAGAUAUAAUAAAGUAACGCUCAAAGUUACCAGAUUGAAGUAUGAAUCAGAUUUAUUUUUCUUUUCUGUGAUUUACGAAACUGGGGCGAACUUUCUCAGUCACAAUGACAAUGAAAUCAAAUGAGCUAUUAUCAUUUGCCACUGGUAGCUAACACAUGGUUUGGUGUAACUAAUAUUAAUUAAUUUAAGGCACAAGAAUGGAGUGAAUAAAGUAACGGAAAUAAAGAAAAAAAAAGGUGUAUAUAUAUCACACGUUUACUGGUUUUGUAUUGUCCUAAUAUAAAAUUUUAUAUAAUCAAUUAAUUAAAAACUAAUAGUUUAGAAACAGGGUUUAAAUAUAAAAAAUAAAUAAUUAUAAAAUAUGUGAUUACAUUUAUAAAAUAAAGUUUGUAAAAAAAUAUAUAUAAAUAUAAAUAAAAUAGGAGGUAUAAGUGUUAAUUUUAACACAAAAAUAAGCAAAUGUCUACUGUAAAUUUAGAAGAAAAUGAAUAAGAUAAGUGACUUGUGUGAUACUUUAUUAAAAUCUUUAAUUUUUUCAUAAUUUCUGAUUCAAUUUACCCAAUAUGUAAUUCUAAAAGUAUAGUACUUGUAAAUGUCUUUUAAAAACUAAAUACAACAUGAUUUGUUAUUUUAUUAAGGGUUAAAUAUAUUUUUGGUUUCUUAAUUUUUAAUGAAAAUUUAAAUUAAUCACACUUCAAAACUUUGGUCCAAUUUAGUCUCUCAAUUUUAGAAAUAUGUGAAUUUAUUCCUUUUAACCAAAUCUGGUUAAGUUUAUUUGACAUUUUAAACGUAUUUCAUGAUAGCAUUUGAGUUGCUUACACUGUUUAACACAUUUUUUGUUCAAUGUUAAUUGAAAAAUGCAUUUGAAAUCUCAAAUAAAAUUAACAAAUUUUAGUUAAAGGACUAAAUUCAUGCAGUGAUAAGGAACUCAAUUAGUCCAAAGUUUCAAAGAGAAACUAAUUCUAAUUUUGAUUAAAAAUUAAAAGACUAAAAACAUAUUUAACUCUUUUAUUAAAUAUAAGUUGUUUUUUAUUUUAUAUGUAAAAAUAAAUAUUUAAGAUAAAAUAGCAUGAUAUUCAAAUAAAAUAUAUAUAAUGAGACUUUGAUAACUUAAAGAAUAAUAAGUUGGUAUCCCUUACUUUUUCACUUUUUUGUUAAAAGGCUACCUUUUAGUUUUUUUUUUUCGAUUAUUUAUAUCUGUUCUCAAUUAUUCAUUUUCAGGUAUUUGAAAUAUUUUGUAUUUUUAUUUCAAUUCUUAUUUAUUCUCUAUAUUUUUAGAAUCUUGUUUGCUCGGUAUUUAUUUUGUAGAAUGACAGGCAGGGAAUAUUCAUUGGCGGACAUUUGAUGAAGAAAAAUUACAAAUUAUUGAAUUUAAUAGAGUAGUUCAUUAAAUGAAAAACUUCUGAAGUGUAAUGAUGAAUAGAUAAAAACCCUAUUGUAGAGGUCAAAAAUUAAAUAUUUGAACAAGCUUUUUAUAUUCAUGAAAAAAACUUGUAUGAAAAAUAAAAAUCAUUAAAAAACGAUAAUUAAAUAAAUUAAAGACAAAUACUUAAAAUUAAAUUAUAAUUUUAAUUUCAAUAGACUUUUUAUUUUGUAAUACUUUACUUAAGAUUUUAGGUUGUUGAACAAAACUCAACGUCCUCAUUUGAAAAGAUUUAGAAAAGAGUAAUUAAAAAGAUUUAAUGAUAAAUUGUUUUUUAUUUUAUUUGAAUAGGUAUAAGUAAAAUAAAUUGAAAAGUAAAUUUCUUUAAUCUCUUAUAUAAAUUAAAUCUUACAAAUUUUAAUUUUAAAUUUAUUCUUAUAUACCUUAAGCCUAUUCAAAUAAAUAAUAAGAAAAAAAAAAUUACAUAGAUCCACUGGUUAACAAGAACUUAAAUCUCAGUCCUUCACUGUCACCAUGUGAAUGACCAUUAAUAGAAGACAUCAUCAGCUCUGAAACUGUGGGUGAUAGAUUCACCGUCUUCAUCAUCAUUUUUUGUUCUGACCUUCUCUUCUUCAGUUCUACGCCCAUCACAAACGCUUUUCCGAUCCUCUUUCUCAUUGCCACCCUCCUCUUCGUGGCCGCCACCAGGUCCUCCUAUUACUCUAUUACUUUCCGUAGCUUCCAGCUUCUUUCAAGCAUAUGGUGGCAUCAUGAAACCGAUGAUGGUAAUAUGUGGGUCCUUUUAAUUGCGGGCUCCAUUGGCUACAGUAAUCACAGGUAUGUACUCAUUCAACUUCUCACCCUUCUUUUAUAUAUUUUGCCGUGAAAGUGAAGCAACACAUGUUACCACUGCAAUAUAUAUCGAAUUAAAGUACAUAUCAUGCCCAAUUUAGUUUGAAAAAUAAAUCAUAACUUGCAAGAGAAUAAUUUAGUUUUCUAUUUUUUUUUAAUUGAUACUUGAUUCAAUACAAAAACUAUUAAUAUAUCACUAAUUACACCAUAUAUGAAAUGACUAUAUUUCAUAUACUUAGAUGAGUGAAUUGAUAUUUUUUUUCUAGUAUUUCCCAUUCUGACUGAACAAAUUGUAACAUGUACUUAAUUUGCUAGGAGAGUCUAUUUUCUAAACUUUAAGAAAAUAAGUUUUUAAAUGAUUGCAAAUGCUAAAUUUGAUUUAUAGAUUGUAUUUAAAAAUUAUAAUAAUGUUGGUUAAGAUGAUGGUUUAAAAUGACAUAUAUCAAAUUUAAUACUGAUUUUAUGAAUAUUUUUCGAUUCACUAGGAAUUUGGAUAUUUUUAAACAGGGGACUGGUAUUGUCGCUAGUGGAAUAGUGACACAUUGGUGGUUUGAUUUGGGUGAUGUGUAUAAACAUUUACCCAUCAUAUUGUUAUGCUAUACAAUUGAUCAUUUCAGAUGCAGCAUAUUUUUUUUCAGAGAACAAUAGCAUUUUAAAAUGUUCUGGUUAAUAUCUGCUUUCUGUUUAUUUGAUUGUUUCCUGAACAAAGAAACCAGGGGAUGCGACAUCCCCCGCCUGAAAAGAAAAGGAAAAGAAAAAAGGAGUGAGGAAGAGUGAAGUAGAGAGCGUCGGUAUCAAUAUUCACAUUUUAGUGCAUGCUACUGGUUAUUGCUGAUUCUUCUAGAGCCAUUUGUUUUUUUAUACGACAGUGUUUCUUCACACCAAAUAUUUGCCCUUCCGAACUUCUUAAAGCCUAGUAAGUUACUAUUCGUUAUGAUUUGUGUACUGUUUGUGCAAUCUUCACACUAUCUAUUCUAUCUAUUUACUUGUUAAUUCUUAGUUUUGUGAGUUAUGCAAUGAAUCAGGGAGUAUCUUUGAAGGUCUUGUUCCGGAAGGUCUGAUAAUCUAUGCAAAAACAUCUGCAAAAGCAGAAGACAGCUGGGUAUUGUCUUGGGGUGCAUUAUUCUUCAAUCAAAACCUUAAAUGAUUAAUGAAAGUAUAUUGGGGAUAUAAAUAAGAUAUAUUAGAUGCAAUACUUUUACCCAGGCAAUUUCCAUGACCUUGAUGAAUUCCCAUGAAUGCUAUGAUAUGAACAUGCUACUAUAAAACUGCAUUUUCCUAUUAUUUUGUGUUUUACCAAGCCAUUCUUUAUAUAUAAAAGAAAUUGUUUGAUGCCCUUAAUGACUUUUUUUUUUUCUAAUGAGUGAUGUUGUUAGGUCUUUUAUGGACCGGUCUUUUUCCCUCUACACUCUUUUAACUUUUGGUAAGAUCACGUUUCAAACUCAAUUUGAUUUCAUAUAAACUGAAUGCUAUUUGAUACCUGUGUUGCUUAAAUACAUGAGAAAAUGUGUCUGUUUGAUUGAUUUCCUGAACUGAUAUUUGAUGGAUUCAAGGAGGUAGUGGAUAUGUUUCAAUUGUGUGAGAUGUCUUCUUAAUGCUAUGCCCAGAGGUCAAAGAAAGGACUAUGACUGGAAAUUCAGACUAUGGUUCCCACGCGUGCAGUAUGGUUCCCACUCUUCUUAUAUUUGAGUACAAAUCCUGCCAAUGAUACUUUCCUGGAGUAAAACUCCCAGGGACCACCUUCAAAAACAGUCGACCAAGGUGAUGAAGAUCUCAUCCAUUCCUGAGAUAAGGUAUCAUACGGUUGAAGAAUAGUUUUUUUAUUAUUUAUUUGAUAAAAUAACUGCUCCCAAAAUUUAAAUUUGAAGGGAUAUAUUAAUAGUUGGGAGAUAUUAAUAGAUUCCAUUCCACCUUCGUUUCAUGUACUAAACAAUUCAGUGACAUCCUAUUUUGUAUUGAAGCUGCCAAGGUUUAGUUUGGGAAGGGCUAUUAGCCCAUUCCUAAUACCAAAUGUGCCAUAAGAGGUAUAUAUAUGAUUUCCUCUAACCACCAGAACUUAACAAUCGAGAUAAGAAAUCUUUGAAAAGAUUAUAAUAAACCUUGUUGAUUUGUUAAAUACGGAAAAAUUGUGAGUCUCAUGGCUUUGUCUAACAUGGGUCAGUGUCUGGUAGUUUCGUUUCUUGAAAUGUUGGUAACUUGGCCUUAAUGCUAAAACUACAAGAAAAAAUUAGGAGGGAAGGGGUAUCUCUCUCUGGUUUUAUUUUCUACUGUAUACCUUUAAUUUUUCUAAUUAUAUUACAUCUUCUUGUUCUCCUCUUCACUGCUUUCCCAGUUCCACAAAGCUGUUGUGGGUUCUUGUAGGAAAACUGCUGCUCAGAAACAAAUCCUGGAAGUAAGGUCUUGCAGAAACAGGUCCAGAAGCUCUCUAUUUAGCAUUGAAAGGGAUCCAGAACUGCUUAGCACUGCGAUACCUGUUGGGCAAACCACUUAUUGAUGACUGGGACUGCCUUAAAAACAUUUGUACCGUUUCCCUUGAUUCACUCUAUUUAGUUUGAUUGUAUUAGACCCUUUCUAAUAUUCACCUUCUUAUUCUAUGGCCAUUGAUUUGGCCAAAAAUGGCAUCAACUAUAGAUGGUCCACCUACAAUAUAAGUAAAAAAUCUAGGUGCACGGAUGAAUUUAAGAAGUGUGCAUGCUAGAAUCCGUAUAUGAUUGAAUCAUUGCUUUUCUGUAUGUUAUUAAUUAUCCAGUUCACAUAGUUACCGUAUGAGAUGGCAGCAGGGCCUCCCCACUGUACCCCCUUCCAAUAAAUCAACAUUUUGUUUAACAAAUAUUACCUUAAGCUUGUGCCACCAUGAAUGCUGAAGAUGAGAAAGAUCCACUGCAGUAAAACAAAGAGAAAGUAGUACAAAACUAUGUGGAGAAGAGUGAAAGAGAAGAAACAAAGAUAAGUGAGAUGAGAUGAAAGGAGACGAGAAACGAAACUGAUAUUAUUGAUUCGUAAAGUCUUAAAAAAUAAAAGAGGGAAAGUUAUAUAUAUAUAUAUAUAUAUAUAUAUAUAUAUAUAUAUAUAUAUAUAUAUAUAUAGGCAUAAAAACAAACGGUUGGAGUGCGCUAAGCACAAACACGCUGAAAGGAAAAGGAAAUAAAACAGUUUAUCAGCCCUCUUCUCGGCAUAUAUGUUCUUCAUUUCCAAAUUGAAAUGUAAGUAUUUGAAGGUUUGAGGAGGUAACGACUUAGUAAAAAUAUCAAUUGCUUCAUCAAUAGAUGAGAUAGGAAGAAAUUUCAGAAGACUACAAGUGAUUUCUUAUCAGACAAAAUGAUAGUUAAUAUCAAUAUGUUAUAUUCGUUCACGAAAAACAGGAUUUGAUGCAAAAGUGUUUACGUAGUACAAGAGUGAUAUGAUUAAUCUAUUUAACAUCAAUCUUGGUUAGCACAAUGUCAUUCACAUAAAUGAGUAAGGCAGUGAUGUAUGAAUCGUCAUGUAGAAGAGGAGCAAUGAUAAUUAUUUGAAAGAAGAAAAUUGGAAAGUUUGGCAUACCAUAGACAACCAACUUGUUUGAGCUCGUAGAGAAAUGUUGUAAUUUGCAAACUUUGCUUGAUUUGACAGUACAAAGACUAAUGGGAGCUUCAUGUAAGCUUUCUCAUUGAGGUUGUUAUGAAGGAAGGCGUUAUUAACAUCAAUUGUUUCAAAAUUCAGUUGUUGGAUGCAACAAAAGCAAGAAAGAGCCGCAAGGUUAUUUAUUAGUUUGACAACACAAGUAAAAGUGUCAAAGAAAUCUAACUCUUCAAGUUGUGUGCAUUCCUUAACAGCAAGGGCCUUUUAAAUGUUCAAUUGUGUUAUGAGAGUUGAACUUGGUCUUGUAAAUCCAUUGGCAACCAAUGACUAGAAAUGUGUACCUUAUGAGAAAUACUAAAAAAACCAAUACACAAUAUUGAAUAAUAUAAUUGUUUAACCUUAUGUUAUAUCAUUGUGUCAUGUACUGCACUUUGGUCAUUAUUUCUUAAACCAACUCUGUAUUUUUGAUAAAAAUAAUUUUUAAAUUAUAUAAUCAUUAUAAUGUAAAAUUAACACACAAAAGUCAAAUGUAGAUAUCAAUUAAUACACGGUAGCCACUAAAGGGUAAUUUUAUAUUUUUAAGGUACAGUAACAUUGGAAAGAAAUUUUGAACCCUAAAAAAGUAUUAGACAUCUUUAAAAUUGCAAAAGAAUUUUUGGUCAAUAUACUUUAAGGUGUUUUAUUUAAGAAAUAUGAAUGAUUUAAGUUUUAAUUUGAAUGUUAUACAAAAAGUUGAUUUAUGGAAUUGUUGGAAAUUAAAAUGAGAGUUGGAAUAACACAUAGAUGGACAGCCAGGAUUUGGUCAAUUCCUAGUUGCUAGAUUGAAGUAUGAAUCAGAUUUAUCUCUCUUUUUAUGAUUCACGAAACAGCUGACAUUCACAGACAGAACUGUCAAGAAACCAAAUUCGUAGUUACUAUUUGCCACGUUGUUGUAGAUAACUGGUUUUGUGGUUCGGUGCGUGGUAAAGAUCAGGUUAGUUAACCGUAGUUAAAUAUCAAGGGCGGGAAUGAAAUGAAGACAAAAUAUGUUUUAUUAUGAAUUUCAUAAUUAUAUAUGUUUUAUUAUGGAGACUAAAAUUUUAAAAUAUCAAAUAGUUUUUGCAAAAAAGUUCAAUAAAUUUAACACGAGAAAUAUCUAGCACUCUUUUUAAAAUAUUUGUAUAUGAUAAUUGGUGAUAAAUGAAAAUAUAAAAUGCUGAAGUUAUUUAAAAUAUAUGAAAAUAUAAAAUUAAAAGAUAAUUUAAUUAUAAUAUUAAAAAAGCAUGAUAGCAAAAUCGGAUUAACAUUGAAAUAAUAAUUGGAAUUUGGAAUGUGAGGAGUGUAGAGAUUCCGUUAACCUGCUGUGAAAGCAUUGACGGCGUAAGGGCAUAGGUGAGCGGCUUAACUUAAGGGGUGUGUAAGGGUAAACCGUGAAUGGUUAGAGGGAGAAAAGAGGAAAGCCGUGAGAUUGUUGAUCUACGGUGAGGUGCACAGGAGUGUCUAUGUGUGUACUACAAGAUGUAUGUAUAUAACACAAACAGGUCCUUCAAUGGAAACACCAACCCACACACACACCCCAUUUUCGUUCUAUCACAACAUCAACCUGCUUCCUCUUCAACCUUUUUUUUUUCCUUCUCUUCUCUUCCUUUACCUCUCUCACGCUUCCUCUCCAAUUUACAACACUAAUUCACAUAGCCCAAACUUUCAUCUUCAGGAUCUGACUUUUUCAAACAUACAAUGGGGUUAGCCAUUUAGACAGCAUCAAUAUCUAUCUUUUCUUCUUUUCUUCCUCCUUUUGCCCACCAACGACAACCAAACUUGUAUUUAUCUCCAAUCUUUUUUUCUUCUCCCAAUUUUGUUGGCUCAUUUAUGUUUUCAGAUGCAUGUUCCAAGAGUGUUUUCAUGAGUUUAUCCGAAUUCCGUUUUAAAUUUUCAACUGAAAUCUGUUCUGGAGAUUUCCUUUGAUCAUUGCGAUUAAUAAGUUGCAGAAGAUUUCCAGUUUUGAAGGUUCGAAAAUAAGACCCCAGUUUUGUUUUUGCCUUAUUUCGUUCCUCUAUUCCUUCCUUUGGUGUCUGUGCUAAGUUAUUCCUGAAUUUUUUUUGGCCUCCCCAGAUACAUUUUUAGUGAGAAAAAAAGGGGUUUUGAAGCUCUGAACUUUCUGCUUGCCCUGUAAUUACAGAGGUGAUCGUUUUCUUGCUUGGGUGUAAAGACUGAGUUUAUAUCCAUCGUCGCUGAUACAAGCUUUGGAAUGUCAUUAUUACUUGAAUUUUCAACAUAGAUUUACAUUUUUCACAGCUUCAGAACUGAAAUCCUGGCACUUUUCCUACAGUCAUAAACGAAGUUCUGGCCGGACCUGAUUUAGGUGAGAGAAACUAAUGUACUUAAUCAAAAUUAGAACUGAAUAAAUUGAUUCUGAUCGCAACCUUGCAGUCUUGGCCGCAACAGUUAAUUCAGUUUUGAUGUUAGUAUGUUCUUGUUAUUGUUCUCUGAUUUCUCUCUUGUUCAUAAUUUCCUGCAGGAAAACAAAAAAUCCCCUUGGUUUCAUCUGAAGGAAUUGAUUCAUGUUCUAGUUAUUGUUAAUUUUGUAAGGUAAACAUCCAGUUUUUUCUGGAUCUCUUUGGUCUAACUCGUGUUUUUGUUGCUCUUCGUAAUCUCAACCGCUCACAAUACAAUCCUAGUGUGGCUUUUGAAGAGACGAGGCAUUGAGCAGAACCGCCAAGACCAGUUGAAUUUAAUCGAUUGAUGUCUCGUUUUCACAUUAUCCUAGAUGUCCUGUGGAAAUACUGAAUUUGAACCUUUUUUUUUUCUUUGUGCACCUUUGUGCACCGAACAUUUACACUGUGUUCGGUUCCUCUCCCUCUUGUUAUUGUCAUCGUCCAUUUUUGUCUUGACCCAGAUAUAGAAGAUGCUCAGUGUAAAUUUUUUUUUUGUUCGGAAUCCAUGGACCAUUCGUUGCACAAAUCCUGUUAAAACAGUGUAGUAACCUCAGUUAAUUGGGAUGUGGACGAGAGAGACGCUGUCUGUGUUUGUGAAGGAACACAAAUCCAAUUUCAAUUUGAAUUUAAAAAUGUAGCAAUUUGAAGGACUAAAUCUUAAUUUUAAUUAUUUUUAUGGUAGCUAGUAGUUGAAUUAACCUAGUAUGGUGAUGAUGACGAUGAUGAUGGCAGGGAAAGGUUGAAGAAAUGGAGAAAGAUUCAAGUAUUCGAAGCAAUAACACGGUGUCUGGUGGUAGAGAUAAAAGCGGAGGGGAAGGGUCGUUGCUGUUGAGGGCGAGUUCCGAUGGCGCUAGACAGGGAACGACGUCGGAUUUGGUGUUGCAGUGGGGGAAUCGGAAGCGGUUAAGGUGCAUGAAGGUGCAGGUUAAGGACGAUUCUUCAGGCCCGGUUCAGAGGACAACGGUUCGGGUGGAUCGCCGGGUUGUUAGAACCGAUAAGGAUUCUUUAAAUAAGCCCCCCUUCGGUGUCAAUAAUAACACCCUUGGAGUUGGACACACUCAUAAUAACAACAAUAACAAUCAUCAUCAUAAUCAGAGUAACGGGUAUCCAAAUCUCCGUCAACGUCCUUCUUCUCCGCAGCAACGAAUUCUCAGGUAACGCAAUUUGUCAUUCACUUUGUUACUUUAUCUUUCCCCAUAAAUAUGAUUUAAUCUUUUUUUAAAAAAAAAAACAAAUAUAAUUGAGCGAGACUGAAAUGAGAUCUGAGAAUAGGUCAAUUUGACAAAAUUCGGGAUUUUAUACGGAAAAGAGGGAAAAUUGAAGAUUUCUGUGUUGUGAUUCAUAAAGUUAAAAAUCGUUACUUAAUAUUACAUAUCUUAAUAAUUGUUUUUAUUUUGGUUUUCUCUGGUUGAGUGUGAUUCCAUCAAUACUUAUCUUGAGGGCAAGGAUGGUGUUGGUGGCGCAGUGGCGCGUGGGCCAGUGUUUUGUUUUGAUCUGUUUUAUAUUGUUGAUUAAAUAAAAUAAAUAAGCUAGGGUUUGUGGUGGUGUAGGUGUACUGUGAAGGUAGUUUUAGCGAAAGAUAUUAGUAUAAAUAGUUUGAAAGCAAGCAGCACAUGGGUGUGAGUGAAAUAAAUAUCUAUCUGAAGAACUGGAAAGAAAAGUGGCAGAGAAAAAGCACAGCGUGGGCAUGGGAAUGAGUUGAAAGUGUAGUGGGGGCAGAGAGUGGAUUUGAAAUUGUUUAGUGGGAUGUCCUGCCACGAAAUUUCGUUGGGUGGUGCAACUUGUAAAUCACAUUUCUCACCCAAAGAAUCUUAAGCUUCAAAUAUUACUGUAAAUAAAUUUAAAAUUAAAAAUAAUUUGGGCUACUACUCAAAUUAUUAUUAUAUUAUAAUUCAUCUCGGCUGAAUACACAAAGGCUUAUAUUCUGUCGACUCUCCAAUUGGUCAGGUCCUUGCAGUCUCAUCCAAAUUAAACAAUGAAGAGGAACUCACGGUGAGUAAGUGCGUGAGAUCCCCUUCUUUACUUCCGUCAAAUUUUGUUUCCAGAUAUCGUCAAUCACUAAGCUAACCUCACUUUCUCUAAUCUCUGCCUCACAACUAGAUGAUAGGGUAUAUUGAUAAUAUCUGGUUCUGAAUUUGGAUUAACGCCAUGAUAUUUAGGCACGCAAGAAAACAACACAUAUAGUUGGAGCGUGAUUCUUGCUUAAUCGGUUGGAAACUUGGGGAAUCCUUUGGGCAUUGUUUUAUUAAUUUGGAUGUUUCAUUUUUUAAUCAAAAAUAGUUUGUGUCUGUUUCUUUACAUUUUAACUUGGAAUCAUUGGUAGCGUCAGGGCGAGUCUUAUAAUGAAAAUCAGGUUAAUAAUCCAAGCCUUGCUGCUUUGCUUCUGACGUCUGACAGGGGGUUUGAGAUUUCUUAGGGAGGUUUAGGUUGGUGUGGUUGAUUCUUUGCCGUUGACAUUUUCUUUUCUAGAUCUUGAUUUUAUAUAUUUGAUGAGUUUUCCAUGGAAAAACCUAGAAGAUGAGGGGAUAUUUAUUUUGACUCUGUCAAAUCUCAGGCCGGUAUUUUAUUUACUGUGAGAUUUAAUUACAAGUUUCGUUACUGUUUAGUACUGUUAUGGAAAUUAUAUAAAAAAGAAAAAAAUAUGUUGAAUUCAUGUCAUAGAAAGAAAAGUAAUGAAGGAGGUUUGUGCGUUGUAGAAGAUAGGAUUAGGAUUAGAUUAGAGGAGAGGGGGAUUUGCAGGUUCUGGAUCUACAUGUAGGAGGCGGAAGCAGGAGUUGAUUAUUCACAUGGAACCAUGGAACGGAGGGUUUCCUUCCACGUGUUAACGAAACGUCCUUUUCCAUUUUGGCCGUCGGAUCGAAGGGACCAGGUCGCAGAUCCGUCCAGUCUCCUUCAUCAUUCCACCACGUAGCAAUCUUCAUCUUGAUUGCCCAAUAAUAAAGCUCUCUCAAUCCAACGGCUCCAAAGAAACCGUGGAACCAGCUGUGCCCGUUAUAGGGAAUCACACACACUUUCUCUCUUAGGCUAGGCCCCUCGAGGUUCGACUCAAAUAUCCAAUUCUCUUCUCAUCAACCAAAAUAAAUUAACUACCCAACUCUCCUUCAAACCAAGAUACAAAUACAAAGCCCCGCAAAGAGCCAAAAACCAUCCCUUUUUCUACGCUAAAAAAUCUGUCUACAUAGAUUCCAGCCUCUCCCACCCUUGGAUCUAGAUCAAUCACCCAAGGUUAAUUUCGUAAACUCACCACUCCCUGGUUACUUUUCAUACAUAAUAUAAUAUAAUAAUAUAUACAUAUAUGUUUAUUAACUCUAAAAUAACCUCUGAAAUGCAUCUUCGUUUGCCCUAUUUAUUAUGUCGUGUUAUGUGAUGUGAUUCACGUUCUUACGAUUAAGAAAGACACAUAGGAUAAUUAUUACAUGUGUGUUGUGUUUGCGUUUUAAAUUUUUGGGUUGUAAUUUAGGAACUCAGAAGGUUCAAGUGCCAUGAGAGGAGGACAAAGCAACGGGGGCGUUAGGGGAAUUGCCUCACCGGACAGGGGUGCGCACGAUAAGAGGGGGACCCAUAACAACCACCUUAAUGACAACAACAAGUCUGCAGCCUCAUCGGAUACUGCGCACGAUAGCAAGAAGGGAGGGUCGCCCUCCGGCAGCGGAGACGCCGCUCCGCCUGUGUGGCCCCCGAAGUUCGUGAUUGCCUUGACCAACAAGGAGAAGGAAGAAGAUUUUCUUGCCAUUAAGGGCUCAAAGCUGCCUCAGAGACCCAAGAAGAGAGCUAAAUUCAUUCAGCGCACCCUCAAUGUAAGCCUCACUUCCCCUUCUCUGCUUUUUCAUUAUUUUCUUCAACUUUAUUAUUGUUAUUCAUCACAUCAGCAUGAUCUUUUCUUGAUGUCCAAUAUCUUAAAUCAUAGCAGCUCCCAUCAAUUUAUUUUCUAGUAGUAAUACAAUGACAAAGUAAAAACAAAUCUCAACGAAAUUCAUAAUUUGGAUGAAGUACUCUCUGACAGAGGUUCGAUGACCUUGUUUUGGUACUCACUCAACAAGAAAGGUGUUCUAAUUAUUUUGCUUAGUAAGGGCAUAAUAACAAUAUUAAAAUGGGUGUGAAAACCAAAUAAAUCAUAUUUUAAUUUUUUUAAAAGCAUAUUAUUAUUAGUAUAAAGCUUAACCCAUCAGAAAAUUUGACUAAUAAUUUUUAAUAGGAUUAUUAUUUUUUAUUAAAAAGUUGAAUUGUGGGACAGAUUUAUUUGUAGCAUAUUCUAAUUUUAGUAGUUGAUUUGUGGUAGUAUUCUUUUAGGUGAGUGCCUUCUUUUUUUUUUUCUUUGGUAUUUUGCUUUUCCCUUUUCCUGAAAAAGCUAUACACGGUUGGCAGCUGUGGAGUGCAUUACACGCGUCGAAGGGAGCUUGGCUCAUACCGAAUAGUUAGUCACCAAAAUAAUUAAGUAGUAUAACAUCACCAUCAUCUGUACGUAGUCAUCACUAUUUUUACGGGAGACAUAUUUAUUUUUUAAUUUAUUAAAAUAAUAAUAUUUAAUCAUAUUUGUUUAUUUGCUUUAUUACUUAUUUUUCAUUAUUACUUAUUGGAAGUGUCUGCACAGAUCAAGAUUAGUCUACUCCUCCACAUGGUCACCGAUGAAUCCCUGAAAGCUGAAUAAGCUACCAACAAAUUAUAGUAAAAUAGAAGUGAAUAGUUUUCUUGAAUUUGAUGCAUACACCUACCGAUUAGUAUAAUAAUCUGUGUGCAGCAGUACUUCAAUUAAAAAAAAUCUGUUUUUUUUUUGGUUCUAGGUGGCCCAAACAUGCCAGGUUCUUAAACCUGGUAUUGAAAAUUGUGUUCUUUAAUAAAGGGUGAAACAGUGAUCGUGAUCAUAAAACUGGUAUUGAAAAUCAAUAGUAAAACUGAGGUUUUAAUAUUAUUAUUACUGAUAUUAUUACUGUUAUUUAUUAUUGAUAUUAUGACUUAUUUAUUAUUGAUAAUAUUCUGCCACUUGAUAUUUAUCUAUUCAGUGACACUUUAAAUGGGUUCUGGUCCAGAAAUAACAAAUAAUAAAUUAAGUGAAAGAAUUAAUAAAUAAAUAAUAAGAGAGUAUCACACCUGUCCAGUGGAGUUUGGAUUUAUAUAUUAAAAAGUGGGAGCAACCAUACUGGAUUACAUCUUCUGUGUAAUGAGUGGUGUCAGUUGUAGUGGACGUACCUGGUUGAAUAUGAAUAGUCAUUACACAGACUUAUCAACAAAAGACCAAAACUCCUACUAACUAGCGGACAAAUUUAGAAACCGGUUGACCUCUUCUUAGCUGGAUGGAAUACCGGAAGAAAUUCUUGUUUACUCUCAUCUAGCCAAAAUAUUACACUCAUGAUAUAGAAAUAGUUGAAAGAAAUAAAUAUAUAGCCUUGUGUAAUAACAUGUUACAUCUAUACCAUUUUCAUUUCGGUUUUAGAAUUUCUUUUUUAUAGCUUAUAAGCCAUCUUUAUUGCUAGGCUUUUAAAUAAUAAAAAUUCGUGACACAUUUUUUAUACACUUCUUCCUGAUUGUGAAGAGAACUAAAAAAUUUUAGUUAGCUUUUUCUAGUGAUGCUUUUAGGUUUAAGUUUAUGUUUUUAGGUUUAAGUUUAUGUUUUGGUGUAUAUAAGGUUUGAUCUUCUUUUAUAUUUAUAAUAUUAUAAUUUCUUGUGCAUUCAAAUAUUUUUUUUUAUUUUCUUCUUCUCUUAUCCUUGCAUCUUUAUAAACUUUGAUGAAGUAAAGAUGAAAAUGUUCGUAUUUAUUUGUUUAUUGGGUUCUUUCUGUACAAAUAAGUGCAUGCGUGAUUUGUGUUUUAAAUGUGAUUUGUGUUUUAAAUAUUGUUUAAUUUGUUUGACAGCUCGUUAGUCCUGGUGCAUGGUUGUGCGAUCUUACCUUGGAACGAUACGAAGUUAGGGAGAAGAAAAUAUCCAAAAAGGUAAAUGGAAUGAAAAAAAAAAAAAAAAAGAGGAAGAUUCAUUUCUGCAAUUAUGAAAAGACGAUAAUUUUUGUGGCACAUAAAUAAAGAAAUAUAAUUUAUUUUUAUGCAGAGACCAAGAGGUUUGAAAGCAAUGGGAAACAUGGAGUCUGACUCUGAGUAGAGAGAAAAGUUAAUGAGGCUAUGAAUGUUGAGAAGUGAAGAUGCUAAGCUUUAUGUUUGGUAAGGAUGUAGGAAAUGCAUGGAUUUUGUAAAGCAUGGCAUGACAUCAAAGCUGGAUGCCAACUCAUCGAAAUCAAAAUAUUAAAUAUUUUAGCUUUGCCACUGCUUAGCUUAAUCUCCUUGUCUUCAUUUCCUUUCUUUCCUAGUCUGGAAAACUGCUUCGGAAUUGCAAAAUGACUAGGUGUCCUCAAGGAGGGACAUUUUCACUAACACAAUGUGUCUCACAACAUCUUUUGACAAUAUUUCCUAUUAUUCAUUUCAUCACACAGAUUCUCAUUUACUCCCUCAUUUUUUACAACAAUUUUAACAUAAAACGAUAUCACUCUUUUAGCAAUGGGGUUCUCACAAUACCUUUGUUAGUGUUCUCUAGCAAUGAACAUUAAAAAAAAAGCGUCUUCUUGAAGGCUGUGAUAAUUUCCUUUGUUGAAUUAAAUUGAAGUUCUUACUUUUAUGACAAGUAAAUGAUUCUUAAUCUUUUUAAAUAAUGGAAUCAAAGGAAUUUGUUUGCUCAUAGGUAUGAUGAUGUGUGUUAUCUUUGUUUUUUCCUUUUUCGAAUUUGAUUCAGUAUUCUUUUCUUUUUCCCAUGGUUUCUAUUUAUUUUUUUCCUAACAUUCUUUGAUGAUUGUUAUCCCCUUCUACACACAAAUUAAUAAUCCGAAAUCUCAAGCAAUUAUUCUUAGAAGCUUUGUCGUGAUGAAGUAUGGAUUCAAAGGUUUGACACAUUAAAAAGUGAAGAUAGUUUUGGUUGAAGACAAAAUAUGUAUAUACAAAUAAAAAGUGGAGUUAAAAUCAUCAAUUGUCAAUAUUGAUAAGUAUUGAUAGGUUAAACAAUCACUUUAACAAGUUUUUUUGGUACAUUUCUUGAAAGCUUUAAAAUCCUAGAUUCAAAUUCACUUUUCUAAGCUGAAAUUAAAUAUAAAUCCUUGUAUAUAUUUUGUACUUUAAAACUCAUCUCUAUGGAUUAUGUUUUUAUUUUUGGUUGCAUUUCAAGUAUUUUAUUAAUUUUCACUAAUCAUUCCUUUUUAAAGUAAUGUAAUUAAUAAAUUAUUUAAUAUUAUUGAAUUUCAAUCUGCAUUUUAACAAAUGAAGUGCUGAUAUAUGCCAUGGAAGAUGUCCAUGGGUGUAGGGUGUGAGAGUGAGAGUGACUAAAUCUGGCUCUCAAUUAAAAAUGUAUUAGUUCAAUUACAUUUAAUUUUUGGUGAAUUAGAGAUUUUAUAAUAUUAUACUACUAUUAUAUGUUGAUAGGUAAAUGGAUUGACUUAAGAUUAUUUUAUUUUUCUAAAUUAUUAUUAUUAUUAUAUGUAUAUUAAGAAAGAAUAUGAAAGGGAUUGAUUCAACUUAUUUAUUUCAUAAUAAUACAAUUAAUGUUUACCUAUUCCAUCAAUUAUAAUAAUAAUUAAAAAUUAAAGAAUUAAUUCAAAUUUAAACAUUUAAAUUAUUUAAAAAUUAUUGAUUAAUAUUAUAAGAUUUAAAAAUAUCAAAUUAUCAAUACAUAAAUAAUUAUAAUAAAAAACUUAUAAAAAUGAUAAAAAAAUUAAUAAAAUAUUUGUAUGAGUGAUGGAUCAAUCUAUGACUCAAAUUAUUUAACGUAAAUUUAAUUUAAUUUAAUUGGCCAUAAAAAAAUAUAGUUACAUGAACUGCAAUAAUCCAAAUGUUAGAACUGGGGUGUGAGGGUAAUUACCUCAUGUUGAGCUGUGCCAAGGAUGUUUAAUUGUUUAAUUAACCAUACCAUUUCUAUGGCUCCAACCAUCCUAACAUAUUUUUAUUUGAAAAUAAACUACAUUACAAAAGUUAUAAACAACAAUAGGAAUAAAUUUGAAAAUAAUUAUCAAUUUCAAUUUCCCCAAAAUAGAGGAAUUAUAAAUAUUUUAAAAAAACUCUCAAAUUUGGCUUUAAAUGUAUUUUUGAAAAUUUAAGAGAAUAAAAUAAUUUGAUUAAAUUUGGACUAGCAAAUCCAAAUUUAUAAUAAACCAAAAAUACAACUAAAUUUAACUUUAAUUUUUAUUUGGAGAAUGUAUUUUUUUCCUGUCUCAAUGGAAAGACUCUGAUUUUGCUUAACUUGAAUUUUUAUAUGUUUUAAAAUUCAUGAUAAUUAUUUAAAAAAUAAAUAAAAAUAACAUAACUAUGUUGUUAUUUUUAAAUAAAAAUAGAGUCUGUUCUCUAUAAUAUCUAUAAUAGAAAAUUAUUAAAUAUAAUUUGAUAUUAUUGAAACAAAAAUUUAAUUAUGAUUUAUGAACAUCACAAAUAUUACUUUAUAUAUAUUUUUCUCCUUAGAAAAAAAAAAGUAUUAAUAAAGUACAUAGAUUUUCACCAAAACAUAUUACCAAUUAUUAGAAAAUUUUAAUAAUGUUAUUAUAGUAGUAACAUGAUUUGGUAUAGCAUUUAAGGCACUGCAUAAUUUUAGUUUAUGUGUAAACACACAUGAAGCAAGGGUAACACAACUAUGGUUGACCCUUAAUGGACAAGCUUCAAUUGUCAAUAGAAAUUAUUCUUGUCCCCACAAACUUAUACUCUGUUUUCUUCAAUUACAAGUUUCUAUAUAGGACAACAAAAAUGUCUUUAUCAAUCUUCCAUGUACACUGAAUUUAUUAUUCCUUUGUAAAUUAAUUUUUAAUUUUUGAACUUAAGACCUUCAAAUGGGUGUUUAAAUAUAAUAUUUUUCUAUCUUCUUUUAAUAUUUUGCAUGCUUAUGCAAAAGUCAUUAUCAAAAUUAAAGAAUGGUCACAGACAAUAGAUAACAUCAUCUAUUGAUAUGAACACCUGAAUUCACAGAAAAACUAAAAAAAAAAAAUUAAUAAAAAAAAACUUACAAAGAAGCACAAACUAGAAAAUAAAAGAAAUCCAUUAUGUACCGAAACAAAUAUCACAAAUAAUAAUACUCAAAAAAUAUAGCAAAAUAACUAAAGAUACAGAAAUAAACAGAUGAAAUCUCUGCACAUCAACACAUGAGAGAGCUAUAUACUACUAGGCAAGCCUCGAUCUCUGGUAAAUCCACACAAAAAAUAGAGGAAUUGAAAAUCUCAAGGCAGAAGCUCUGCAUGUUCAGAUCCUGUGAGAAGAUCCGAAGACGAGAGCAACGGCAGCGGCUAGAAAACCCGCGACGAAGGAGGGAGAGAUGACAGAAGCCGGAGAGGUAGGACUAGGCGCCGGCGCAUCGGCGGCAAAAGCGGUGGAGACGACGGCAAGAAGGACCGCCAUUGUGGUGAUGGUUAGGACCUGAGAAGAAGCCAUUGUUUAUGAGUGAUUUAGGGUUUUGACGGAAGCAGUGUAGCGAGAGAAAGGAAUGCGAAUGAAGUGAAGAAGGUGAAGGAGUGUUUAUAUAGAAGGGAAAUGAGAAGAUAAAAGAAGGGUAUUUUGGGAAUGCAGAGAAAUUUACAGAGUGGCUAUUAUAAUUUGAGUGGGUGCUGUGCUGUUCCAGCUGGUUCUGCUGUCAAAGUUAGGCAAAUCUGUUUUCUCUUCUUCUGUCUUUUUAACAAUUUUCAUUAAUUAACUAAUUAACCAAUAAAAAUAAACUAAUAAAACAUUUAGUGGAUCCUGAAACUGCAUGACUUCUG
This 90924-nucleotide long non-coding RNA is filed under the name Vigna radiata. RNAcentral's name for it is "long non-coding RNA (VRAD_LNC003874)". The record is from RNAcentral. Lineage: Eukaryota; Viridiplantae; Streptophyta; Magnoliopsida; Fabales; Fabaceae.